AGACAUCCAUGGCAAAACCAUUAUUACUGCCGGAUAAUCAGUUCGAUCAUGGCACCGUCUCAUGGUGAGAUAAUCAUGUAAGCUGUAAGAUUAGUCUGCAUUGUCUCUUUAAGUUAUUGCUAGUGCUUGUAGUAUCUCGGUGGAACUGUAAUUCUUGUUGUGUCUAAAUUCUGAUAUCACCUUCUUGGAACAACUGGCCUGCUCUCCAGUCCCCUAUACAAAUGAGACUGGCAUUCAAAAAAUUGAUCGUCUAUCAAUUUAUCUUAAUUUUACAGGAAUAUUUAACUUUGUUUGCAUGGCCGUUUUGUAUCACCCUGUUAUCUCCUGCUCAUAUAUGCUAAUUAUGUAGCAUGCUAAUCCCAUUUACUCCCUCCGAUCCAUAAUAAGUGUCGCGGUUUUGUGAAUUUGCUCGAUGAUAUUACCCUAUCUCAUUUAUCUCUUAUUUUGGUCAUCUGUCUCUUAUUUCGGAUCGGAGGGAGUACCAUUUUCUCUGUUGUGAAUUUGCUGGAUGAUAUGAUAUCCCCUAUCUCAUUCUCAUAUAUUUUGUGUGUUCUGCGUUAGACACUUUGCUGUUGUUGGCAAUACUCCAAUUUGGGUGCUAAAAUCCUUCAACAUACAUUUCCAAGCCAUGUGUCUUUGUCCUAUACCUUUCAACCUUGGACCAUUUACUUGUAGCCUCUGCUCUGUAUUCUGAAGACUAAUUUUGAAGCAUUGUGCAAACGACAUAGUCAACCUGACUUUUAAAUUUUAUUAGUAGCUUUUCAUUUCCCCCUAAACCCGCGAUACCUCUGUUCUUAUCUGGCUGGCCCUGCUGUUAUAUUGUAUGCUUUGUUUGAUUUGAAAGUCAGCUCUUUGUGAUUGAUAACAAUAAGCAGUUCCACCGCACAUGCCCAGUCUGCAUGCAUAAUUGUCACCAUCACGGGCUCUCACGAUCAGAUCAGAGUCCUAAAUUUGACCUUUCCUGGCGAUAGCGAGCGUUAUUCGGCCGGUCUCUUGACUAGCAGAAGAGUACGUACUUUAGGGCGUGUUUGGUUCGCUGCGUUGCAGCUGGCUCGCAUCCACCGUGCAAUAUUUGAGUUGUUUGGUACUACUCUGCAUGGGCUCUUCAGCCUGGCCCGGUGGAUGAAAAAAAGGCCCUCUCAGCCAGGCUAAGGGAAACGUAGGAAUCGAGCGUAGCACGCAUGCAGGCUCGUUCGUUCGCUUUUUUCUUAUCCCUUCCAUCUCGUCAACGCAUAGAGCAAGCACCACAGGCAGGGCAUCUCCUCCCCGUAGCCCAGCGCCGCUAUCCUCGAGCAGGCACCGCCGCCGCCGUCCUCAACAAGCACCACCGCUGCCGUCGCCCUCGUCAAGCGCCACCGCCGCCCGUAGCAUGUCGCCGCCUGGAUCCCUCGGCAAGCGCCACCACCAUCCCCGAAUCCCUCGUCUAGCGAGGCCGCUGUCCCCAGAUCCCUCGUCUAGCGCCGCUGCCGUCCCUGGAUACCUUGUCAAGUGCCGCCAUCGCCCUCCAGUGGUCGCAUCCAGGCAUGUCGCCGCCGCCCAUAGCCUGUCGCCGCCUGGAUCCCUCGGGCCAAGCGCAGCCGCCGUCCCCGGAUACCUCGUCUAGCAUCGGCGCCGUCCCAGGAUCUCUCGUCAAGCGCCACCGUCGUCCUCGUCCAAGAGCCGCCACCGCCCCCGGAUCCCGUUUCCCCCUUACUCUCUGCGUGAUCCCUGUUAAGUGACAUUCAGCUCCUCAUACAGGCAUAUCAUACAGGUUCACCAAACACCCAUCUCAACUCACCCUUGCACCAUCUCAACCAGGCCACACUCAACCAGGAUCCCUCAUGCGAUGCAGCGUGAAGUUACCCAGAGAACCAAACACGCCCUUAAUGCUUGGAUUGGAUGGCUAAAAACUUUGAAACUGAGAAAAACGAGUUGUGGUGGGACGGCGUCGCGGUAUUUCAGCCAUUUAUUUUAGGGUUCCUUGAGAAUCACUGUGGGGAGGUGGAGAUGCACAGAGCAGACAGACAGAUGUACCAUGGCGGCCCUGUUUGAAUCGUCUGCUUAGCUGUCGCCUGCAGUUAUUGUAUUAUUGUUUGCAUGUUGCGCAUAGAAAAGACAAAAUACGCAGCUAAACUAAACUAACCCCUCUGCCCAAAGUUUGUCGUGGGAAUUACACUACUGUAUUGUGUAAAGAUGUAUGUUGCCUGUGUCUCGGCUAGAAUUUUACUGCUUGGUAGUAAGUUGCCAGUUGCCAUACCUCAUCUUUAUUCCUCCGGCAAAUCCGGCCUGAUCAUCCUCAGCCGCUGAACCAAGUUCUACUCCUCUCUCAACUGAACACCAAGCACAGCUGCGAGUUUUCUGCUCGUAACUUGUAGUGAUACUAUUGAUUCUGUAGUGUGACCUGGAAGGCUGGAGGUGCUCGGCAGCUGGCAUCCGCAGAUCCGUUGCAAUGAUGGCAUGCCUUAUCUGUAGGAUACACCAGCGCUGGGCCUCCCCCUACACAUAUGAUCGGGGGACCUGCGCGAUUCAUCAACAGAAGGGUAGCGAAGAACGAUGGUCUGAUCGGAUGCUGUGUUUGACCGGCUCCUUAAUAUGUCGCCAUGAAUGCUGGAACGCCAUGGCUGGACGAAGGAGCCGUGCAGUGCAGAAUUUCAUGUACGGAGACAUUGGAAGUUACGCAAUACUACCAACAAGACUGCAUUGAGAGCUCUGCUAUCGCAUACGACACGAACUGUCCGCGGAUGCUCGGCAGAUUUUCCUUUUUGACACACUUAUAAUUUACUCCCUCCCUUUACUAUUGCAAUUACAAGAUGGUUUCAAUAUUUUAAUAUGGAGCACGUACAGACUGAGAUGAGUGAACAAGCACACUAGCUGUCUAUAUACACUGAUAACUUGAUGCUAAAUCAGCAGACAGUUAAUAAGUAUCGGAGGGAGUAGAACAUCUAUAAUAAUAGCGAACACAGGGAGGGAGUAGAAAACAAAAGAGGGAAUGUGAAUGAAACAUGCCCGGAGGGCCGCUGGUCGACACAAAUCCACGGAUGAAGAUCACAGUACUGAUUAAACCUGUCCCUCCGAUUGCAGCCCGCAGGCAGGACAGCAGGAGACCUGGAUGUGAUGUGCGAGAUACUAUUCGUUUGCCAAGUGACGCUUUGCUAAUUGGGAGGAGGAUGGAGUGCAGAUUCAGACACGAGCGCUGGGAUCUGAGGCAACCACAUCGGCCAUGUCCCCGUCGUUGACUGACUUGCGGUUUUCUUGGUAGUAAGACUAGUUCUUUUUUUCCCCUAGGAUGAUUGUUUUUCUUGGCCGCUAAACUGCAAACAAGUCUCCGUCCAAAAGGAGCGGAGGAUCCUGCCAGCCACUUCUUCUGCCGUGCAGUUCCCGCAACUGUAGAAACGUCAAUAAAACUCAAGCAAAAGACACGGGACGUUUUUUUACUAUGCUGGUAUAUAAAAAUCAGACGACCACGCGAACGUUCCAAACGAUACUUUUAACCCAAAAAACAACAAAGCUUCCAGGUUCUCGGCUUAUGCAGAGGAAAAGCUAGUCCAGGCCUGCGCAGAAAAAAUUAUCUCGAGAUUGCCACUUUGCUGCCAGUCUUAACCGAUACUCCUACAGACGUACCCAGAAAGGCAUACUCCUUCCAUCUGGUCAAAAUACCGGGGCGCACAAGUAACUGAAUUUCUUCGGAACAGACCAACGCAUCUCACGUAUACAGUCAAGAGUUAUUUAGCAGCACGGAACACAGCACAUCUACACAGAAACCUAUUUUUCUAGCUAACACACUCAUGCCAAAUUGCCAGCAAGUUACAAACAAAGGGGCACCGAGCCACUUCAGCGAGCACCUUGGUUCCUCCACACACACACACAGCAAUGCUUCUUUCGAGUACUGGGAGGGGUUUGGCGACGAAGGAACCAUUUUAAAUCCCAGACCAACCUCAGGCCUUGAUACGUCGGUGAGGAUCAGAUGACGUAGCGGUAGGUCACGUAUUCUCCGGCGACUUCGCUCUGCCGGGUGAUCUUCACCACCUGCCCACGCUUCAUGCCGUGGUAUCUUGCUACCGGAUCCGUGAGCUGAAUCCUCGGGAGCUGCAUCGUAAGAUAGUAACUCCAAAUCAUCAGAAACUAGACUGCCACUGUAGUAAAAGAUUGGGGGGAAGUAUCUGUGUUCUGUUUGUUAGAGGUACUGCGCUAGGGGUCAAGCUUCUUAACGAAACCGAGGUACCGAAACUUGAUGAAUGUGAAAUAUGACCAAUGCAAAUUAUGGGACUCUAACCGAUUCCAAAACAACAAACUCAUCAGACGAUCAUCACCAAUGUACCAGGCCAGUACACUGAUAUACUUAAUUUUAUCCUAGAAAGCAUUUAAAACAGUACAAAUUACAAAAUAUGUUGCUAAACCUUGUCAGUUGAUCACCCACAGAUCCACCAGACAUACGCAGACAUAUUGCACAUAUACAUAGGACCCAUUCACUACUCCCUCCGUGUCAAAAUAUAAGACGUUUUUUGACAUUGUCAUAGUACUUGUUAACUUCUACCGAAAAAGCCUUUCGCCCCGCUUUAUAUAUAAAGCAACGAUCGACGACAUACAGACUGCAAACCACCCGACACCACACAUACACACACCCAAGGUAGAUACAAGGGGGCUGACGAACAGCAACACUACUCCAAAUGCCCCAAAGCAGACAACUAGUUGACAGAUAGAGGCAUAGAGCAUAGCUAAGGAUCUAAGGAGCUCUCCACCGUGAACGAGUCACCGCGAGGAGACGAAGCCAAAACUCGACGAACCAGGGACACCAAAGCGGUGCUUCCAUGAAAGAAACAACACUGUAGAGCCGCCACCGCCCGAUCCACUGAAUCGAGGUUUUCACCCGGAGUAACACGAAGGACGCAGGGCCACCCCGAUGGAGCCUUCAAGAAGGGAAUGACGCAUAGCCGCCGCCGCCGUCAUCAGUCUGGCCAGAGCCAGACGAGGUUUUCACCCCGGCCACCACCCUCCAACUCCACCUGGCGUACGGCCCUACACGAGAGCACCGACCGCACCACCACCGUAGAUCGUCGAGAGCCCGCCCCAUGCCGCCCACGCGGCCAUGACAGUGAGCCCGUCUGCGCCCGAGUCACGAGCUCCGCCCACCCGCCACCAAGGCCGCCCCCUUGCAUUCAGACACUCCGGAGACCAUCAAAGGAACAGGCUUUGAGUCGACCAGCAGAUCCCUAGCACAACCGGCACCGCCGGUGACCGUCCCGCCCUGAACAACGGUCUCCAGCCAGGAGGCACUAGGCCUUGAAAAGGGGAGGUGGGACGGAGCUCGUCCGGACCAGCGCACCCCUGCGCCCCCUGCGCCGGUGACAGGUAGUCGGGCUACCCAUCCCUCCAGCAGCCUCCCCUGCGUCACCCUUGACGCCCUAGCACGGCCACCGGCCAGAACCACGCGAGGAAGAUGCAGCCACCCGUCCGCCGGAUCGAUCGCACCCGCCUCCGAAGAAGGCCUCCAGAGGGGCCAGCACAUUGACCCGCACCACCGUCAUGAUGCCAGAACGCCCCGCCGCCAGGAACCGUCGCCUGAGACACCCCCUGCUGCCCCCUCCCCCCCACCGCCAGCCGCAGGUCAUGGCAGGAGUGCCGCCCGCAGCCCACGCCGCCCACGGCCCUCUCCACCCGAUGCAGGCGCGGGCCGCAUCGCCGCCACCUGCAGAGAUGGCCAGCUUGACCAGAGGGGAGAACCACCACCUUGACGCCCGUCACACCGCCGCCAGGAGGUCGUCGCCGACCACUCCUCAGUACCGCCGCGCCGCCGCACCCUCCAACCAGUCCAACGCCCAGCCCUGGCGGAUCUGGCUCGCGCCUAACCACCCGCGCGAAGGGACAAAGGAAGCCCUGCCGCCGCCUAUGCUGACCGGGCUUCGCUCGACCGCACCCUCCGGCGGCGGCGAGGGAGGAGGAAGGGGUUUAUUUGGUUGGCUAGCCAACACUUAUUAACUUCUCAAAAGCAUCACUUCCCAAGCAAACUAUCAAAUACCAUCCUUUAAAUUUUAAGAGUUCCUUAGGUGCCCAUUCUACUUACAAAUUUAAUUAUUCAAAUUCAAACACACAAAAGGGUCCAAAUGAAGGGAAUGAUAGAAAGUACAGGAAUCGAGUGCUAUGAAGUGCCCACAAGUGCUCAACAAGAUCAUCUUGGAGCUGGGUAUGAACUUCUCGGUUACUUCAUCCUACUACCAACUGCGUCACAUUCUUACCCUUUCAGAAAAGUCGUUCACCCAGAAUAUCCACUGAGUAAUGCAAUAUCCAUGUGUUCCUAAAUUAGGAUCAACCGUAAUUUUUGAACCAAGAUAAACUAAAACUAAACAAUCCAACAUGACAUAAAAGUCCUGCAAACUCGCGAGGGCGGCCAUGACAUAAGUGCUUGCUCCAUGAUAUCCAAUUAUUAUUAUUAGGGAAAUAGGAUUAUUGUAUAUUUGUGAGGAUAUGAUCCCAGUAGUUAGGCAAGUAGGAUUCGAUCGGCCACGUCAUCCACCUGCUGGUGUGUUAGUAUAAAACAAUGUUCAAGAGCACCAAAACAGCAGCAUUGUCUGUCUAAACCGAGGAAGGGGAAGUGCUCCCAUAAUGAUACUUGAAGGGAACAGAAAUGAACCUUUGCAGAACUCAUAGGGUGUUUCAUACAAUCAAUUUGUAAUGUGCACAUACAUUUUGAUCUGAUGGAAUAGGUGGUCACAUUUAUCGAUAACUUAAUUCUUCAUAGAUUUUCUACAUAAACCAUCUCACGUAUUAUAUGGCUUAUUAAAAACGAAAAGAUUUUUUUCAUAAUGGCAUGCUUGCAAAAGGUUAGGAUAUCAGGCCAGUGAGGCAGUGGUCGCAUCCAGGCAUGUCGCCGCCGCCCAUAGCCUGUCGCCGCCUGGAUCCCUCGGGCCAAGCGCAGCCGCCGUCCCCGGAUACCUCGUCUAGCAUCGGCGCCGUCCCAGGAUCUCUCGUCAAGCGCCACCGUCGUCCUCGUCCAAGAGCCGCCACCGCCCCCGGAUCCCGUUUCCCCCUUACUCUCUGCGUGAUCCCUGUUAAGUGACAUUCAGCUCCUCAUACAGGCAUAUCAUACAGGUUCACCAAACACCCAUCUCAACUCACCCUUGCACCAUCUCAACCAGGCCACACUCAACCAGGAUCCCUCAUGCGAUGCAGCGUGAAGUUACCCAGAGAACCAAACACGCCCUUAAUGCUUGGAUUGGAUGGCUAAAAACUUUGAAACUGAGAAAAACGAGUUGUGGUGGGACGGCGUCGCGGUAUUUCAGCCAUUUAUUUUAGGGUUCCUUGAGAAUCACUGUGGGGAGGUGGAGAUGCACAGAGCAGACAGACAGAUGUACCAUGGCGGCCCUGUUUGAAUCGUCUGCUUAGCUGUCGCCUGCAGUUAUUGUAUUAUUGUUUGCAUGUUGCGCAUAGAAAAGACAAAAUACGCAGCUAAACUAAACUAACCCCUCUGCCCAAAGUUUGUCGUGGGAAUUACACUACUGUAUUGUGUAAAGAUGUAUGUUGCCUGUGUCUCGGCUAGAAUUUUACUGCUUGGUAGUAAGUUGCCAGUUGCCAUACCUCAUCUUUAUUCCUCCGGCAAAUCCGGCCUGAUCAUCCUCAGCCGCUGAACCAAGUUCUACUCCUCUCUCAACUGAACACCCAGCCUAGCGCCCAGCCCUGGCGGAUCUGGCUCGCGCCUAACCACCCGCGCGAAGGGACAAAGGAAGCCCUGCCGCCGCCUAUGCUGACCGGGCUUCGCUCGACCGCACCCUCCGGCGGCGGCGAGGGAGGAGGAAGGGGUUUAUUUGGUUGGCUAGCCAACACUUAUUAACUUCUCAAAAGCAUCACUUCCCAAGCAAACUAUCAAAUACCAUCCUUUAAAUUUUAAGAGUUCCUUAGGUGCCCAUUCUACUUACAAAUUUAAUUAUUCAAAUUCAAACACACAAAAGGGUCCAAAUGAAGGGAAUGAUAGAAAGUACAGGAAUCGAGUGCUAUGAAGUGCCCACAAGUGCUCAACAAGAUCAUCUUGGAGCUGGGUAUGAACUUCUCGGUUACUUCAUCCUACUACCAACUGCGUCACAUUCUUACCCUUUCAGAAAAGUCGUUCACCCAGAAUAUCCACUGAGUAAUGCAAUAUCCAUGUGUUCCUAAAUUAGGAUCAACCGUAAUUUUUGAACCAAGAUAAACUAAAACUAAACAAUCCAACAUGACAUAAAAGUCCUGCAAACUCGCGAGGGCGGCCAUGACAUAAGUGCUUGCUCCAUGAUAUCCAAUUAUUAUUAUUAGGGAAAUAGGAUUAUUGUAUAUUUGUGAGGAUAUGAUCCCAGUAGUUAGGCAAGUAGGAUUCGAUCGGCCACGUCAUCCACCUGCUGGUGUGUUAGUAUAAAACAAUGUUCAAGAGCACCAAAACAGCAGCAUUGUCUGUCUAAACCGAGGAAGGGGAAGUGCUCCCAUAAUGAUACUUGAAGGGAACAGAAAUGAACCUUUGCAGAACUCAUAGGGUGUUUCAUACAAUCAAUUUGUAAUGUGCACAUACAUUUUGAUCUGAUGGAAUAGGUGGUCACAUUUAUCGAUAAUUUAAUUCUUCAUAGAUUUUCUACAUAAACCAUCUCACGUAUUAUAUGGCUUAUUAAAAACGAAAAGAUUUUUUUCAUAAUGGCAUGCUUGCAAAAGGUUAGGAUAUCAGGCCAGUGAGGCAGUGACACAGAGAAAAGGAAUAUGCAAAUUCAUCUGACCUGAGUUUCGUGGGCAGUGUAUUUCUGCAGCAGCUCCUUCUUCUCCUCGUCACUCAGGAGCUCGUGCUUCGGAACGAGAUGGUGUUCAGUAAUGUUUACAAGAAGCUCCCCUUCCUGCAGAACAGGGCAGCACAUUAAACUUUAGCUAUUGGUCCCUGGAGAGGGAAAGGCUCAAAAAUAGCCAAGAGAGCACUAGGCAGGGAGGAAGGGAUGCAGAGGAGGGCGACCUGGAAGACCUCGAGGUGGUACUUCUUGCUCUGUGCGACCUCGGUCCGGGCCGGGCCGCUCAGCGCCUUCUGCAGGACGAGUAUACCAUUGGUGGCGUUCCCCAGCUUCAUCUUCUCGACGCAGCUCCUGACCACGGCCAGGCCGGUCUUGGACUCGUCGAGGAAGAAGACGUUGACCUGGAAGGGCAGGAGCGACACCGUCAGUCAGAAGACACCCCACCGUGGAAAUCGAAGGAGGCGGCGGCGCAAGAAGGGGAGGGGACCUUGUCGUUGGGGUCGCCCUGCUUCUCGCAAUGGAUGACGAUCUCGUCCCGGCGGACGGGGUCUCCGUAGCGGUCGACGAACUCGUACAGGGACAGCUUGAUUUCCUCGUCCUUCACCGUGUACCCGCGGUCUCUCAGCAUCUGCAACACCGUGCGCCGCACGCGGAACAGCCGCUUGUUGUCCCCGUUGGACGCCAUCCCUCCUCCGCCUCCGAUGCCCCCGCGCGAGGGUUUUGGCCUGUAUCGGCGGGGAGAAGCGGCGCCGGCGCGGGUGGCGGGAGGGCGGCGUGGCGGCGGGUUAGGGUUUUCGGCUAUGGCCGUCGCUUGGGCGGUUGGGCCUUUAGGUGAAAGCCUUGUGGUUCGGCUCAAUCGGGGCUUUCCGAACAGGUGAAACACAUGUGGCUCCCAAAAACAAAAUGGACAUGUUUUUAUUUACUUUUGUGUGUGUGUGAAAAAAUGGACAUGUUUUUCUCUGUCUUUACCCCAGAAGAAAACAUCUUUUAUUGUACUUGCAUCAAAAUGAUUUAGAAUUGAGUGCCAUUUACAGAAAAUGACUCCAUGCUCCACACUCUUGUUUUGUUUUCACUUUUCUUAAGUCGUUUGUGCUUGGGGAGGAAGUUGAUCGGAUCGAAACGGGAGUAGCAUGUGUAGCAUGUGGGGCAGACGUGAGGGGUACUAGAGACUAAGGGGGUGUUUGGUUCAGAAGUCUUAGGACUUUUUCUAGUCCCAGGGACUAAUAAAAAAGACUCUCUAGUAGAGUCUUUUUCUAGUCCCUGUAGAAAAAGUCCCUCCCGUAGGGACUUUCUAGUCUCUGGGACUAAAAAGUCCCUGAACCAAACACCCUCUAAUGUGCGUUACCCCAAGUUGUCCUUCGCUCGAGGGAUUGUCUUUUCUUUCUAACUAAUAUUGCAACGGUUGUUUCGUUUCGGUUUAAUCUGUGUUGGCUUGGCUUUUAAUUAUCUUCCAACACAUGGAUUGGUGCACGAACUCCCAUUCGCUUAGCUUGGCUCACUUCUCUACUCACUCGCUUAACAUUUUUUUCGCUCACUCCACUGCUAUCUUACGAAAAGUCAGCUCUCUUUUUAUUUCAAAAUAGUUCGUUGAAUUAAAAGAUGUUCGUGGAUUUAAAAAAUCCUAUAUUUAAAAAAUAGUAUAAAUAAAAUACAUAAGUUUAAAAGAUUUCCAGAAAUUUUAAAAAUAAUUAUGGAUUUUAAAAAUAUUCGCUAACUUGAAUUAAUAUUUCGAAAUUUAAAAUGUUAACAAAAUUUAAAAAUGUUCAUGAAUAUAAAAUAUGUUGUGAGUUAAUUUUUUUCACUAUUUGUUUUAAAUCUUCAGAAUUUUUAAUAAACAUUCAUGAAUUAAAAUGUGCUAAAACAAAUGAGAAGUAAAACAAACAUGAACCCUUAAACCAACGACACCCUUACAGACGGCCCCAGCGACCCCAUAGACCCCGAUGCACCAGCAGCUCCAGAUCUAGGGGGCUUAGUAUCUUAAUAGAUACUAGCUUUCAUUCAAAAUAUUAUGAUGGCGUGACCACAAAAACGAGGAGGAAAAAUCCGUGUUAUUUUGUCUAAGUGGGACUUAAGUGUGUGUUGUUCGCGAAGAAAAAAGAUAUAUAAAAAGAUGUGCUUUGGAGAAAGGCAAAAGGAGUGAGUGCCAUUUCGUCGAAUUCUCUUCAAAGAAAGGUGCGCCACUGCGAAGUCAUAUUCUGAUCCUGAGCUCAAAUGCACCCUGAUGAAUAGUAAAAUCAAAAAAAAAUACUAAAAAACAAAAAUUAUGAUAAACUUUGACAAAUAUUUUGUAUGCAUACCAAAUUUCAGCACCAAAUGACUUUCUUGGAAGUCGUUGCCAAAAAAACAAAAUCAGCACUCCAAAAUGUUUUCAAAACUAGCAAUUUUGGAGCAUGGAUUUUGUUUUGUUUUUUUUGACAUGACUCCCACGAAUGUCAUUUCUUACUGAAAUUUUGCAAGCAUACAAAAAAAUGUCAAAGUUUACCAAAAAAACUGAAUUAUUUGAAUUUAUUUACUUUUUUUUAUUGUAAUGUUCAGUAGGAGGCAUUUGAGCUCGGGAGCAGAUACACCACGUCCGCGCCACUUGUUUCUCAACAGAAAAAAAGUGACUCAAAAGUUGUUGGAGAACCCUUGUUGGCAUUUGUGGCCCAUUGCCUGUUGUUGGUAUUGGAAUACUUACGACAAUGUCAGAUAAUUAUUUUAAUUUGCCUAAAAAAGAUAAUUAUUUUAAUGCCUCCACCGCGUGCCUAGUCAUUGCAUUGUGGCUCAUAAAUUGUCGAAGUACCCUUGUCCGCAUUUGCAGGCAUCUUGCCUGAUUUUCUUAGAUCUCAGUGUAGAAAUUUUCUUAAAAUGCUUGAGAAUCUUGAUGUUUUGUGUAUUUAAAGGGUUUUUUUUUGUAAAUUCUGGGCAUAACUGUUUUAUCUCUACCAUUGCACUAUUAUAACAGAAAAAGGUUCGUUGAUCAGCUGGAGUAGCAAUCAUUCUUCUAACCUGAUUAUUGGUGGUUGGUCACAAGUGACAGGCCAAAUCAAACCAAACAGAUAUAAUACGGCAGUCCUUCUGGACUCCAUCUGAACAACCCUUGCGGCGAGCGAGGUUGAUAAUCAACUGCCUCCCGGCAUGCAUAUGGUCAGCCGUGAGCAAUGUGAAACCUAAAAAGGAAAAAGUUGAGGUUGAUCAUCAACCACCCAUCACAUCGCAUAGGCAAGGCAAAAAAGCUCGAGGUUCACCAAACCGCCGCCAUUCUCACCCUACUUCAUGCAUGCCGGGAGGGGAACCUCAUGCUGCAAGCUUUGCUUUGCUCGUCAAACAAACAACCGUACCAGAUUAAAUGGUCAUACCAUUUAUAUAUUUAGCUAAAUACAGGAGCACUAAACUGAACUUUGAAACAGACCGACUAUUUCGGGUAGCAAAGAGUUAUUUAGCAGUGCCGAAAAAAGGAACGGAACUACCGAAAUCUAUUUCUAGAUGCUAGCUAACAGAGUCAUGUCAAACUGACAAGCAGAUGUAAAGACAGAGCACUAAGGCAGUUCAGAAAGUAAUUUCUGUUCCUCGAGAAAACAAGUGUCUACUACUGAGGACAGGAAGCAUUUUAACUGGCAGUGCUUGCAGAACAUCUCGACCCUUGAGAAUGUAGUGGAACUCAGACGAGGGCGUAUCUGGUACACCAGGGCAACUGGUGCUACCGGUGCACCGGACCCCGGUUGCACAUCCAGAAAUGUUCAAAAAAUUCUGGAAAAAAAAUAGUGCAUUGACACAACAUCGUUCGAUGACCGAUGUUGUCACAAAAUUUCAUAUCAAAAUUCGAAACAUUGCACGAGAUACAAAAAUGAUAAAUUUGACAUCAAUGUGAACCUAAUAUAAGUUGGGCUUCAGAUUCGGCCAAUUAUCACACUGAUGUCAAAUUUGUCUUUUUUGUAUCUAGUGCAAUGUUUCGAAUUUUGAUAUGAAAUUUUCCGCCAACAUUGUUGUUUCAAUGCACUUUUUUUUUGAAUUUUUCGAUGUGCAAGCGGUGUCCGGUGUACUGGUAGCAACAAUUUCCCCGGCGCACCAGAUACGCUCUUGAGCUCAGACAACAUAGCGAUACGUCACAUAUUUUCCAGCAGUCUCGCUGGGCCUGGUGAUUUUCACGACCUGUCCACGCCUCAUGCCAUAGUACCUUGCUAUUGGAUCCGUGAUUUGAAUCCGAGGGAGCUGCGUCAUCACAAGACAGCACAAGAGCAUCAGAACCUAGAGUACCACUAUAAUAAUAGAGGCUAAUAUCUGUUUCUUUAUUAAUGUACAUAAGACAUUUCUCCUUAUACUAUUGAUUGGAAGAGCACCUGCCGUUUUACGGCAAAAAGGAAGACAUAUGGGCCAAACUCUUCUAAAGAAUGAGAUUAUGAAAAUUGAUGAAUGCAAAACGUUACCAAUGCAAAUCGUUCAACCACUACCAAGUAAAAAGGGUAAGCAACACUUAAACCAAUGCAGCUUCCUACUAACUUCAGAGCAUUAUGCAUCUUAAUCUUAACAAACAACGCACGGAAACAAACAAGUACACCAAAACUGAUAUGAGAGUAACAAAUUCUGGUACACUUAUCUCUAACAUUACCUAACAGAGCAAGUAUCACUGUAGAAAAUAUGCACCACACCAGUGUCAGUAGAACACCCAUAGACUCACUAACCUAUGCGAAACAUAAUGCUCAUACAUCUAAGAAUCCUUAAGUACACAUUAACUCUGAAAGGAACACAUCCGAAGCAGACUAUAUAGCAUCAUUCUUCAAGUUCUAGAAGAGCUUCUGGCAUGUACAUCCUACUAGCUUAUCCUGCUACCACCUGUGUCUAACAUUCCCAGCCUCUCAUGACAUCACCAGAUUACUUUCAUCAAAGUAGCACCUCAGCUACGGUCUUACACAUGAUCAGUUUCUUGCUCAUCCCGAUUCUACACUUGAUAAUACAGAAUUCACAUGUUUCUAAAUUAUGAACAACCAUAAUUGUUUAAUCAAGAUGACUUAAAGAGUAACAAACAUACAUGACUUAACAGUUGUCAUACUGAACGCAAAUUAACACGACACUGGCCAGGAUAUUCAUCCACAUACGUAUAUGGAUCUUAUUAUCAGAAAUGGCUUAUGUCUACUAUUUGUAGUGGACAUAGGGAUAUGUCCUAGUAGUUCUGCAAGUAGGACUAUAUAAGAUUGUAUCCUUACUAUUGCAUUAUUAGGGGAUAUGAUCCUGGUACUUGGUGUCUAACAAAAACCUCGGCCUCUAUGUGGCAUACUAGCAUGCAAAGCCGCUGUUUUCAGGACAAAAACCCAUCUAUGUAAACCAGGUUAUGGGAUAAAAUAAAAUGCUCCAGUUGGGAUUAAGUAUGAGGGACAUUAGUUUGGUGAAAUAUAGCUUGAGGAAGUAGAGGGAACCUUUUCUUUCAAAUCAAUAAUGUGUUUCAUCCCAACACAACCGUCUGGAAUAUCUACAUGAAGGUAUGCUGGAAUACAGGGUCGUGGUUUUUAGCUAUAAUUGUUUGUUCACAGAUGAUUAUUAACGGCUUACAUGGCUCAAACAGAAAUACAUUUCACAUAAUGACAUGAUUGCAUCAAUUGGAAUAUCAGGUCAGUUACAGUGAGCAAAGGGUUGGCAAAUUUGUAAGACCUGAGUUUCUUUCACAGUGUAUUUCUCCAACAGCGUCUUCUUCUGCUCCUUUGUGAGGAGCACGUGCUCGGGAACUAGAUCGUGAUUCUUAAUGUUUAUAAGAAGCUCCCCUUCCUGCAGGACAACACUACAUUAAACGCCAGCCACUGGUUCCCAUGGCGAGAGGCACUGGAUAUUAGUCAGACGAGUAAAGAGGCAUGGAUGUAGAGCGCGACCUGGAAGACCUCGAGCAUCAAUUUCUCCUUCUCCUGCGAUAACCCGAGCACCGCGUUGCGGGCAAAGGCGGUCAGCGCCUGCUGCACCACGAGUAUGCCAUUGUUGACGUUCUCCUGCUUCAUCUUCUCGGCGUAGCUCUUGACCGUCUUCAUGCCGGGCUUGGGCUCGUUCGGGAAGAAGACGUAGAUCUAGAGCGGCAUUGCCAACGCCGUCCAUCAGUCCAUGCCCUAGUACGGAAAUCGCGGGGAGGAGGUGGGGGGGAGGGGACGCACCUGUUCGUCGGGCUUGUCCUUCUUGGCGCGGUUGAUGACGAGGUCAUCGCGGCGCACGGGGUCGCCGUAGCGCCCGACGAACUCGCCCAUGGUCAUGUCGACGUCGGCGUCCACUACCAGGUACCCGCGGUCCCGCAGCAUCUGCAUCACCGUGCGCCGGACGCGGAACAGCCGGAUCGCCUCCCCCUCUGCCGCCGCCAUCCCUUCGCCGAUCACCCACGCGAAUUUUUCGCCCGCCUUCGGAGGAGGAAGGGCCGGCGGCACCGGAGGUAGGGGUUUGGGGGGAGAAAGGAGGGUUCCAGGAGACACCGGCACCGAGUGGCGAGGAGCGAGGAAGAGUGGGUCGGAGCCGGACCCGAGACCGAGUUAUGGGGGUUUAAUUGGGCCGGAGAAUGAUCUGGGCUGGGCUGGCCCUACGAACAUAUAUGAGGAAUACACACAGAGGACGCCUUUUGUCAUUAAUUUCUCGGGAGCUCCUAUGGCAUUUUUAUAGAAACCGUGGCAUUUCGUGGAGGAACCACGAACUUUUUUUGAUAAACCAUGGCAUUUACAAUGUACUAUAUACCAUGACAUUUUUAUUUUUAAGAGCAUGGCAUUUUCUUUAUUAAGAGCAUGUCAUUUCUAUUUUAAAGAACAUGACAUUUUUGUUAUUAAGAGCAUGUCAUUUUUGUAUGAAGAGUAUGGAAUUUUGUUUGUAUAAGCAUGACACUUUUAUUUUAAAAGAGCAUGGCACUUUUAUUUGAAAGAGCAUGUCAUUUCUAUUAUAAAGAGCAUGGCACUUUUUUUAUAGAGUGUGGCAUUUUUUAUUUUGCAUUGUAGAGCAUUGUAAUUUUGUUAGUGAGAACAUGCCCUUUUUUAUUAUUAAGAGCAUGCCUUUUUUCUUUUAUUAAGAGCAUGAAAUUUUUUAAUCUAUAGCGUGGUAAAUUUAUUUUUACCAUGUUUUAUAGCAUGGCAAGUUUUAGAAAAUCACAUGAUGUUCACAUGGCAAUUCAUAAAUGUUCAAAGAGCAUGGCAUUUUUAUUACUAAGAGCAUGAUAGGAUUUUCUUUUACUAACAGCAUGUCACUUUUUGAAGAGCAUGACAAUUUUAUUACUAGGAGCAUGCCACUUUUUAUCUGGAAUAUGAUUAAUUUUAUUUUAAUAUAUGGAUCAUGGCAUUUUUUUGAGCUGUUUGUUAUGACAAAGAACAUGGCAAUCUUAAUUUUGGAGAAUGCCAUUUUUUAUUUUUAUUUCAUGGCAUUUUAUUAUCUCAGCCCCAAAAUUUUCCUUUUUUACCUUUUAUUAUUUCUCAAUUUUGAAUCAUUCUUUUAUCGCAAAACUUAAAACUUAUUGACAUGGCAACUAAUUUGUUGUUUUUGCAACUUAAAUUAUAGAACCAUGACAAUUAAAAUACAUUUUUGUCUUUGUUUUUUAGUGGACCAUGGCAUUUUUAUAUACACAUUUUUUUUCUUAAUACGCAAAUAUUCCUUGAUCAAUAUGUGAUCUAUUUGAACAUGAUGGCAUUUUUUAUUAUGUACAUCAUGGUAUUUUUUGCGUCUGUUUAACUAUUUAAAAUGGGGUCCAUACACCCAUUUUAAAAAAUCUCACGGAAAAAUGGGCUUUUUUUGGCCCAACUGAUUGGCCCAGACACACUUUUUUGGCGAGUCGGGGGAGGUGUAGGCCUUUUGCGCUGGGGAGGAUAUCGCAACGAAAACGUUCGCUCAUUCCUUCCCGCGUGAUUGGUCAAAACGUUCAAGGUUGUCCCCUCCCAGGUGAACAUUCCCUAGUUAUUCAGGUCCUAAGACAAAAUGGACAAAAAAAUUUGUGCCUUUGCCCCAGAAGAAUACAUCUUUUUACCAGGAAAAGAAAGAAGAAGAAGACACAUCUCAUUGUCUUUUCAUCCAAAUGAUUCAGAAUUGAGUGUCACUUACAAAAAAUGACUCCAUGCUUCUCUUUUGUUUCUCUAAAUCGUUUGUGCUUGGGGAGGAAGUCGGUCCAAUCGAACUGGGAGUAGCAUAAUGGGUAGACAUGAGGGGUACUAGAGACUAACGCGCGUUUCACCGCGUCGCUCUUCACUCGUGUGAUUGUCUUCUUUCUCUAGCAAGUUGUUGCGAACAAUUUGUUUAUCUGUGUUGGCUUGGGUCAAUUAUUUUUUUCAUGGUGUUUUUGUUAGAGUACGUAAUGGGCCUAAUGGCCUGGGCUGACGGUAUAGCCCGUUAGUCUUAGGGUUAAUUAGAGAUAAGGGUCUCUUGCUUAGGGGUCAAGUAAGUCUUGCUUGGGAGUCAAGUAAACCACUCUAUAUAAAGAGAGGAGAUGUAUCAAUCUAAUCAAGCAAGAAUUAAGAAGGAAAUCCCUUCCCUCUUGCCCGGCCGUGGGCAAAAAGGCCCCCGGUCGGCCCUCUCACACCCUCCUUCUAGCACCGCCAUAACAAUUUGGUAUCAGCUAGCUUCGGUUCGAUCAUGUCUUCACCGCCGCCCAACCCGUCUCUUCCGCUGCCGGGAUCCUCCAUCACGCCCGCCCUCGCCGUCCUCACUCCGGAGGAGGUGUCCGGGGUGUUGCGGGACCUAACCCAGGCGGUCCAGGAGAUCCGCCUGUUCUUGGCCGGGUCCUACGGGCCGCACCCGGCUGCGCCGCCCUGGCUGUCGUGGUAGCCGUUGCACCAAGUGGCCUCCGCCGCGCUCGCCGGGCCGCUGCAGCUGCCAUCCACCGCCCGCCCUGGCUGCAGUGGCAGCCGUCGCUCCUGGCGGCCUCCGCCGCAGCAGCCGCUGCCGCUGCCCCAUGGCGUCCCCGCCGCGCUCGCCGGGCCGCUGCAGCUGCCAUCCACCGCCACUGAAGGAAAUAUGCCCUAGAGGCAAUAAUGAAGUUGUUAUUUAUAUUUCCUUAUAUCAUGAUAAAUAUUUAUUAUUCAUGCUAGAAUUGUAUUAACUGGAAACUUAGUACAUGUGUGAAUACAUAGACAAAACAGAGUGUCCCUAGUAUGCCUCUACUUGACUAGCUCGUUCAUCAAAGAUGGUUACGUUUCCUAGCCAUGGACAUGUCUUGUCAUUUGAUGAAUGGGAUCACAUCACUAGAGAAUGAUGUGAUGGACAAGACCCAUCCGUUAUCUUAGCAUAAUGAUGGUUAAGUUUUAUUGCUAUUGCUUUCUUCAUGACUUAUACAUAUUGCUUUGACUAUAAGAUUAUGCAAAUUCCCGAAUACCGGAGGAACACCUUAUGUGCUAUCAAACGUCACAACGUAACUGGGUGAUUAUAAAGAUGCUUUACAGGUGUCUCCGAAGGUGUUUGUUGGGUUGGCAUAGAUCAAGAUUAGGAUUUAUCACUCCAUGUAUCGGAGAGGUAUCUCUGGGCCCUCUUGGUAAUGCACAUCAUAAUAAGCUUUGCAAGCAAUGUGACUAAUGAGUUAGUUACGGGACGAUGUAUUACAGAACGAGUAAAGAGACUUGCCGGUAACGAGAUUGAACUAGGUAUGAAGAUACCGACGAUCGAAUCUCGGGCAAGUAACAUACCGAUGACAAAGGGAAUAACGUAUGUUGUCAUAACGGUUCGACCGAUAAAGAUCUUCGUAGAAUAUGUAGGAGCCAAUAUGGGCACCCAGGUUCCGCUAUUGGUUAUUUACCAGAGAGGUGUCUCGGUCAUGUCUACAUAGUUCUCGAACCCGUAGGGUCCGCACGCUUAACGUUCGUUGACGAUAUAGUACUGUAUGAGUUAUGUAUGUUGGUGACCAAAUGUUGUUCGGAGUCCCGAAUGAGAUCACGGACACGACGAGGAGCUCCGGAGGUAAAGAUUGAUAUAUAGGAUGAUAUGGUUUGGCCAAGGGGUGAAGCCCACGAGGCUUUAGGUCGGUGCAAAAGGAGUUUUGCGGAGGCCAGGGGGCCAAACGCCGAGGCCCAUGGCGUCUGUGCCAGAUGCCAAGGAUUGUGGCGUUUGGUCCUGGAGUCCGAGUGGGACUCUUGCCUUUUGGGCAAAACCGACUUUGAGGAGGCUUUUGCUCCAAGUUUCGAUCCUAGGGCUCAACAUAUAAAUAGAGGGGCAGGGCUAGCACCCAAGACACAUCAAGAAACACCAAGCCGUGUGCCGGCAACCCCGUCCCCUCUAGUUUAUCCUCCGUCAUAGUUUUCGUAGUGCUUAUGUGAAGCCCUGCGGAGAUUGUUCUUCACCAACACCGUCACCACGCUGUCGUGCUGCCGGAACUCAUCUACUACUUCGCCCCUCUUGCUGGAUCAAGAAGGCGAGGACGCCAUCGAGCUGAACGUGUGCUGAACUCGGAGGUGCCGUACGUUCGGUACUUGAUUGGGACGGAUCAUGAAGGUGUACGAGUACAUCAACCGCGUUGGUAAACGCUUCCGCUUUUUGUCUACGAGGGUACGUAGAUACACUCUCCCCUCUCGUUGAUGUGCAUCUCCUAGUUGAUCUUGCGUGAUCGUAGGAAAAUUUUGAAUUACUACGUUCCCCAACAGUGGCAUCCAAGCCAGGUCUAUGCGUUGAUGUUAUAUGCACGAGUAGAACACAAAGAGUUGUGGGCGAUAAUAGUCAUACUGCUUACCAGCAUGUCAUACUUUGAUUCGGCGGUAUUGUUGGAUGAAGCGGCUCAGACCGACAUUACGCGUACGCUUACGCGAGACUGGUUCUACCGCCGUGCUUCGCACGCAGGUGGCUAGUGGGUGUCAGUUUCUCCGACUUUAGUUGAAUCGAGUGUGACUACGCCCGGUCCUUGUUGAAGGUUAAAACAUCACACUUGACGAAAAAUCGUUGUGGUUUUUGAUGCGUAGGUAAGAACGGUUCUUUCUAAACCCGUAGCAGCCACGUAAAAUUUGCAACAACAAGUAGAGGACGUCUAACUUGUUUUUGCAGGGCAUGUUGUGAUGUGAUAUGGUCAAGACGUGAUGAUAUGUAAAUUGUUGUAUGAGAUGAUCAUGUUUUGUAAAAGUUAUCGGCAACCGGCAUGAGCCUUAUGGUUGUCGCUUUAUUGUAUGAAAUGCAAUCUCCAUGUAAUUGCUUUACUUUAUCACUAAGCGGUAGCGAUAAUCGUGAUAGCAAUAGUUGGCGAGACGACAACGAUGCUUCAAUGGAGAUCAAGGUGUCAAGCCGGUGACGAUGGUGAUCAGAACGGUGCUUUGGAGAUGGAGAUCAAAGGCACAAGAUGAUGAUGGCAAUAUCAUAUCACUUAUAUUGAUUGCAUGUGAUGUUUAUCCUUUAUGCAUCUUAUUUUCCUUAGUAUGACGGUAGCAUUAUAAGAUGAUCCCUCAUUAAAUUUCAAGGUAUAAGUGUUCUCCCUAAGUAUGCACCGUUGCGACAGUUCUGUUGGGGAACGUAGCAAUAAUUCAAAAAAAUUCCUAUGUGUCACCAAGAUCAAUCUAGGAGAUGCUAGCAACGAGAGAGAGGGAGUGCAUCUUCAUACCCUUGAAGAUCGCUAAGCGGAAGUGUUACAAGACCGCGGUUGAUGGAGUCGUACUCACGGUGAUUCAAAUCGCAGAAGAUCCGAUCUAGCGCCGAACGGACAGCGCCUCCGCGUUCAACACACGUACAGCCCGGGGACGUCUCCUCCUUCUUGAUCCAGCAAGGGGAGAGGAGAAGUUGAGGGAGAACUCCAGCAGCACGCCGGCGUGGUGGCAAUGGAGCUCGUGGUUCUCCGGUAGAGCUUCGCUAAGCACUACGGAGGAGCAGGAGGAGUUGGAGGAGGACAGGGCUGCGCUAGGCAAGGGGUGCGGCUGCCCUCCCACCCCCUAACUAUAUAUAGGGGGAAGGGGAGAGGGGGCCGGCCCCUCUAGAUGGAUCUAGAGGAGGAGGCGGCGGCCAGGGGAAACCCUAGAUGGGUUUGGGCGCCCCACCCCUAGGAAACUUGCCCCCCAAGCCGGGAGGGGCGGCUGCCCUAGGGGUGGCGCCCCCACCUCUCCUGGUUACGUGAGAGGGGUUGGGAGGGGUGCACAGCCCCUUAGUGGGCUGGUUUGACCCUUCCCCUUGGCCCAUAAGGCCCCCCAACGCUUGCCGGGGCCUCCGAAACCCCUUUCGGACAUGCUAGCCAUAGCCUGGUACCCCCGGAACAAUUCCGGACUCCAAUACCCUUCGUCCAAUAUACCGAUCUUCACCUCCGGACCAUUCCGGAGCUCCUCGUCAUGUCCGGGAUCUUAUCCGGGACUCCAAACAACCUUCGGUAACCACAUACUAUUUCCCAUAACAACUCUAGCGUCACCAAACCUUAAGUGUGUAGACCCUACGGGUUCAGGAACCAUGCAGACAUGACCGAGACACCUCUCCGGCCAAUAACCAAUAGCAGGAUCUGGAUACCCAUAUUGGCUCCCACAUGUUCCACGAUGAUCUCAUCGGAUGAACCACGAUGUCGGGGAUUCAAUCAAUCCCGUAUACAAUUCCCUUUGUCUAUCGGUAUGUUACUUGCCCGAGAUUCGAUCGUCGGUAUCCCAAUACCUCGUUCAAUCUCGUUACCGGCAAGUCUCUUUACUCGUUCCGUAACACAUGAUCCCGUGGCUAACUCAUUAGUCACAUUGAGCUCAUUAUGAUGAUGCAUUACCGAGUGGGCCCAGAGAUACCUCUCCGUCAUACGGAGUGACAAAUCCCAGUCUCGCUUCGUGCCAACCCAACAGACACUUUCGGAGAUACUUGUAGUGCACCUUUAUAGCCACCCAGUUAUGUUGUGACGUUUGAUACACCCAAAGCAUUCCUACGGUAUCCGGGAGUUGCACAAUCUUCUGGUCUAAGGAAAUGAUACUUGACAUUAGAAAAGCUCUUAGCAAACAAACUACACGAUCUUGUGCUAUGCUUAGGAUUGGGUCUUGUCCAUCACAUCAUUCUCCUAAUGAUGUGAUCCCGUUAUCAAUGACAUCCAAUGUCCAUGGUCAGGAAACCAUAACCAUCUAUUGAUCAACGAGCUAGUCAACUAGAGGCUUACUAGGGACAUGUUGUGGUCUAUGUAUUCACACAUGUAUUACGGUUUCGAGUUAAUACAAUUAUAGCAUGAACAAUAGACAAUUAUCAUGAACAAGGAAAUACAAUAAUAACCAUUUUAUUAUUGCCUCUAGGGCAUAUUUCCAACAAUCUCCCACUUGCACUAGAGUCAAUAAUCUAGUUCACAUCACUAUGUGAUUGUAAUGAAUCCAACACCCAUGGGGUUUGUUCAUAUCUCGCUUGUGAGAGAGGUUAUUAGUCAAUGGGUCUGAACCUUUCAGAUCCGCGUGUGCUCUACAAAUCUCUAUGUCAUCUUGUAGAUGCAGCUACCACGCGCUACUUGGAGCUAUUCCAAAUAACUGCUCUACUGUACGAAUCCAGUUUACUACUCAGAGUCAUCCGGAUUAGUGUCAUAGUUUGCAUCGACGUAACCCUUUACGACGAACUCUUUUACCACCUCCAUAAUCGAGAAAAUUCCCUAGUCCACUAGUUACUAAGGAUAAGUUCGACCGCUGUCAUGUGAUCCAUUCCUGGAUCACUAUUGUACCCCUUGACUAACUCAUGGCAAGGCACACUUUAGGUGCGGUACACAACAUAGCAUACUGUAGAGCCUACGUCUAAAGCAUAGGGGACGACCUUCGUCCUUUCUCUCUCUUCUGCCGUGGUCAGGUCUUGAGUCUUACUCAAUACUCACACCUUGUAACACAGCCAAGAACUCCUUCUUUGCUGAUCUAUUUUGAACUCCUUCAAAAUCUUGUCACGGAAUGUAUUCAUUUUGAAAGUACUAUUAAGCGUUUUUGAUCUAUCCUUAUAGAUCUUGAUGCUCAAUGUUCAAGUAGCUUAAUCUAGGUUUUCCAUUGAAAAACACUUUUCAAAUAACCCUGUAUGCUCUCCAGAAAUUCUACAUCAUUUCUGAUCAACAAUAUGUUAACAACAUAUACUCAUCAAAAAUUCUAUAGUGCUCCCACUCACUUUGGAAAUACAAGUUUCUCAUAAACUUUGUAUAAACCCAAAAUCUUUGAUCAUCUCAUCAAAGCAUACAUUCCAACUCCGAGAUGCUUACUCCAGUCCUUAGAAGGAUUGCUGGAGCUUUGCAUACUUGUUAGCAUAUUUCAGGAUUGAAAAAACCUUCUGGUUGUAUCACAUACAACCUUUCCUCAAGAAAAUCGUCGAGGAAACAAUGUUUUGACAUCCUAUAUGCAAGAUUUCAUAAAUAAUGCAGUAAUUGCUAAUAUAAUUCCAACAGACUCUUAGCAUCGCUACGAGUGAGAAAGUCUCAUCGCAGUCAACUCCUUGAACUUGUCGGAAAACAUCUUAACGACAAGUCGAGCUUUCUUAAUGGUGACACUUACCAUCAUUGUCCGUCUUCCUUUUAAAAACCAUCUGCACCCAACAGCCUUACGACCAUCAAGUAGUUCUUCCAAAGUCUAUACUUUGCUUUUAUACAUGGAUCCUCUCUCGGAUUUUAUGGCCUCGAGCCAUUCAUCGGAAUCCGGGCCCACCAUCGCUUCUCCAUAGCUCGUAGGUUCAUUGUUGUCUAGCAACAUGACUUCCAAGACAGGAUUACGUACCACUCUGAAGUAGAACAUAUCCUUGUCGACCUAUGAGGUUUGGUAGUGACUUGAUCCGAAGUUUCAUGAUCACUAUCAUAAGCUUCCACUUCAAUUGGUGUAGGUGCCACAGGAACAACUUCUUGUGCCCUGCUACACACUAGUUGAAGUGACGGUUCAAUAACCUCAUCAAGUCUCCACCAUCCUCCCACUCAAUUCUUUCGAGAGAAACUUUUCCUCGAGAAAGGACCCGUUUCUAGAAACAAUCACUUUCGCUUCCAUAUCUGAAAUAGGAGGUAUAUCCAACUGUUUUGGGUAUUCUAUGAAGAUGCAUUUAUCCGCUUUGGGUUCGAGCUUAUCAGCCUGAAACUUUUACACAUAAGCAUCGCAGCCCAAACUUUUAAGAAACGACAGCUUAGGUUUCUCUAAACCAUAGUUCAUACGGUGUCGUCUCAACGGAAUUGCGUGGUGCCCUAUUUAAAGUGAAUGCGGUUGUCUCUAAUGCCUAGCCCAUAAACGAUAGUGGUAAUUCGAUAAGAGACAUCAUGGUAUGCACCAUAUCCAAUAAGGUGCAGUUAUGAUGUUCAGACACACCAUCACACUAUGGCGUUCCACGCGGUAUUAGUUGUGAAACAAUUUCCACAAUGUCUUAAUUGUGUGCCAAACUCGUAACUCAGAUAUCUCUAUGAUCAUAUCAUAGACAUUUUAUCCUCUUGUCACGACGAUCUUCAACUUCACUCUGAAAUCACUUGAACCUUUCAAUAAUUCAGACUUGUGUUUCAUCAAGUAAAUAUUCUUAGCAUUUACUCAAAUCAUCUGUGAAGUAAGAACAUAACGAUAUCCACUGCGUGCCUCAGCACUCAUUGGACUGCACACAUCAAAUGUAUUACUUCCAACAAGUUGCUCUCUUGUUUCAUCUUACUGAAAACGAGGCCUUUCAGUCAUCUUGCCCAUGUGGUAUGAUUUGCAUGUCUCAAGUGAUUCAAAAUCAAGCGAGUCCAAAUGAUCCAUCUGUAUGGAGUUUCUUCAUGCAUAUCUACCAAUAGACAUGGUUCGCAUGUCUCAAUCUUUUCAAAAAUGAGUGAGUCCAAAGAUCCAUCAACAUGGAGCUGCUUCAUGCGUUUUAUACCAAUAUGACUCAAAUGGCAGUGCCACAAGUAUGUGGUACUAUCAUUACUAUCUUAUAUCUUUUGGCAUGAACAUGUGUAUCACUACGAUCGAGAUUCAAUAAACCAUUCAUUUUAGGUGCAAGACCAUUGAAGGUAUUAUUCAAAUAAACAGAGUAACCAUUAUUCUCCUUAAAUGAAUAACCGUAUUGCGAUAAACAUAAUCCAAUCAUGUCUAUGCUCAAUGCAAACACGAAAUAACAAUUAUUUAGGUUUAACACCAAUCUCGAUGGUAGAGGGAGCGUGCGAUGUUUGAUCACAUCAACCUUGGAAACACUUCCAACACAUAUCGUCAUCUCACCUUCAUCUAGUCUCCGUUUAUUCCGUAGCUUUUUAUUUCGAGUUACCAACACUUAGCAACCGAACCGGUAUCUAAUACCCUGGUGCUACUAGGAGUACUAGUAAAGUACACAUUAAUAUAAUGUAUAUCCAAUAUACUUCUGUCGACCUUGCCUGCCUUCUCAUCUACCAAGUAUCUAGGGUAGUUCUGCUUCAGUGACCGUUCCCCUCAUUACAGAAGCACUUAGUCUCGGGUUUGGGUUCAACCUUGGGUUUCUUCACUAGAGCAGCAACUGAUUUGCCGUUUCAUGAAGUAUCCCUUCUUUCCCUUGCCCUUCUUGAAACUAGUGGUUUUACUAACCAUCAACAAUUGAUGCUCCUCCUUGAUUUCUACUUUCGUGGUGUCAAACAUCGCGAGUUGCUCAAGGAUCAUCAUGUCUGUCCCUGAUAUGUUAUAGUUCAUCACGAAGCUCUAAUAGCUUGGUGGCAGUGACUAUGGAGAACCAUCACUAUCUCAUCUGGAAGAUUAACUCCCACUCGAUUCAAGCGAUUGUAGUACUCAGACAAUCUGAGCACAUGCUCAACGAUUGAGCUUUUCUUCCUUAGUUUGCAGGCUUAAGAAACUUGUCAGAGGUCUCAUACCUCUUGAUGUGGGCACUAGUCUGAAAUCCCAAUUUCAGUCUUUGGAACAUCUCAUAUGUUCUGCGACGUUUCAAAAACGUCUUUGGUGCCACAAUUUUAAACUGUUAGCAUUACGCACUGAACUAUCACGUAGUCAUCAAAACGUGUAUGUCAGAUGUUCACAACAUCCACAGACGACGCUCGAGGUUCAGCACACCGAGCGGUGCAUUAAGGACAUAAGCCUUCUGCGCAGCAAUGAGGAUAAUCCUCAGUUUACGGACCCAGUCCGCAUAAUUUCUACUAUCAACUUUCAACUAAAUUUUCUCUAGGAACAUAUCUUAAACAGUAGAACUAAAGCGUAAGCUACGACAUAAUUUGCAAAGACCUAUUGACUAUGUUCAUGAUAAUUAAGUUCAUCUGAUUAUUUAAUGAACUCCCACUUAGAUAGACAUCCCUCUAGUCAUCUAAGUGAUACAUGAUCCGAGUCAACUAGGCCGUGUCCGAUCAUCACGUGAGACGGACUAGUCAUCAUCGGUGAACAUCUUCAUGUUGAUCGUAUCUACUAUACGACUCAUGUUCGACCUUUCGGUCUCUUGUGUUCCGAGGCCAUGUCUGUACAUGCUAGGCUCGUCAAGUCAACCGAAGUGUUUCGCAUGUGUAAAUCUGGCUUACACCCGUUGUAUGCGAACUUUAGAAUCUAUCACACCCGAUCAUCACGUGGUGCUUCGAAACAACGAACCUUCGCAACGGUGCACAGUUAGGGGGAACACAUCUCUUGAAAUUUUAGUGAGGGAUCAUCUUAUUUAUGCUACCUGAAGGAAAUAUGCCCUAGAGGCAAUAAUAAAGUUAUUAUUUAUUUCCUUAUAUCAUGAUAAAUAUUUAUUAUUCAUGCUAGAAUUGUAUUAACCGGAAACUUGAUACAUGUGUGAAUACAUAGACAAACAGAGUGUCACUAGUAUGCCUCUACUUGACUAGCUCGUUGAUCAAAGAUGGUUAUGUUUCCUAGCCAAUGACAUGAGUUGUCAUUUGAUUAAUGGGAUCACAUCAUUAGGAGAAUGAUGUGAUUGACUUGACCCAUUCCGUUAGCUUAGCACUCGAUCGUUUAGUAUGUUGCUAUUGCUUUCUUCAUGACUUAUACAUGUUCCUAUGACUAUUAGAUUAUGCAACUCCCAUUUACCGGAGGAACACUUUGUGUGCUACCAAACGUCACAACGUAACUGGGUGAUUAUAAAGGUGCUCUACAGGUGUCUCCGAAGGUACUUGUUGGGUUGGCGUAUUUCGAGAUUAGGAUUUGUCACUCCGAUUGUUGGAGAGGUAUCUCUGGGCCCACUCGGUAAUGCACAUCACUAUAAGCCUUGCAAGCAUUGCAACUAAUGAGCUAGUUGCGGGAUGAUGUAUUACAGAACGAGUAAAGAGACUUGCCGGUAAUGAGAUUGAACUAGGUAUUGAGAUACCGACGAUGGAAUCUCGGGCAAGUAACAUACCGAUGACAAAGGGAACAACGUAUGUUGUUAUGCGGUUUGACCGAUAAAGAUCUUCGUAGAAUAUGUGGGAGCCAAUAUGGGCAUCCAGGUCCCGCUAUUGGUUAUUGACCGGAGACAUAUCUCGGUCAUGUCUACAUAGUUCUCGAACCCGUAGGGUCCGCACGCUUAACGUUACGAUGACAGUUUUAUUAUGAGUUUAUGAGUUUUGAUGUACCGAAGGAGUUCGGAGUCCCAGAUGAGAUCGGUGACAUGACGAGGAGUCUCGAAAUGGUCGAGACGUAAAGAUCGAUAUAUUGGACGACUAUAUUCGGACAUCGGAAAGGUUCCGAGUGAUUCGGGUAUUUUUCGGAGUACCGGAGAGUUACGGGAAUUCGUAUUGGGCCUUAAUGGGCCAUACGGGAAAGGAGAGAAAGGCCCCAAAGGGUGGCCGCACCCCUCCCCAUGGACUAGUCCGAAUUGGACUAGGGAGGGGGGCGCCCCCUUCCUUCUUUCUUCUUCUCCCUUCCCUUCUCCUAUUCCAACAAGGAAAGGAGGAGUCCUACUCCCGGUGGGAGUAGGACUCCCCCCUUGGCGCGCCCUCCUCCUUGGCCGGCGGCCUCCCCCUUGCUCCUUUAUAUACGGGGGCAGGGGGCACCUCUAGACACACAAUUGAUCAACGAUCUUUUAGCCGUGUGCGGUGCUCCCCUCCACCAUAUUACACCUCGAUAAUAUCGUAGCGGUGCUUAGGCGAAGCCCUGCGUCGGUAGAACAUCAUCAUCGUCACCACGCCGUCGUGCUGACGAAACACUCCCUCAACACUCGGCUGGAUCGGAGUUCGAGGGACGUCAUCGAGCUGAACGUGUGCUGAACUCGGAGGUGCCGUGCGUUCGGUACUUGAUCGGUCGGAUCAUGAAGACGUACGACUACAUCAACCGCGUUGUGUUAACGCUUCCGCUUUCGGUCUACGAGGGUACGUUGUAGCGACCAGACCUCAAAUAGUCUGUGCUGCUGUGCACCAGUGUCAUCCCUGGAUCAGUAAUGCUGACACGCACAGUACAAAUGGAGGAUUUAUAACAGAGUAGCAAUCACACACUUAUUACAACGAAUAUCUCCAAAGAGAAUAAGUAUGAUAAAUAUGGCUUAAGGCCAUCUAAAAACGAUAACAGCGGAAGACUUGGAAGAUAAGUGAGUCCAUCAACUCCAGCGGCAUCACUGAGUAUAAGACCACGACCUAAGGCACCUUACUCGUCGUCUGAAAAGUCUGCAACAUGAAACGUUGCAGCCCGAAAACGGGUCAACACAUGGAAUAUGCUGGCAAUGUAACACAUAGAGAAAUAAUGAACAGUAAUAAUACUAUACUACAUGCAUAUAAGGCUAGUGGAAAGCUCUAUGGUUAAAGUUUUUGCGGAAAGCCAAUUUUUCCCUACUACAAAGGAAUAAAUUUUAUUUAACUAUCAUGGUGGUUGUUAAACAUUGAGACGGUUGACAGCAUCUCAAUUCCAAUUAAGUGUCAUCAAUAACCCAACAAAAUUAAUUAAAAGUAACAUGGUGAUGGGAUUCACAUGAUAAUCCAGGUACUAGAUACUCAAAUUUGUCCAUAACCGGGGACACGACUAACCAUGAUUAGUUUGUACACUCUGCAGAGGUUUGUGCACUUUUCCCCACAAGACUCGAUCGCCUCCGCUUGAUUCUCGCACUACAUGAUGUUUGAGAAACGGAUGAUCGAGACACAGUCUUUCAGAAGUGUUUGCACCUUACGUAUGGGUAGACAGUUACACCUACUUUCCCCUACAUCUGCUAGUCUACCACUGUAAGAGUUCACACAACUUAGUCAACUAUGCUAGAGCCCAUAAUAGCUUGUGGCUGCACACGGAAGUUUCUAGCAUGAAUAAUCUCAUGAUCCUUUGAACCUGGGUGGCGGUCCAAAAGAAAAACAGGCAAUCCUGGAAUACCCAGGUACCUCAAUCCACCCAGAUGUGAGUUUUAGUUGCCACCUUAAGUAAACCAUUAUUAACAAUCUCACAUCUGUCAUGAAUAUCACUCAAACCCAAUCCACGUCUACGAGCAUAGCAUGGCAAUAUAAUAGCAAACGUAGAAGUAACUCCCAAGGGUUUGAUAAAAGAACAGGUAAUAGGUACUACCUCAACUACUUCCCAAUACCCACAAUUUAAUUAGAUCCUAAUCAUGCAAUGUUUGAGGAAUAGAUCUAAUGCAAUAAAAACUGGGUAUGGAAGGUAUAUGAUCAAAGUGUUACUUGCCUUGCUGAUGAUCCGCGAAACCUAGCGAUUCGAAGUAACAAGCGGCACACUCCGGGUACUCUAUCGCAAACAAACAAGCAAACAAUAAGUACUCAUCUAAUGCACAGGUAAAACUCGAAUGAGAGAUCCAACCAUAAAGUUCAACUUAAGAACUCCGGUUUGCAAAAAGAAUCAACUCGAACGAAGCAACGAAAGUCAAACGGCAAAAGAAACAAACUUUGUUUACUAAUCUGGAUCUAGGUCAAAUUUUACAGUAGCAAAAACUUGUUUGAGUAGGCUAAACGGAAAGAGAAUUUCGAGACGAAACUCUAGGCGCUUGAAUCGCCUGAUUCCGAUAAACGAGCGAAAAAUUAAACAGAAACGAAGAUUCGAUCAGAAAUCGAGAUCUGAGAUAAUCGCGGAAAAAUCCGAUGAAAAAGAAAAACGGACGAAUGGUUAAAGAACGGACGUUCGUUAACAGAGAAAAUCCGACGAACGCGUUCGUUAAAACGAACGGGUCGGUGAACGUUCACAAAAUAGCAAAACCGAAGAAAUAAACCGAUCUAGGUUUUUUUUGAACGAACGGUUUUUUUUAAACAAAACCGGCAACGACGGCGAGGUAUACCUCGUCGGGGCAGGGCUCCGGCAGGGCUCCAGCUGGCUCCGGCGAGGGCGGCGGGGUGCGGCGGGGCUCAGGGGGCUCGGGGGUGGCGAGGGGCGGCUCCGGCGGCCGGGUUCGGCGAGCGGCGGCGGNNNNNNNNNNNNNNNNNNNNNNNNNNNNNNNNNNNNNNNNNNNNNNNNNNNNNNNNNNNNNNNNNNNNNNNNNNNNNNNNNNNNNNNNNNNNNNNNNNNNNNNNNNNNNNNNNNNNNNNNNNNNNNNNNNNNNNNNNNNNNNNNNNNNNNNNNNNNNNNNNNNNNNNNNNNNNNNNNNNNNNNNNNNNNNNNNNNNNNNNNNNNNNNNNNNNNNNNNNNNNNNNNNNNNNNNNNNNNNNNNNNNNNNNNNNNNNNNNNNNNNNNNNNNNNNNNNNNNNNNNNNNNNNNNNNNNNNNNNNNNNNNNNNNNNNNNNNNNNNNNNNNNNNNNNNNNNNNNNNNNNNNNNNNNNNNNNNNNNNNNNNNNNNNNNNNNNNNNNNNNNNNNNNNNNNNNNNNNNNNNNNNNNNNNNNNNNNNNCUUGGAGGAGGGGGCAAGGCGCGGUGGCGGGGUGUCCGUGGCAGACACGGCGGCGGCGUCCGGCGUGCUCGCGGAGGAGAACGCGGAGAUGGGCCGGCGGCUCGGCUGGGCCUCGGCCCGGUCGGGCGCGGCGCGAUUUUUUUAAAAACGUUCCGCCGAAAAAUUCGUAGAAAAAUAAAUAAAAAUCCAAAAAAGAUAAAAAAAUUCCCCGUCUAGUUAGAAUAUUUAGAACAGGGUGAACAUUUUUUUGACACAAAAAUAAAUUUUUGAAAACAUGCAAUAUUUCUUUAAUGCAAUUAAAAUUGCAAAUAAAAUCUGAAUAAAAUCCACUAAAUUAUUUUAACAUUUUUCCUCCAAUAUUUCAAUUGUUUUGGAGAAGUGAUAUUUUCUCCUCUCAUUUAUUUUUAAUGAAAUAUUUUUCCGGAGAGAAAAAUAAUUAAAACCAAAAUCCUCGUUUUAUUAUUUGAUGAAAAUCAAAUAUGAAAAUUCGAGAAAAUCCCCAACUCUCUCCGAGGGUCCUUGAGUUGCUUAGGAUUUAUCGAGGAUUUGUCAAAAUGCAAUAGAAAAUAUGAUAUGCAAUGAUGAUCUAUGUAUAACAUACCAAAUUGAAAAUUUGGGAUGUUACAUACGUAGACAACACUCUCCCCUCUCGUUGCUAUGCAUCACCAUGAUCUUGCGUGUGCGUAUGAAUUUUUUUGAAAUUACUAUGUUCCCCAACACUACCGUCGUUCUAAGCAAAUAAGAUGUAAACAUGACAAACAUCACAUGCAAAUCAUAAAGUGACAUGAUAUGGCCAAUAUCAUCUUGCGCCUUUGAUCUCCAUCUUCGAGGCGCGGCAUGAUCACCUUCGUCACCGGCAUGACACCAUGAUCUCCAUCAUCGUGUCUUCAUGAAGUUGUCUCGCCAACUAUUACUUCUACUACUAUGGCUAACGGUUAGCAAUAAAGUAAAGUAAUUACAUGGCGUUUUUCAUUGACACGCAGGUCAUACAAUAAAUUAAGACAACUCCUAUGGCUCCUGCCGGUUGUCAUACUCAUCGACAUGCAAGUCUUGAUUCCUAUUACAAGAACAUGAUCAUUCUCAUACAUCACAUAUAUAUAAUUCAUCACAUCCUUUUGUCCAUAUCACAUCACAUAGCAUACCCUGCAAAAACAAGUUAGACGUCCUCCAAUUGUUGUUGCAUGUUUUACGUGGCUGCUAUGGGUUUCUAGCAAGAACGUUUCUUACCUACGCAAAAGCCACAACGGUGAUAUGCCAAUUGCUAUUUACCCUUCAUAAGGACCCUCUUCAUCGAAUCCGAUCCGACUAAAGUGGGAGAGACAGACACCCGCUAGCCACCUUAUGCAUCAAGUGCAUGUCAGUCGGUGGAACCUGUCUCACGUAAGUGUACGUGUAAGGUCGGUCCGGGCCGCUUCAUCCCACAAUGCCGCCGAAUCAAGAUAAGACUAGUAACGACAAGCAAAUUGAACAAAUCAUCGCCCACAACUACUUUGUGUUCUACUCGUGCAUAGAAUCUACGCAUAGACCUAGCUCAUGAUGCCACUGUUGGGGAACGUAGCAAUAAUUCAAAAUUUUCCUACGUGUCACCAAGAUCAAUCUAGGAGAUGCUAGCAACGAGAGAGAGGGAGUGCAUCUUCAUACCCUUGAAGAUUGCUAAGCGGAAGCGUUACAAGAACGCGGUUGAUGGAGUCGUACUCGCGGCGAUUCAAAUCGCAGAAGAUCCGAUCUAGCGCCGAACGAACGACGCCUCCGCGUUCAACACACGUACAGCUCGAGGACGUCUCCUCCUUCUUGAUCCAGCAAGGGGAGAGGAGAAGUUGAGGGAGAACUCCAGCAGCACGACGGCGUGGUGGCAAUGGAGCCCGUGGUUCUCCGGCAGAGCUUCGCUAAGCACUACGGAGGAGCAAGAGGAGUUGGAGGAGGACAGGGUUGCGCCAGGCAAGGGGUGCGGCUGCCCUCCCACCCCCUCACUAUAUAUAGGGGGAAGGGGAGAGGGGGCCGGCCCCUCUAGAUGGAUCUAGAGGAGGAGGCGGCGGCCAGGGGAAACCCUAGAUGGGUUUGGGCGCCCCCACCCCUAGGAAACUUGCCCCCCAAGCCGGGAGGGGCGGCUGCCCUAGGGGUGGCGCCCCCACCUCUCCUGGUUACGUGAGAGGGGUUGGGAGGUGCGCACAGCCCCUUAGUGGGCUGGUUUGCCCCUUCCCCUUGGCCCAUAAGGCCCCCCAACGCUUGCUGGGGCCUCCGAAACCCCUUUUGGACAUGCUGGCCAUAGCCUGGUACCCCCGGAACAAUUCCGGACUCCAAUACCCUUCGUCCAAUAUACCGAUCUUCACCUCCGGACCAUUCCGGAGCUCCUCGUCAUGUCCGGGAUCUCAUCCGGGACUCCGAACAACCUUCGGUAACCACAUACUAUUUCCCAUAACUACUCUAGCGUCACCGAACCUUAAGUGUGUAGACCCUAUGGGUUCGGGAACCAUGCAGACAUGACCGAGACACCUCUCCGGCCAAUAACCAAUAGCGGGAUCUGGAUACCCAUAUUGGCUCCCACAUGUUCCACGAUGAUCUCAUCGGAUGAACCACGAUGUCAGGGAUUCAAUCAAUCCCGUAUACAAUUCCCUUUGUCUAUCGGUAUGUUACUUGCCCGAGAUUCGAUCGUUGGUAUCCCAAUACCUUGUUCAAUCUCGUUACCGGCAAGUCUCUUUACUCGUUCCGUAACGCAUGAUCCCGUGGCUAACUCAUUAGUCACAUUGAGCUCAUUAUGAUGAUGCAUUACCGAGUGGGCCCAGAGAUACCUCUCCGUCAUACGGAGUGACAAAUCCCAGUCUCGAUUCGUGCCAACCCAACAGACACUUUCGGAGAUACCUGUAGUGCACCUUUAUAGCCACCCAGUUACGUUGUGACGUUUGAUACACCCAAAGCAUUCCUACGGUAUCCGGGAGUUGCACAAUCUCAUGGUCUAAGGAAACGAUACUUGACAUUAGAAAAGCAAUUAGCAAACGAACUACACGAUCUUGUGCUAUGCUUAGGAUUGGGUCUUGUCCAUCACAUCAUUCUCCUAAUGAUGUGAUCCCGUUAUCAAUGACAUCCAAUGUCCAUGGUCAGGAAACCAUAACCAUCUAUUGAUCAACGAGCUAGUCAACUAGAGGCUUACUAGGGACAUGUUGUGGUCUAUGUAUUCACACAUGUAUUACGGUUUCCAUGAACAAUAGACAAUUAUCAUGAACAAGGAAAUACGAUAAUAACCAUUUUAUUAUUGCCUCUAGGGCAUAUUUCCAACAAGUUCUUCGUGCUGAGACAUCACGUGAUGAUCGAGUGUGAUAAGCUCUACGUUCACAUACAACAGGUGCAAGCCAGUUUUGCACACGCAGAAUACUCGGGUUAAACUUGACGAGCCUAGCAUAUGCAGAUAUGGCCUCAGAACACUGAGACCGAAAGGUCGAGCGUGAAUCAUAUAGUAGAUAUGAUCAACAUAGUGGUGUUCACCAUUGAAAGCUACUCCAUCUGACGUGAUGAUUGCUACCUCUUGAGCAUGCGUUGGUUUUCCCUUGAAGAGGAAAGGGUGAUGCAGCAAAGCAGCGUAAGUAUUUCCCUCGGUUUUUGAGAACCAAGGUAUCAAUCCAGUAGGAGAUUACACGCAAUUCCCUAGUACCUGCACAAACAAAUAAGAACCUUGCAACCAACGCGAUAAAGGGGUUGCCAAUACCUUCACGGCCACUUGCAAAAGUGAGAUCUGAUAGAGAUAAUAAGAUAAAUAUUUUUGGUAUUUUUGUUGUAUAGAUUGAAAAGUAAAGAUUGCAAAAUAAAAUAGAUUGGAAACUUAUAUGAUGGAAAGUAGACCCCGGGGCCAUAGGUUUCACUAGAGGCUUCUCUCGAGAUAGCAUAUUCUAUGGUGGGUGAACAAAUUACUGUCGAGCAAUUGAUAGAAAACUGCAUAGUUAUGAGAAUAUCUAGGCAUGAUCAUGUAUAUAGGCAUCACAUCCAUGACAAGUAGACUGAAACGAUUCUGCAUCUAUUACUAUUACUCCACACAUCGACCGCUAUCCAGCAUGCAUCUAGAGUAUUAAGUUCAUAAGAACAGAGUGACGCAUUAGGCAAGAUAACAUAAUGUAGAGGGAUAAACUCAAGCAAUAUGAUAUAAACCGCAUCUUUUUAUCCUCGAUGGCAACAAUACAAUACGUGCCUUGCUACCCCUACAGUCACUGGGAAAGGACACCGCAAGAUUGAACCCAGAGCUAAGCACUUCUCCCAUUGCAAGAAAGAUCAAUCUAGUAGGCCAAACCAAACUGAUAAUUCAAAGAGACUUGCAAAGAUAUUAAAUCAUGCAUAAAAGAAUUCAGAGAAGAUUCAAAUAUUGUUCAUAGAUAAACUUGAUCAUAAACCCACAAUUCAUCAGAUCUCGACAAACACACUGCAAAAAGUAUUACAUCUAAUAGAUCUCCAAGAAGAUUGAGGAGAACUUUCUAUUGAGAUCCAAAGAGAGAGAAGAAGCCAUCUAGCUAAUAACUAUGGACCCGAAGGUCUGUGGUAAACUACUCACACAUCAUCGGAGAGGCUAUGGUGUUGAUGUAGAAGCCCUCCGUGAUCGAUUCCCCCUCCGGCAGAGCACCGGAAAAGGCCCCAGGAUGGGAUCUCAUGGAUACAGAAGGUUGCAGCGGUGGAAAUAGGGUUUUGUGGUGCUCCUGGAUUUUUUCAGGGUAUACGAGUAUAUAUAGGCGAAGGAAGUAGGUCGGUGGAGCCACGAGGGGCCCACGAGGGUGGGGGCGCGCCUACCCCCUGGGCGUGCCCUCCUACCUCGUGGCCGCCUCAUUGCUUCCUUGACGUCCACUCGAAGUCUCCUGGAUUGCAUUUGUUCCAAAAACGACGCUCCCGUAGGUUUCAUUCCGUUUGGAUUCCGUUUGAUAUUCCUUUUCUGCGAAACACUGAAAUAGGCAAAAAAGCAGCAAUUUGCACUGGGCCUUUGGUUAGUAGGUUAGUCCCAAAAAUAAUAUAAACGUGCAUAAUAAAGCCCAUUAAACAUCCAAAACAGAUAAUAUAAUAGCAUGGAACAAUAAAAAAUCAUAGAUACGUUGGAGACGUAUCAAGCAUCCCCAAGCUUAAUUCCCGCUCGUCCUCGAGUAUGUAAAUGAUAAAAACAGAAUUUUCGAUGUGAAAUGCUACCUAACAGAAUUUUCAAUGUAAUUUUCUUUAUUGUGGCAUGAAUGUUCAGAUCCGAAAGAUUCAAGAUAAAAGUUUAAUAUUGACAUAAAAAUAAUAAUACUUCAAGUAUACUAACUAAGCAAUCAUGUCUUCUCAAAAUAACAUGGCCAAAGAAAGUUCAUCCCUACAAAAUCAUAUAGUUUGGUCAUGCUCCAUUUUCGUCACACAAGAAUGCUCUCAUCAUGCACAACCCCCAUGACAAGCCAAGCAAUUGUUUCAUACUUUAGUAAUCUCAAACUUUUUCAACCUUCACGCAAUACAUGAGCGUGAGCCAUGGAUAUAGCACUAUGGGUGGAAUAGAAUAUAAUGAUGGGGGUUGUGUGGAGAAGACAAAAAAAGGAGAAAGUCUCACAUUGACGCGGCUAAUCAACGGGCUAGGGAGAUGCCCAUCAAUUGAUGUCAAUGCAAGGAGUAGGGAUUGCCAUGCAACAGAUGCACUAGAGCUAUAAAUGUAUGAAAGCUCAACAAAAGAAACUAAGUGGGUGUGCAUCCAACUUGCUUGCUCACGAAGACAUAGGGCAUUUGAGGAAGCCCAUUGUUGGAAUAUGCAAGCCAAGUUCUAUAAUGAAAAAUUCCCACUAGUUUAUGAAAGUGACAAAAUAAGAGACUCUCUAUCAUAAAGAUCAUGGUGCUACUUUGAAGCACAAGUGUGGAAAAGGAUAGUAACAUUGUCCCUUUUUUUGGGCCUUUCCUUUUUUUAUUUGGCCUUUCUUCUUCUUUUUCUUUUUUCCAGGACAAUGCUCUAAUAAUGAUGAUCAUCAAACUUCUAUUUAUUUACAACUCAAAUAUUACAACUCUAUACUAGAACAAAAUAUGACUCUACAUGGAUGCCUCCGGCGGUGUACCGGGAUGGUGAAUGAAUCAAGAGUGACAUGUAUGAUAAAUUAUGCAUGGUGGCUUUGCCACAAAUACGAUGUCAACUACAUGAUCAUGCAAGGCAAUAUGACAAUGAUGAAGUGUGUCAUAAUAAAUGAAACGGUGGUAAGUUGCAUGGCAAUAUUGAUAACCCACAAGUAUAGGGGAUCGCAACAAUUUCUGAGGGUAGAGUAUUCAACCCAAAUUUAUUGAUUCGACACAAGGGGAGCCAAAGAAUAUUCUCAUGUAUUAGCAGCUGAGUUGUCAAUUCAACCACACCUGGAUAACUUAAUAUCUGCAGCAAAGUAUUUAGUACAAAGUAGUAUGGAAGUAACGGUAACGGUGGCAAAAGUAACAGUAGCCGUUUUGUAGUAAUUGUAACAGUGGCAGCGGUAAAGUAACUAAGCAAAGAUCAAUAUGUGAAAAGCUCAUAGGCAUUGGAUCAGUGAUGGAUAAUUAUGUCGGAUGCGAUUACUCAUGCAAUAGUUAUAACAUAGGGUGACACAUAACUAGCUCCAGUUCAUCAAUGUAAUGUAGGCAUGUAUUCCGAAUAUAGUCAUACGUGUUUAUGGAAAAGAACUUGCAUGACAUCUUUUGUCCUACCCUCCCGUGGCAGCGGGGUCUUGUUGGAAACUAAGGGAUAUUAAGGCCUCCUUUUAAUAGAGUACCGGACCAAAGCAUUAACACAUAGUGAAUACAUGAACUCCUCAAACUACGGUCAUCACCGGGAGUGGUCCCGAUUAUUGUCACUUCGGGGUUGUCGGAUCAUAACACAUAGUAGGUGACUAAUGACUUGCAAGAUAGGAUCAAGAACUCACAUAUAUUCAUGAAAACAUAAUAGGUUCAGAUCUGAAUUCAUGCCACUCGGGCCCUAGUGACAAGCAUUAAGCAUAGCAAAGUCAUAGCAACAUCAAUCUCAGAACAUAGUGGAUACUAGGGAUCAAACCCUAACAAAACUAACUCGAUUACAUGAUAAAUCUCAUCCAACCCAUCACCGUCCAGCAAGCCUACGAUGGAAUUACUCACGCACGGCGGUGAGCAUCAAGAAAUUGGUGAUGGAGGAAGGUUGAUGAUGACGACGGCGACGGAUUCCCCUCUCCGGAGCCCCGAACGGACUCGAGAUCAGCCCUCCCGAGAGAGUUUAGGGCUUGGCGGCGGCUUCGUAUCGUAAAAUGCGAUGAAUCCUUCUCUCUGAUAUUUUUCUUUCGGAACAUGAAUAUAUGGAGUUGGAGUUGAGGUCGGUGGAGCACCAGGGGGCCCACGAGGCAGGGGGGCGCGCCCAGGGGGGUAGGCGCGCCCCCACCCUCGUGGAUAGGGUGUGGGCCCCCUGGCCUUGAUUCUUUUGCCAGUAUUUUUUAUAUAUUCCAAAAAUAUUCUCCAUGAAGUUUCAGGUCGUUCCGAGAACUUUUAUUUCUGCACAAAAAUAACACCAUGGCUAUUCUGCUGAAAACAGCGUCAGUCCGGGUUAGUUCCAUUCAAAUCAUGCAAGUUAUAGUCCAAAACAAGGGUAAAAGUGUUUGGAAAAGUAGAUACGAUGGAGACGUAUCAACUCCCCCAAGCUUAAACCUUUGCUUGUCCUCAAGCAAUUCAGUUGACAAACUGAAAGUGAUAAAGAAAAACUUUUACAAACUCUGUUUGCUCUUGUUGUUGUAAAUAUGUAAAGCCAUCAUUCAAGUUUUCAACAAAUAUUAUGAACUAACCACAUUCACAAUAACACUUAGGUCUCAUGUUUACUCAUAUCAAUGGCAUAAUCAACUAGCGAGCAAUAAUAAUAAAUCUCGGAUGACAACACUUUCUCAAAACAAUCAUAAUAUGAUAUAACAAGAUGGUAUCUCGCUAGCCCUUUCUGAGACCGCAAAACAUAAAUGCAGAGCACCUCUGAAGAUCAAGGACUGACUAAAUGAUACGUCCAUUUUGCAUCAUGCUUUUAUAUCGAUAUUUAUUGCAUUAUGGAUUGUUAUUACACAUUAUGUCACAAUACUUAUGCCUAUUCUCUCUCAUUUUACAAGGUUUACAUGAAGAGGGAGAAUGCCGGCAGCUGGAAUUCUAGCCUGGAAAAGGAGCAAAUAUUAGAGACCUAUUCUGCACAACUCCAAAAGUCCUGAAACUCCACGGAAUUUAUUUUUGGAAUUAAUAAAAAAUACUGAGCGAAGAAAGUACCAGAGGGGGGCCACCCACCAUCCACGAGGGUGGGGGCGCGCCCUACCCUCCUGGGCGCCCCCUUGCCUCGUGGGCCCCCCGGCAGGCCUCCGGUGCCCAUAUUCUGCUAUAUGGUGUCUUUUACCCUGGAAAAAAAAAUCAUAAGCAAGCUUUCGGGAUGAAACACCGCCGCCACGAGGCGGAACCUUGGCGGAACCAAUCUAGGGCUCCGGCGGAGCUGUUCUGCCGGGGAAACAUCUCUUCGGGAGGGGGAAAUCAUCACCAUCGUCAUCACCAUCGAUCCUCUCAUCGGGAGGGGGUCAAUCUCCAUCAACAUCUUCACCAGCACCAUCUCAUAUCAAACCCUAGUUCAUCUCUUGUAUCCAAUCUUUGUAUCAAAACCUCAUAUUGGUACCUGUGGGUUGCUAGUAGUGUUGAUUACUCCUUGUAGUUGAUGCUAGUGUUGGAAAUAUGCCCUAGAGGCAAUAAUAAAAUGGUUAUUAUUGUAUUUCCUUGUUCAUGAUAAUUGUCUGUUGUUCAUGCUAUAAUUGUAUUAACUGGAAACCGUAAUACAUGUGUGAAUACAUAGACCACAACAUGUCCCUAGUAAGCCUCUAGUUGACUAGCUCGUUGAUCAAUAGAUGGUUAUGGUUUCCUGACCAUGGACAUUGGAUGUCAUUGAUAACGGGAUCACAUCAUUAGGAGAAUGAUGUGAUGGACAAGACCCAAUCCUAAGCAUAGCACAAGAUCGUGUAGUUCGUUUGCUAGAGCUUUUCUAAUGUCAAGUAUCAUUUCCUUAGACCAUGAGAUUGUGCAACUCCCGGAUACCGUAGGAAUGCUUUGGGUGUACCAAACGUCACAACGUAACUGGGUGGCUAUAAAGGUGCACUACAGGUAUCUCCGAAAGUGUCUGUUGGGUUGGCACAAAUCGAAACUGGGAUUUGUCACUCCGUAUGACGGAGAGGUAUCUCUGGGCCCACUCGGUAAUGCAUCAUCAUAAUGAGCUCAGUGUGACCAAGUGUUUGGUCACGGGAUCAUGCAUUACGAUACGAGUAAAGUGACUUGCCGGUAACGAGAUUGAACAAGGUAUUGGGAUACCGACGAUCGAAUCUCGGGCAAGUAACGUACCGAUUGACAAAGGGAAUUGUAUACGGGAUUGAUUGAAUCCUCGACAUCGUGGUUCAUCCGAUGAGAUCAUCAUGGAACAUGUGGGAGCCAACAUGGGUAUCCAGAUCCCGCUGUUGGUUAUUGACCGGAGAGUCGUCUCGGUCAUGUCUGCAUGUCUCCCGAACCCGUAGGGUCUACACACUUAAGGUUCCGUGACGCUAGGGUUGUAGAGAUAUUAGUAUGUGGAAAUCCGAAAGUCGUUCGGAGUCCCGGAUGAGAUCCCGGACGUCACAAGGAGUUCCAGAAUGGUCCGGAGGUAAAGAUUUAUAUAUGGGAAGUCCUAUUUUGGCCACCGGAAAAUGUUUGGGAUUUUUCGGUAUUGUACCGGGAAGGUUCUAGAAGGUUCCGAAGUGGGGCCCACCUGCAUGGGGGGACCCACAUGAACGUGGGUAGUGGGGGCAAGGCCCCACACCCCUGGUCAAGGCGCACCAAGAUCCCACCUUAGAAGGAAUAAGAUCAUAUCCCGAAGGGAUAAGAUCAAGAUCCCUAAAAAAGGGGGAUAACAAUCGGUGGGGAAGGGAAAUGAUGGGAUUUCUUUCCCCCACCUUUGCCAACGCCCCAAUGGACUUGGAGGGCAAGAAACCAGCCCCCUCCACCCCUAUAUAUAGUGGGGAGGCGCAUGGGAGCAGCACCCCAAGCCCCUGGCGCCUCCCUCUCCCUCCCGUGACACCUCUCCCUCUCGCUGAGCUUGGCGAAGCCCUGCCGAGAUCCCCGCUGCUUCCACCACCACGCCGUCAUGCUGCUGGAUCUCCAUCAACCUCUCCCUCCCCUUGCUGGAUCAAGAAGGAGGAGACGUCUUCCCAACCGUACGUGUGUUGAACGCGGAGGUGCCAUCCGUUCGGCGCUCGAUCAUCGGUGAUUUGGAUCACGACGAGUAUGACUCCAUCAACCCUGUUCACUUGAACGCUUCCGCUCGCGAUCCACAAGGGUAUGUAGAUGCACUCUUUUCCCUCUCGUUGCUAGAAGACUCCAUAGAUUGUUCUUGGUGAUGCGUAGAAAAAUUUGAAUUAUUGCUACGUCCCCAACAGUGGCAUCAUGAGCCAGGUUUAUGCGUAGAUUCUAUGCACGAGUAGAACACAAAGUAGUUGUGGGCGACGAUUUGUUCAAUUUGCUUACCGUUACUAGUCUUAUCUUGAUUCGGCGGCAUUGUUGGAUGAAGCGGCCCGGACCGACCUUACACGUACUCUUACGUGAGACAGGUUCCACCGACUGACAUGCACUUGAUGCAUAAGGUGGCUAGCGGGUGUCUGUCUCUCCCACUUUAGUCGGAUCGGAUUCGAUGAAAAGGGUCCUUAUGAAGGGUAAAUAGCAAUUGGCAUAUCACCGUUGUGGCUUUUGCGUAGGUAAGAAACGUUCUUGCUAGAAACCCAUAGCAGCCACGUAAAACAUGCAACAACAAUUAGAGGACGUCUAACUUGUUUUUGCAGGGUAUGCUAUGUGAUGUAAUAUGGCCAAAAGGAUGUGAUGAAUGAUAUAUGUGAUGUAUGAGAUUGAUCAUGUUCUUGUAAUAGGAAUCACGACUUGCAUGUCGAUGAGUAUGACAACCGGCAGGAGCCAUAGGAGUUGUCUUAAUUUAUUGUAUGACCUGCGUGUCAAUGAAAAACGCCAUGUAAUUACUUUACUUUAUUGCUAACCGUUAGCCAUAGUAGUAGAAGUAAUAGUUGGCGAGACAACUUCAUGAAGACACGAUGAUGGAGAUCAUGGUGUCAUGCCGGUGACGAAGGUGAUCAUGUCGCGCCUCGAAGAUGGAGAUCAAAAGGCGCAAGAUGAUAUUGGCCAUAUCAUGUCACUUUAUGAUUUGCAUGUGAUGUUUGUCAUGUUUACAUCUUAUUUGCUUAGAACGACGGUAGCAUAAAUAAGAUGAUCCCUCACUAAAAUGUCAAGAGAUGUGUUCCCCCUAACUGUGCACCGUUGCGAAGGUUCGUUGUUUCAAAGCACCACGUGAUGAUCGGGUGUGAUAGAUUCUAACGUUCGCAUACAACGGGUGUUGACGAGCCUAGCAUGUACAGACAUGGCCUCGUAACACAAGCAAAACACUUAGGUUGACUUGACGAGCCUAGCAUGUACAGACAUGGCCUCGGAACACAAGAGACCGAAAGGUCGAACAUGAGUCGUAUAGUAGAUACGAUCAACAUGGAGAUGUUCACCGAUGAUGACUAGUCCGUCUCACGUGAUGAUCGGACACGGCCUAGUCGAUUCGGAUCAUGUAUCACUUAGAUGACUAGAGGGAUGUCUAUCUAAGUGGGAGUUCAUUAAAUAAUCAGAUGAACUUAAUUAUCAUGAACAUAGUCAAAAGGUCUUUGCAAAUUAUGUCGUAGCUUACGCUUUAGUUCUACUGUUUAAGAUAUGUUCCUAGAGAAAAUUUAGUUGAAAGUUGAUAGUAGCAAUUAUGCGGACUGGGUCCGUAAACUGAGGAUUGUCCUCAUUGCUGCACAGAAGGCUUAUGUCCUUAAUGCACCACUCGGUGUGCUGAACCUCGAGCGUCGUCUGUAGAUGUUGCGAAACAUCUGACAUACACGUUUUGAUGACUACGUGAUAGUUCAGUGCGUAAUGCUAACGGUUUAGAAUUGAGGUGCCAAAGACGUUUUUGAAACGUCGCAGAACAUAUGAGAUGUUCCAAAGAAUGAAAUUGGGAUUUCAGACUAGUGCCCAUGUCAAGAGGUAUGAGACCUCUGACAAGAUUCUUAAGCCUGCAAACUAAGGGAGAAAAGCUCAACCGUUGAGCAUGUGCUCAGAUUGUCUAAGUACUACAAUCACUUGAAUCGAGUGGGAGUUAAUCUUCCAGAUGAGAUAGUGAUGGUUCUCCAUAGUCACUGCCACCAAGCUAUUAGAGCUUCGUGAUGAACUAUAACAUAUCAGGGAUAGACAUGAUGAUCCUUGAGCAACUCGCGAUGUUUGACACCGCGAAAGUAGAAAUCAAGUAGGAGCAUCAAUUGUUGAUGGUUAGUAAAACCACUAGUUUCAAGAAGGGCAAGGGAAAGAAGGGAUACUUCAUGAAACGGCAAAUCAGUUGCUGCUCUAGUGAAGAAACCCAAGGUUGAACCCAAACCCGAGACUAAGUGCUUCUGUAAUGAGGGGAAUGGUCACUGAAGCAGAACUACCCUAGAUACUUGGUAGAUGAGAAGGCAGGCAAGGUCGACAGAAGUAUAUUGGAUAUACAUUAUAUUAAUGUGUACUUUACUAGUACUCCUAGUAGCACCAGGGUAUUAGAUACCGGUUCAGCUGCUAAGUGUUGGUAACUCGAAAUAAAAGGCUACAGAAUAAGCGGAGACUAGCUAAAGGUGAGAUGACGAUAUGUGUUGGAAGUGUUUCCAAGGUUGAUGUGAUCAAGCAUCGCAUGCUCCCUCUACCAUCGAGAUUGGUGUUAAACCUAAAUAAUUGUUAUUUGGUGUUUGCGUUGAGCAUAGACAUGAUUGGAUUAUGUUUAUCGCAAUACGGUUAUUCAUUUAAGGAGAAUAAUGGUUACUCUGUCUAUUUGAGUAUUACCUUCAAUGGUCUUACACCUAAAAUGAAUGGUUUAUUGAAUCUCGAUCGUAGUGAUACACAUGUUCACGCCAAAAGAUAUAAGAUAGUAAUGAUAGUACCACAUACUUGUGGCACUGCCACUUGAGUCAUAUUGGUAUAAAACGCAUGAAGAAGCUCCAUGUUGAUGGAUCUUUGGACUCACUCGUUUUUGAAAAGAUUGAGACAUGCGCACCAUGUCUAUUAGUAUAUAUGCAUGAAGAAAGUCCAUACAGAUGGAUCGUUUGGACUCACUUGAUUUUGAAUCACUUGAGACAUGCAAAUCAUACCACAUGGGCAAGAUGACUGAAAGGCCUCGUUUUCAGUAAGAUGGAACAAGAGAGAAACUUGUUGGAAGGAAUACAUUUGAUGUGUGCAGUCCAAUGAGUGCUGAGAAACGCAGUGGAUAUCAUUAUGUUCUUACUUCACAGAUGAUUUGAGUAGUUGUUGAGAAUAUUUACUUGAUGAAACACAAGUCUGAAUUAUUGAAAGGUUCAAGUAAUUUCAGAGUGAAGUUGAAGAUCGUCAUGACAAGAGGAUAAAAUGUCUAUGAUAUGAUCAUAGAGAUGAAUAUGUGAGUUACGAAUUUGGCACACAAUUAAGACAUUGUGGAAAUUGUUUCACGACUAAUACCGCCUCGAACACCAUAGUGUGAUGGUGUGUCCAAACAUCAUAAUUGCACCCUAUUGGAUAUGGUGCAUGCCAUGAUGUCUCUUAUCGAAUUACCACUAUCGUUCAUGGGUUAGGCAUUAGAGACAACCGCAUUCACAUUAAAUAGGGCACCACGCAAUUCCGUUGAGACGACACCGUAUGAACUAUGGUUUAGAGAAACCUAAGCUGUCGUUUCUUAAAAGCUUGGGGCUGCAAUGCUUAUGUGAAAAAGUUUCAGGCUGAUAAGCUUGAACCCAAAGCGGAUAAAUGCAUCUUCAUAAAAUAACCAAAACAGUUGGGUAUACCUCCUAUUUCAGAUCUGGAAGCAAAAGUGAUGUUUCUAGAAACGGGUCCUUUCUCGAGGAAAAGUUUCUCUCAAAAGAAUUGAGUGGGAGGAUGGUGGAGACUUGAUGAGGUUAUUGAACCAUGACUUCAACUGGUGUGUAGCAGGGCACAGGAAGUUGUUCCUGUGGCACCUACACCAAUUGAAGUGGAAGCUUAUGAUAGUGAUCAUGAAACUUCGGAUCAAGUCACUACCAAACCUCGUAGGACGACAAGGAUGCAUGCUACUUCAGAGUGGUACGUAAUCCUGUCUUGGAAGUCAUGUUGCUAGACAACAAUGAACCUAUGAGCUAUGGAGAAGCGAUGAUGGGCCCGGAUUCCGACGAAUGGCUCGAGGCCAUAAAAUCCGAGAGAGGAUCCAUGUAUAAAACAAAGUAUAGACUUUGGAAGAACUACUUGAUGGUCGUAAGGCUGUUGGGUGCAGAUGGAUUUUAAAAGGAAGACGGACAAUGAUGGUAAGUGUCACCAUUAAGAAAGCUCGACUUGUCGUUAAGAUGUUUUCCGACAAGUUCAAGGAGUUGAGUACGAUGAGAUUUUCUCACUCGUAGCGAUGCUAAGAGUCUGUUGGAAUUAUAUUAGCAGUUACUGCAUUAUUUAUGAAAUCUUGCAGAUAGGAUGUAAAAAAAACAUUGUUUCCUCGACGAUUUUCUUGAGGAAAGGUUGUAUGUGAUACAACCAGAAGGUUUUGUCAAUCCUGAAAGAUGCUAACAAGUAUGCAAAGCUCCAGCAAUCCUUCUAAGGAUUGGAGUAAGCAUCUCGGAGUUGGAAUGAAUGCUUUGAUGAGAUGAUCAAAGAUUUUGGGUUUAUACAAAGUUCAUGAGAAACUUGUAUUUCCAAAGAAGUGAGUGGGAGCACUAUAGAAUUUUUGAUGAGUAUAUGUUGUUAACAUAUUGUUGAUCAGAAAUGAUGUAGAAUUUCUGGAAAGCAUACAGGGUUAUUUGAAAAGUGUUUUAAUGGAAAACCUGGAUUAAGCUACUUGAACAUUGAGCAUCAAGAUCUAUAAGGAUAGAUUAAAAACGCUUAAUAGUACUUUCAAAUGAAUACAUACCAUGACAAGAUUUUGAAGGAGUUCAAAAUAGAUCAGCAAAGAAGGAGUUCUUGGCUGUGUUACAAGGUGUGAGUAUUGAGUAAGACUCAAGACCUGACCACGGCAGAAGAGAGAGAAAGGACGAAGGUCGUCCCCUAUGCAUUAGACGUAGGCUCUACAGUAUGCUAUGUUGUGUACCGCACCUGAAGUGUGCCUUGCCAUGAAUUAGUCAAGGGGUACAAUAGUGAUCCGGGAAUGGAUCACAUGACAGCGGUCGAACUUAUCCUUAGUAUCUAGUGGACUAAGGAAUUUUCUCGAUUAUGGAGGUGGUAAAACAGUUCGUCGUAAAGGGUUACGUCGAUGCAAACUUUGACACUAAUCCGGAUGACUCUGAGUAGUAAACCGGAUUCGUAUAGUAGAGCAGUUAUUUGGAAUAGCUCCAAGUAGCGCGUGGUAGCUACAUCUACAAGAUGACAUAGAGAUUUGUAAAGCAGACACGGAUCUGAAUGUUGCAGACCCGUUGACUAAAACCUCUCUCGUAAGCAUAACAUGAUCAAACCCUAGAACUCAUUGAGUGUUAAUCACAUGGUGAUGUGGACUAGAUUAUUGACUCUAGUGAACUUUGAGUGUUAAUCACAUGGUGAUGUGAACUAGAUUAUUGACUCUAGUGCAAGUGGGAGACUGUUGGAAAUAUGCCCUAGAGGCAAUAAUAAAAUGGUUAUUAUUGUAUUUCCUUGUUCAUGAUAAUUGUCUGUUGUUCAUGCUAUAAUUGUAUUAACUGGAAACCGUAAUACAUGUGUGAAUACAUAGACCACAACAUGUCCCUAGUAAGCCUCUAGUUGACUAGCUCGUUGAUCAAUAGAUGGUUAUGGUUUCCUGACCAUGGACAUUGGAUGUCAUUGAUAACGGGAUCACAUCAUUAGGAGAAUGAUGUGAUGGACAAGACCCAAUCCUAAGCAUAGCACAAGAUCGUGUAGUUCGUUUGCUAGAGCUUUUCUAAUGUCAAGUAUCAUUUCCUUAGACCAUGAGAUUGUGCAACUCCCGGAUACCGUAGGAAUGCUUUGGGUGUACCAAACGUCACAACAUAACUGGGUGGCUAUAAAGGUGCACUACAGGUAUCUCCGAAAGUGUCUGUUGGGUUGGCACAAAUCGAAACUGGGAUUUGUCACUCCGUAUGAUGGAGAGGUAUCUCUGGGCCCACUCGGUAAUGCAUCAUCAUAAUGAGCUCAAUGUGACCAAGUGUUUGGUCAUGGGAUCAUGCAUUACGGUACGAGUAAAGUGACUUGCCGGUAACGAGAUUGAACAAGGUAUUGGGAUACCGACGAUCGAAUCUCGGGCAAGUAACGUACCGAUUGACAAAGGGAAUUGUAUACGGGAUUGAUUGAAUCCUCGACAUCGUGGUUCAUCCGAUGAGAUCAUCGUGGAACAUGUGGGAGCCAACAUGGGUAUCCAGAUCCCGCUGUUGGUUAUUGACCGGAGAGUCGUCUCGGUCAUGUCUGCAUGUCUCCCGUACCCGUAGGGUCUACACACUUAAGGUUCGGUGACGCUAGGGUUGUAGAGAUAUUAGUAUGUGGAAAUCCGAAAGUCGUUUGGAGUCCCGGAUGAGAUCCCGGACGUCACGAGGAGUUCCGGAAUGGUCCGGAGGUAAAGAUUUAUAUAUGGGAAGUCCUAUUUUGGCCACCGGAAAAUGUUUGGGAUUUUUCGGUAUUGUACCGGGAAGGUUCUAGAAGGUUCCGAAGUGGGGCCCACCUGCAUGGGGGGACCCACAUGAACGUGGGUAGUGGGGGCAAGGCCCCACACCCCUGGUCAAGGCGCACCAAGAUCCCACCUUAGAAGGAAUAAGAUCAUAUCCCGAAGGGAUAAGAUCAAGAUCCCUAAAAAAGGGGGAUAACAAUCGGUGGGGAAGGGAAAUGAUGGGAUUUCUUUCCCCCACCUUUGCCAACGCCCCAAUGGACUUGGAGGGCAAGAAACCAGCCCCCUCCAGCCCUAUAUAUAGUGGGGAGGCACAUGGGAGCAGCACCCCAAGCCCCUGGCGCCUCCCUCUCCCUCCCGUGACACCUCUCCCUCUCGCUGAGCUUGGCGAAGCCCUGCCGAGAUUCCCGCUGCUUCUACCACCACGCCGUCGUGCUGCUGGAUCUCCAUCAACCUCUCCCUCCCCUUGCUGGAUCAAGAAGGAGGAGACGUCUUCCCAACCAUACGUGUGUUGAACGCGGAGGUGCCGUCCGUUCGGCGCUCGGUCAUCGGUGAUUUGGAUCACGACGAGUACGACUCCAUCAACCCCGUUCACUUGAACGCUUCCGCUCGCGAUCCACAAGGGUAUGUAGAUGCACUCUUUUCCCUCUCGUUGCUAGAAGACUCCAUAGAUUGUUCUUGGUGAUGGGUACAAAAAUUUGAAUUAUUGCUAUGUUCCCCAACAGCUAGUUGGUUUAUUUGGUGGAAGAUCAUAUGUUCAGAUCCUUUAUGCAUAUUAAUACCCCUCUGAUUAUGAACAUGAAUAUGCUUUGUGAGUAGUUACGUUUGUUCCUGAGGACAUGGGAGAAGUCUUGUUAUAAGUAGUCAUGUGAAUUUGGUAUUCGUUCGAUAUUUUGAUGAGAUGUAUGUUGUGUCUCCUCUAGUGGUGUUAUGUGAACGUCGACUACAUGACACUUCACCAUUGUUUGGGCCUAGAGGAAGGCAUUGGGAAGUAAUAAGUAGAUGAUGGGUUGCUAGAGUGACAGAAGCUUAAACCCUAGUUUAUGCAUUGCUUCAUAAGGGGCUGAUUUGGAUCCAUAUGUUUCAUGCUAUGGUUAGGUUUACCUUAAUACUUCUUUUGUAGUUGCGGAUGCUUGCAAUAGGGGUUAAUCAUAAAUGGGAUGCUUGUCCAAGGAAGGUCAGCACCCAAGCACCGGUCCACCCACAUAUCAAAUUAUCAAAGUAACGAACGUGAAUCAUAUGAGCGUGAUGAAAACUAGCUUGACGAUAAUUCCCAUGCGUCCUCAGGAGCGUUUUCCUUCAUAUAAGAGUUUGUUCAGGCUUGUCCUUUGCUACAAAAAGGAUUGGGCCACCUUGCUGCACUUUAUUUACUCUUGUUACUUGUUACCCGUUACAAAUUACCUUAUCACAAAACUAUCUGUUACCGAUAAUUUCAGUGCUUGCAGAGAAUACCUUACUGAAAACCGCUUGUCAUUUCCUUCUUCUCCUCGUUGGGUUCGACACUCUUACUUAUUGAAAGGACUACGAUAGAUCCCCUACACUUGUGGGUCAUCAAGACUCUUUUCUGGUGCCGUUGCCGGGGAGUGAAGCGCCUUUGGUAAGGAAAAAUUUAUAUUGUGUGCUGAAAUUUGCUGUCACUUGUUACUAUGGAAAGUAAUCCUUUGAGGGGCUUGUUCGGGGUAUCUUCACCCCAACCAGUAGAGCAAAGAGUUGCUCCUCAACCUACUGAACCUACUGAAAAUGUUUACUUUGAAAUUCCUUCGGGUAUGAUAGAGAAACUGCUAGCUAAUCCAUUUACAGGAGAUGGAACAUUGCAUCCCGAUUUACACCUAAUCUACGUGGAUGAAGUUUGUGGAUUAUUUAACCUUGCAGGUAUGCCCAAUGAUGUUAUCAAGAAGAAGGUAUUACCUUUAUCUUUGAAGGGAAAGGCAUUGACAUGGUUUAGUCUAUGUGAUGAUAUUGGAUCAUGGAACUACAACCGAUUGAAAUUGGAAUUUCAUCAGAAGUUUUAUCCUAUGCAUCUUGUUCAUCGUGAUCGUAAUUAUAUAUACAAUUUUUGGCCUCGCGAAGGAUAAAGCAUCGCUCAAGCUUGGGGGAGGCUUAAGUCAAUGUUAUAUUCAUGCCCCAAUCAUGAGCUCUCAAGAGAAAUUAUUAUUCAAAUUUUUUAUGCUCGGCUUUCUCUCAAUAAUCGCUCCAUGCUCGAUACUUCUUGUACUGGUUCUUUUAUGAUGAAGACUAUUGAAUUCAAAUGGGAUUUAUUGGAAAGAAUUAAAUGCAACUCUGAAUAUUGGGACCUCGACAAAGGUAAGGAGUCAGGUAUAACGCCUAAGUUUGAUUGUGUUAAAUCUUUUAUGGACACCGAUGUUUUCCGUGAAUUUAGCACUAAAUAUGGACUUGACUCUGAGAUAGUAGCUUCUUUCUGUGAAUCCUUUGCUACUCAUGUUGAUCUCCCUAAGGAGAAGUGGUUUAAAUAUAAUCCUCCCAUUGAAGUAAAAGUAGUUGCACCUAUUAAAGUUGAAGAAAAGACUAUCACUUAUAAUGAUCCUAUUGUUCCUACUGCUUAUAUUGAGAAACCACCUUUCCCUGUUAGAAUAAAGGAUCAUGCUAAAGCUUCAACUGUGGUCAACAAAAGUAGUAUUAGGACAACCAAACCCCCUGAGCAAAUUAAAGUUGAACCUAGUAUUGCUAUGAUUAAAGAUCUCUUGGCUGAUAAUAUUGAUGGGCAUUGAUACGUCUCCAACGUAUCUAUAAUUGUUUAUUGCUCCAUGCUAUAUUAUCUUCUGUUUUGGACAUUAUUGGGCUUUAUUAUUCACUUUUAUAUUAUUUUUGGGACUAACCUAUUAACCGGAGGCCCAGCCCAGAAUUGCUGUUUUUUUGCCUAUUUCAGAGUUUCGCAGAAAAAGAAUAUCAAACGGAGUCCAAACGGAAUGAUACCUUCGGGAACGUGAUUUUCGGAACGAACAUGAUCCAGGAGACUUGGACCCUACGUCAAGGAAGCUUCUAGGAAUCCAUGAGGUAGGGGGGCGUGCCUACCCCCUGGGCGCGCCCUCCACCCUCGUGGGCCCCAUGUUGCUCCACCGACGUACUCCUUCCUCCUAUAUAUACCUAUGUACCCCCAAACGAUCAGAUACGGAGCCAAAAACCUAAUUCCACUGCCGCAACCUUCUGUACCCACGAGAUCCCAUCUUGGGGCCUGUUCCGGAGCUCCGCCGGAGGGGGCAUCAAUCACGGAGGGCUUCUACAUCAACACCAUAGCCUCUCCAAUGAAGUGUGAGUAGUUUACCUCAGACCUUCGGGUCCAUAGUUAUUAGCUAGAUGGCUUCUUCUCUCUUUUUGGAUCUCAAUACAAUGUUCUCCCCCUCUCUCGUGACGAUCUAUUCGAUGUAGUCUUCUUUUGCGGUGUGUUUGUUGAGACCGAUGAAUUGUUGGUUUAUGAUCAAGUUUAUCUAUGAACAAUAUUUGAAUCUUCUGAAUUCUUUUAUGUAUGAUUGGUUAUCUUUGCAAGUCUCUUCGAAUUAUCAGUUUGGUUUGGCCUACUAGAUUGAUCUUUCUUGCAAUGGGAGAAGUGCUUAGCUUUGGGUUCAAUCUUGCGGUGUCCUUUCCCAGUGACAGUAGGGGCAGCAAGGCACGUAUUGUAUUGUUGCCAUCGAGGAUAAAAAGAUGGUUUUUUUUAUCAUAUUGCAUGAAUUUAUCCCUCUACAUCAUGUCAUCUUGCUUAAAGCGUUACUCUGUUCUUAUGAACUUAAUACUCUAGAUGCAUGCUGGAUAGCGGUCGAUGUGUGGAGUAAUAGUAGUAGAUGCAGGCAGGAGUCGAUCUACUUGUCUCGGACGUGAUGCUUAUAUACAUGAUCAUACCUAGAUAUUCUCAUAACUAUGCUCAAUUCUGUCAAUUGCUCAACAGUAAUUUGUUCACCCACCGUAAAAUACUUAUGCUCUUGAGAGAAGCCACUAGUGAAACCUAUGGCCCCCGGGUCUAUUUUCCAUCAUAUUAAUCUUCCAACACUUAAUUAUUUCCGUUGCUUUUAUUUUACUUUGCAUAUUUAUUACAAAAAUACCAAAAAUAUUAUACUAUCAUAUCUAUCAGAUCUCACUCUCGUAAGUGACCGUGUAGGGAUUGACAACCCCUUAUCGCGUUGGUUGCGAGGAUUUAUUUGUUUGUGUAGGAGCAAGGGACUCGCGCGUAGCCUCCUACUGGAUUGAUACCUUGGUUCUCAAAAACUGAGGGAAAUACUUACGCUACUUUGCUGCAUCACCCUUUCCUCUUCAAGGGAAAACCAACGCAGUGCUCAAGAGGUAGCAAGAAGGAUUUCUGGCGCCGUUGCCGGGGAGGUCUACGCAAAAGUCAACAUACCAAGUACCCAUCACAAACCCUUAUCUCCCGCAUUACAUUAUUUGCCAUUUGCCUCUCAUUUUCCUCUCCCCCACUUCACCCUUGCCGUUUUAUUCGGCCUCUCUUUUUUGUUCGCCUCUUUUUCGCUUGCUCCUUGUUUGCUCGUGAGUUGGAUUGCUAGCUUGUCACGAUGGCUCUACCUAGAUUUGUUGAUCUUCACCUUAAAAGAUUAGAAGAGAUCGAAAGCAACGUCAGGAGUUUAUGGUUUUGCAAUUUGAGCAUAAUAAUUUUUUCAGAAACGAGCUUAAGGAACAAAAAAGCUUUAUGAGUUAUAUGAAUAAAGAGCUCGAUGAUAUGUCUAAAGAAUUUGAUGGUUUGGGAACCCAAAUUGCUCGUCUUGAGAAGUUGAUAGCUGAAAUUUCGGAUAAGCAAGCUACCUUAGUUAAUAAGAUGGCCGCUAAACCGGAGAACUUUGAAAAUAAAGAUGAAGAUCUAAAAGUUAUUGAUGUGUCCCCUAUUAAAUCUUUGUUUUGCAAUAUGAAUCUUGAUAAUGAUGGGACUGAAUAUGACCCACCUUUACCUAGAAGGCGUUCCCAAAAUUCGGAGUUUUUAGAUCUUGAUGCUAAAAUUGAUAAAAGUGGGAUUGAAGAGAUCAAAACCCUAGAUAUUAAUAAACCCACUAUUUUGGAUUUCAAGGAAUUUAAUUAUGAUAAUUGCUCUUUGAUAGAUUGUAUUUCCUUGUUGCAAUCCGUGCUAAAUUCUCCUCAUGCUUAUAGUCAAAAUAAAGCUUUUACCAAACAUAUCGUUGAUGCUUUGAUGCAAUCUUAUGAAGAAAAGCUUGAGUUGGAAGUCUCUAUCCCUAGAAAACUUUAUGAUGAGUGGGAACCUACUAUUAAAAUUAAAAUUAAAGAUCGGGAAUGCCAUGCUUUGUGUGAUUUGGGUGCUAGUGUUUAAACGAUUCCAAAAACUUUGUGCGAUUUGCUAGGUUUCCGUGAUUUUGAUGAUUGCUCUUUAAACUUGCACCUUGCGGAUUCCACUAUUAAGAAACCUAUGGGAAGAAUUAAUGAUGUUCUUAUUGUUUCAAAUAGGAACUAUGUGCCCAUAGAUUUUAUCGUUCUUGAUAUAGAUUGCAACCCUUCAUGUCCUAUUAUUCUUGGUAGACCUUUCCUUAGAACGAUUGGUGCAAUUAUUGAUAUGAAGGAAGGGAAUAUUAGAUUCCAAUUUCCAUUAAAGAAAGGCAUGGAACACUUCCCUAGGAAGAAAAUAAAAUUACCAUAUGAAUCUAUCAUGAGAGCCACUUAUGGAUUGCCCACCAAAGAUGGCAAUACCUAGAUCUAUCCUUGCUUUUAUGCCUAGCUAGGGGCGUUAAACGAUAGCGCUUGUUGGGAGGCAACCCAAUUUUAUUUUUAGUUUUUUUGCUUUUUGCUUCUAUAUAGGAAUAAAUAUUUGUUCUAGCCUCUGGUUAGAUGUGUUUGUGUUUGUGUUUGUGCCAAGUUAAACCUAUAGGAUCUUCUUGGAUGAUAGUUAUUUGAUCUUGCAGAAAAUUCCAGAAACUUUCUGUUCACGCAAAUAAUUGUUAAAAAUCACCAGAACGUGAUAAAAUAUUGAUUCCAAUUGCUUCUGAUCAAUAAACAAAUUGCCUAGGUCGUCCUAUUUUGGCUGAUUUUUUGGAGUUCCAGAAGUUUGCGUUAGUUACAGAUUACUACAGACUAUUCUGUUUUUGACAUAUUCUGUUUUUCGUGUGUUGUUUGCUUAUUUUGAUGAAUCUAUGGCUAGUAAAAGAGUUUAUAAACCAUAGAGAAGUUGGAAUACAGUAGGUUUAACAAAAAUAUAAAUAAAGAAUGAGUUCAUUACAGUACCUUGAAGUGGUCUUUUGUUUUCUUUCGCUAACGGAGCUCACGAGAUUUUCUGCUAAGUUUUGUGUUGUGAAGUUUUCAAGUUUUGGGUAAAAGAUUUGAUGGAUUAUGGAACAAGGAGUGGCAAGAGCCUAACCUUGGGGAUGCCCAUGGCACCCCCAAGAUAAUCUAAGGACACCAAAAAGCCAAAGUUUGGGGAUGCCCCGGAAGGCAUCCCUCUUUCGUCUACUUCCAUCGGUAACUUUACUUGGAGCUAUAUUUUUAUUCACCACAUGAUAUGCGUUUUGCUUGGAGCAUCUUGUAUGAUUUGAGUCUUUGUUUGUUAGUUUACCACAAUCAUCCUUGAUGUACACACCUUUUGAGAGAGACACACAUGAUUCGGAAAUUAUUAAGAAUACUCUAUGUGCUUCACUUAUAUCUUUUGAGUUAUAUAGUUUUGCUCUAGUGCUUCACUUAUAUCUUUUAGAGCACGGUGGUGGAUUUGUUUUAUAGAAACUAUUGAUCUCUCAUGCUUCACUUAUAUUAUUUUGUGAGUCUUAAAAUAGCAUGGCAAUUUGCUUUAAUUAAUAUCAUGAGAAAUUUGAUGCUUGAUAAUUGUUUUGAGAUAUAAAGGUGGUAAUAUCAUAGUUGUGCUAGUUGAGUAAUUGUGGAAUUGAAAAAUACAUGUGUUGGAGUUUGUGAUCCCGUAGCAUGCACGUAUGGUGAACCGUUAUGUAACGAAGUCGGAGCAUGAAGUAUUUGUUGAUUGUCUUCCUUGGUGUGGCGGUCGGGAUCGCGCGAUGGUUAACUCCUACCAACCCUUCCCCUAGGAGCAUGCGUAGUAGUACUUUGCUUCGAGGGCGAAUAAAUUUUUGCAAUAAGUAUAUGAGUUCUUUAUGACUAAUGUGAGUCCAUGGAUUAUACGCACACUUACCUUUCCAUAAUUUUCUAGCCUCUUCGGUACCGCGCAUUGCCCUUUCUCACCUUGAGAGUUGGUGCAAACUUUGCCGGUGCAUCCAAACCCCGUGAUAUGAUACGCUCUAUCACACAUAAACCUCCUUAUAUCUUCCUCAAAACAGCCACCAUACCUGCCUAUCAUGGCAUUUUCAUAGCCAUUCCGAGAUAUAUUGCCAUGCAACUUUCCACCGCUUCAUUUAUCAUGACAUACUCCAUCAUUGUCAUAUUGCUUUGCAUGAUCAUGUAGUUGACAUUGUAUCUGUGGCAAAGCCACCGUUCAUAAUUCUUUCAUACAUGUCGCUCUUGAUUCAUUGCAUAUCUAGGUACACCGCCGGAGGCAUUCAUAUAGAGUCAUAUUUUGUUCUAAGUAUUGAGUUGUAAGUAAAUAAAAGUGUGAUGAUCAUCAUUAUUAGAGCAUUGUCCCAAGUGAGGAAAGGAUGAUGGAGACUAUGAUUCCCCCACAAGUCGGGAUGAGACUCCGGACUAAAAAAAAGAGAGGCCAUAAAAAAAGAGAAAAGGCCCAAAUAAAAAAAAUGAGAGAAAAAGAGAGAAGGGACAAUGUUACUAUCCUUUUACCACACUUGUGCUUCAAAGUAGCACCGCGAUCUUCAGAGUAGAGAGUCUCUCAUUUUGUCACUUUCAUAUACUAGUGGGAAAUUUCAUUAUAGAACUUGGCUUGUAUAUUCCAAUGAUGGGCUUCCUCAAAUGCCCGAGGUCUUUGUGAGCAAGCAAGUCGGAUGCACACCCACUUAGUUUCUUUUUGAGCUUUCAUACACUUAUAGCUCUAGUGCAUCCGUUGCAUGGCAAUCCCUACUCCUUGCAUUAACAUCAAUUGAUGGGCAUCUCCAUAGCCCGUUGAUUAGCCUCAUUGAUGUGAGACUUUCUCUUUUUUGUCUUCCCACAUAACCCCUACCAUUAUACCUUAUUCCACCAUAGUGCUAUAUCCAUGGCUUGCGCUCAUGUAUUGCGUAAGAGUUGAAAAGGCUGAAGCGCGUUAAAAGUAUGAACCAAUUGCUUGGCUAAAACCGGGGUCGUACAUGAUAUGAAUAUUUUGUGUGGGGAAGAUGGAGCAUAGCCAGACUAUAUGAUUUUGUAGGGAUAACUUGCUUUGGCUAUGUUAUUUUGAUAAGACAUAAUUGCUUAGUUAGUAUGCUUGAAAUAUUAUUGUUUUUAUGUCAACAUUAAACUUUUAUCUUGAAUCAUAUCAAAUCUGAACAUUCAUGCCACAAUAAGAAGAGUUGCAUUGAAAUUAUGCCAAGUAGCAUUCCACAUCAAAAAUUCUGUUUUUAUCAUUUACCUACUCGAGGAUGAGCAGGAAUUAAGCUUGGGAAUGCUUGAUACGUCUCCAACGUAUCUAUAAUUUUUGAUUGCUCCAUGCUAUAUUAUCUUCUGUUUUGGACAUUAUUGGGCUUUAUUAUUCACUUUUAUAUUAUUUUUGGGACUAACCUAUUAAUCGGAGGCCCAGCCCAGAAUUGCUGUUUUUGCCUAUUUCAGAGUUUCGCAGAAAAAGAAUAUCAAACGGAGUCCAAACGUAACGAAACCUUCGGGAACGUGAUUUUCGGAACGAACAUGAUCCAGGAGACUUGGACCCUACGUCAAGGAAGCUUCCAGGAAGCCAUGAGGUAGGGGGGUGCGCCUAUCCCCUGGGCGUGCCCUCCACUCUCAUGGGCCCCACGUGGCUCCACCGACGUACUCCUUCCUCCUAUAUAUACCUACGUACCCCCAAACGAUCAGAUACGGAGCCAAAAACCUAAUUCCAACGCCGCAACCUUCUGUACCCACGAGAUCCCAUCUUGGGGCCUGUUCCGGAGCUCCGCCGGAGGGGGCAUCAAUCACGUAGGGCUUCUACAUCAGCACCAUAGCCUCUUCGAUGAAGUGUGAGUAGUUUACCUCAGACCUUCGGGUCCAUAGUUAUUAGCUAGAUGGCUUCUUCUCUCUUUUUGGAUCUCAAUACAAUGUUCUCCCCCUCUCUCGUGGAGAUCUAUUCGAUGUAAUCUUCUUUUGCGGUGUGUUUGUUGAGACCAAUGAAUUGUGGGUUUAUGAUCAAGUUUAUCUAUGAACAAUAUUUGAAUCUUCUGAAUUCUUUUAUGUAUGAUUGGUUAUCUUUGCAAGUCUCUUCGAAUUAUCAGUUUGGUUUGGCCUACUAGAUUGAUCUUUCUUGCAAUGGGAGAAGUGCUUAGCUUUGGGUUCAAUCUUGCGGUGUCCUUUCCCAGUGACAGUAGGGGCAGCAAGGCACGUAUUAUAUUGUUGCCAUCGAGGAUAACAAGAUGUUUUUUUUUUAUCAUAUUGCAUGAAUUUAUCCCUCUACAUCAUGUCAUCUUGCUUAAAGCGUUACUCUGUUCUUAUGAACUUAAUACUCUAGAUGCAUGCUGGAUAGCGGUCGAUGUGUGGAGUAAUAGUAGUAGAUGCAGGCAGGAGUCGGUCUACUUGUCUCGGACGUGAUGCUUAUAUACAUGAUCAUACCUAGAUAUUCUCAUAACUAUGCUCAAUUCUGUCAAUUGCUCAACAGUAAUUUGUUCACCCACCGUAAAAUACUUAUGCUCUUGAGAAAAGCCACUAGUGAAACCUAUGGCCCCCGGGUCUAUUUUCCAUCAUAUUAAUCUUCCAACACUUAGUUAUUUCCGUUGCUUUUAUUUUACUUUGCAUCUUUAUUACAAAAAUACCAAAAAUAUUAUCCUAUCAUAUCUAUCAGAUCUCACUCUCGUAAGUGACCGUGUAGGGAUUGACAACCCCUUAUCGCGUUGGUUGCGAGGAUUUAUUUGUUUGUGUAGGUGCGAGGGACUCACGCGUAGCCUCCUACUGGAUUGAUACCUUGGUUCUCAAAAACUAAGGGAAAUACUUACGUUACUUUGCUGCAUCACCCUUUCCUCUUCAAGGGAAAACCAACGCAGUGCUCAAGAGGUAGCAGACAUGUUAUUUACUUCUGUGAAGAAGCUGCUAGAAUUGCUAGACCUGACACUAAAAUUAAAAAUAGACCUGUUGUAGGCUGAUGUCUACUACGUAACCUUCUUCUUGUAGACGUUGUUGGGCCUCCAAGUGCAGAGGUUUGUAGGACAGUAGCAAAUUUCCCUCAAGUGGAUGACCUAAGGUUUAUCAAUCCGUGGGAGGCGUAGGUUGAAGAUGGUCUCUCUCAAACAACCCUGCAACCAAAUAACAAAGAGUCUCUUGUGUCCCCAACACACCCAAUACAAUGGUAAAUUGUAUAGGUGCACUAGUUCGGCGAAGAGAUGGUGAUACAAGUGCAAUAUGGAUGGUAGAUAUAUGUUUUUGUAAUCUGAAAAUAUAAAAACAGCAAGGUAACUAAUAAUAAAAGUGAGCACAAACGAUAUUGCAAUGCGUUGAAACAAGGCCUAGGGUUCAUACUUUCACUAGUGACAGUUCUCUCAACAAUAAUAAUAUAAUUGGAUCAUAUAACAACCCCUCCACAUGCAACAAAGAGUCACUCCAAAGUCACUAAUAGUGGAGAACAAACCAAGAGAUUAUUGUAGGGUACGAAACCACCUCAAAGUUAUUCUUUCUGAUCGAUCUAUUCAAGAGUCCGUAGUAAAAUAACACGAAGCUAUUCUUUCCAUUCGAUCUAUCAUAGAGUUCAUACUAGAAUAACACCUUAAGACACAAAUCAACCAAAACCCUAAUGUCACCUAGAUACUCCAAUGUCACCACAAGUAUCCGUGGGUAUGAUUAUACGAUAUGCAUCACACAAUCUCAGAUUCAUCUAUUCAACCAACAUAUAGAACUUCAAAGAGUGCCCCAAAGUUUCUACCGGAGAGUCAAGACAAAAACGUGUGCCAACCCCUAUGCAUAAGUUCACGAGGUCACGGAACCCGCAAGUUGAUCACCAAAACAUACAUCAAGUAGAUCACGUGAUAUCCCAUUGUCACCACAGAUAAGCACAUGCAAGACAUACAUCAAGUGUUCUCAAAUCCUUAAAGACUCAAUUCGAUAAGAUAACUUCAAAGGGAAAACUCAAUCCAUUACAAGAGAGUAGAGGGGGAGAAACAUCAUAAGAUCCAACUAUAAUAGCAAAGCUCGCAAUACAUCAAGAUCGUACCUUCUCAAGAACACGAGAGAGAGAGAGAGAUCAAACACAUAGCUACUGGUACAUACCCUCAGCCCCGAGGGUGAACUACUCCCUCCACAUCAUGGAGAGCGCCGGGAUGAUGAAGAUGGCCACCGGUGAGGGAUCCCCCCUCCGGCAGGGUGCCGGAACAGGGUCCCGAUAGGUUUUUGGUGGCUACAGAGGCUUGCGGCGGCAGAACUCCCGAUCUUUGGGUUCCCCGAUGUUUUUAGGGUAUAUGGACAUAUAUAGGCGAAAGAAGUCGGUCAGGGGAGCCACAAGGGGCCCACGAGGGUGGGGGGCGCGCCCAGGGGGUAGGGAGCGCCUCCCUGCCUCGUGGCUUCCUCGAAGCUUCCCUAACAUCUUCUCCAGGUCUCCUGGAUUGCUUCCGUUCCAAAAAUACCCGAAGGUUUCAUUCCGUUUGGACUCCGUUUGAUAUUCCUUUUCUUCGAAACACUGAAAUAGGCAAGAAAACAACAAUUUGGGUUGGGCCUCAGGUUAAUAGGUUAGUCCCAAAAAUAAUAUAAAAGUGUUUAGUAAAGCCCAUAAACAUCCAAAACAGAUAAUAUAAUAGCAUGAAUACUUCAUAAAUUAUAGAUACGUUGGAGACGUAUCAGCAUCCCCAAGCUUAAUUCCUGCUCGUCCUCGAGUAGGUAAAUGAUAAAAGAAAUAAUUUAUGAAGUGUGAAUGCUAGCAGGUGCACAAGUUUGAUCAAUGAUAAUUUCAAUCACCUUUUCUAGCAUCAUCAUAUGUCAUAACAGUAGCUCAUCUCAUAAAACUCUUCAUGAUUAAGUAACAAGCUAUUCACAUGUUAAAGCAUAGACCAUAAUCUUUCUUGAAAACUAACAAACUAUGUUCUCAGUCAUCAAACAAUUGCAAUUCAUCUUUUUUCCAGGAAGGGUCUAUGUAAGAGCUUUGAUUUAGCAAAUCCCACAUACUCAACUAUCAUAUAGUCUUCCAUGAUUGCUACCACUCAAAGCAUAUUUUUAGAAUAAUAGCAUACAUCGAACACCGAGAAAGACAGGGGCUUAAUGUUUCGCCUCCCAACUUAUUUAUCAUAUAGAUAAUUGUCAACAAUAAUAAUUCAUGAUCAAAUAUAUUUGAAUGGCCAUAUAUGCUUAGAUAUUUCUCCACCACAUGAUGCUUGCCAACUAAAAAGUAGGUUGGAAUGAAAAGGAAUACUACUGACUCUUGCAUAAAAGUAAAAGAUAGGCCCUUCGCAGAGGGAAGAAGGGAUUUGCAGAGGUGCCAGAGCUCGAAGCUAAAACAGAGAUGAAAAUAAUUUUGAGAGGAAUGCUUUCAUUGUCAACAUAACGACCAAGAGUUCCCAAUAUCUUCCAUACUAGAUACAUUAUAGGCAGUUCCCAAACAGAAAGGUAAAGAUUUUACUCCCCCUCCACCAACAAUCACAUUCCACGGCUUGUCCGAAACAACGGGUGCGGUCCAACUUUCAACAAUCCUGGGGGAGUUUUGUUUAAAUUAUUUGCGAUUUUGUUUUUGAUCUUUUGAUCAUAGGACCGGGCAUCCUAGUUACGAGCCAUUUUCUCGUGAAUGAUGAGCGGAGUCCACUCAUCAUGAGAAUAACCCACCUAGCAUGGAAGAUACUGACAGCUCCUAGUCGCUACAUGAGCGAUUCGGGCAUACAAAAUAGAUUAUUAUUUGAAGGUUUAGAGUUUGGCACAUGCAAAUUUACUUGGAACGGCAGGUAAAUACCGCAUAUAGGUAGAUAUGAUGGAAACUCAUGGAAGAAACUUGGUUCAAGGAAUUUGGAUGCACAAGCAGUAUUCCCGCUUAGUAUAGAUAUUUUGGCUAGCAAAGGAUUCUAAAUAGCAAGCACCACAUGUUAGAGGGUCCAUAACAAUAUAACUUCUAUACAAAUAUACCCUAGCAUAACUCAUUACGUUGUCUUCCUUGUCCAACUUCAACUAAUUUGCUCAGGUUUGAAAAUAAUUAAUGGGGCUCACAAUCAUAGAAGAUGUCCAAGAUAGUAUAUUUAUAUGUGAAAUCUCUCUUCCUUCAAUAUUCUUUCAUGAAUUGUUCAAGUGACCAAUACAAUGUUUGCUAACUUUCAAUAAAUUUACCACCUGUACUUCUUAUAUGUGAACUCAUUACUUCCCAUGGGAUAAGCAUACGAAACAUAUAUAAUUUCAGAUUUAUGAUAUUCAAAUCAUUUAACCAUUUACUCAUAGGAUAUAAGUGAAGCACACGAGUAAAUGACAAACUACUCCAAAAAGAUAUAAGUGAAGAUCAAUGAGUAGUUAAAUAAUUAUGUAGCUUUGUGAAGACUCUCUCUCAUUUAAGAAUUUCAGAUCUUGGGAUAUUAUUCAAACAGCAAGCAAAACAAAAUAAAACGACAUUUCAAGGAUAGCACUCAUCAUGUGAAGAAGCAAUAACUCAGGCUCAACCGAUACUAACCGAUAAUUGUUGAAGAAGAAAGGUGGGAUGCCUACCGGGGCAUCCCCAAGCUUAGAUGCUUGAGACUUCUUGAAAUAUUAUCUUGGGAUGCCUUGGGCAUCCCCAAGCUUGAGCUUUUGUGUCUCCUUAAUUCCUAUCAUAUCACGGUUUCCUAAAUCUCGAAAGCUUCAUCCACACCAAACUCAACAAGAACUCGUGAGAUGAGUUAGUAUAAACCAAUGCAAAAACCUUAUCAUUUUCUACUGUAACAAAUCACUAAAAUUAUUAUUCAACAUUGCAUACUAAAUGCCUCUGCAUAUUUAAUACUCCUAUCCUCAAAUAGAAUCAUUAAACAAGCAAACAUAUGCAAACAAUGCAAACAUAACAGCAAUCUGCCAAAACAGUACAGUCUGUAAAGAAUGCAAGAUUCAUCAUACUUCCCUAACUCCAAACAUUAUUAAAGAAAAUUACCACUGUAGUAAAUUUAUCAGAGCUUACUAUGCAAAAGGUUUCAACAUUUUAUCACAUUCUGAAUUUUCUAGGGAUUUUUUUGCAACAGCGGUAAACUUUCUGUUUUGACACAACAACAUGUAUACUUGCAAAAUAAGCAUGGUAAAGGCUAUCCUUGACAUUCUUAUUGAAAAUAAAGAUGCAAAACAUUAUUAUAAAUAACAUCAAGCAAAUAAUAACAAAAUAAAAUGACACUCCAAGCAAAACACAUAUCAUGUGGUGAAUAAAAAUAUAGCUCCAAGUAAAGUUACCGAUGAACGAAGACAAAAGAGGGGAUGCCAUCCGGGGCAUCCCCAAGCUUAGGCUCUUGGUUGUCCUUGAAUAUUACCUUGGGGUGCCUUGGUAAUCCCAAAUCUUACGCUCUUGCCACUCCUUAUUCCAUAGUCCAUCGAAUCUUUACCCAAAACUUGAAAACUUCACAACACAAAACUCAACAGAAAAUCUUAUGAGCUCCAUUAGUAUAAGAAAAUAAAUCACCACUUAGGUACUGUUGUGAACUCAUUCUAAAUUCAUAUUGGUGUAAUAUAUACUGUAUUCCAACUUCUCUAUGGUUCAUACCCUCCGAUACUACUCAUAGAUUCAUCAAAAUAAGCAAACAACACAUAGAAAACAGAAUCUGUCAAAAACAGAACAGUCUGUAGUAAUCUGUAUCAAACGUAUACUUCUGGAACUCAAAAAAAAUCUGAAAUAAAUUGGUGGACCUGAGGAAUUUGUCUAUUAAUCUUAUGAAAAAAGAAUCAACUUAAAGGCGCUUUUCUGUAAAAAAUGACAGCUAAACUCGUGAGCACAAAGUUUCUGUUUUUUACAGCAAGAUCACAUUAACUUUCACCCAAGUCUUCCCAAAGGUUCUACUUGGCACUUUAUUGAAACAAAAGCUAUAAAACAUGAUUACUACAGUAGCUUAAUCAUGUGAACACACAAAAACAGUAGGGGUAAUAUUGGGUUGUCUCCCAACAAGCGCUUUUCUUUAAUGCCUUUCUAGCUAGGCCUGAUGAUUUCAAUGAUGCUCGCAUAAAAGAUAAGAAUUGAAACAUAACGGGAGCAUCAUGAAGCAUAUGACAAGCACAUUUAAGACUAACCCACUUCCUAUGCAUAGGGAUUCUGUGAGCAAACAACUUAUGGGAACAAUAAUCAACUAGCAUAGGAAGGCAAAACAAGCAUAACUUCAAGAUUUUCAACACAUAGAGAGGAAACUUGAUAUUAUUGCAAUAUGUAGAAGCAUAUGAUCCUCUCUCAUAAUAAUUUUCAGUAGCACCAUGAAUUAAUUCAACCAUAUAACCAGCACAUAAAGCAUUCCUUUCAUGAUCCACAAGCAUAGAAAUUUUACUACUCUCCACAUAAGCAAAUUUAUUCUCAUCAAUAGUAGUGGGAGCAAACUCAACAAAAUAACUAUCAUGUGAAGCAUAAUCCAAUUGAAAAUUAAAAUCAUGAUGACAAGUUUCAUGGUUAUAUUUAUUCUUUAUAGCAUAUUUGUCAUCAAAAUAAUCAUCAUAAUAGGCAGCAUGCUUUCAUCAUAAUAAAUUUGCUCAUCAAAACUUGGGGGACUAAACAUAUCUUCUUCAUAAAACAUAGCAUCCCAGAGCUUGUGGCUUUGCAUAUCAUUAGCAUCAUGGGUAUUCAAAGAAUUCAUACUAACAACAUUGCAAUCAUGCUCAUCAUUCACAUAUUUUAUGCCAAGCAUUAUAUGUAAUUCUUCUUCUAGUACUUGAGCACAAUUUUCCUUUCCAUCAUUUUCACGAAAGAUAUUAAAAACAUGAAGCAUAUGAGGCAACCUUAAUUCCAUGUUUUUCUAGUUUUCUUUUAUAGACUAAACUAGUGAUAAAACAAGAAACUAAAAGAUUCGAUUGCAAGAUCUAAAGAUAUACCUUCAAGCACUCACCUCCCGGCAACGGCGCCAGAAAAGAGCUUGAUGUCUACUACGCAACCUUCUUCUUGUAGACGUUGUUGGGCCUCCAAGUGCAGAGGUUUGUAGGACAGUAGCAAAUUUCCCUCAAGUGGAUGACCUAAGGUUUAUCAAUCCAUGGGAGGCGUAGGUUGAAGAUGGUCUCUCUCAAACAACCCUGCAACCAAAUAACAAAGAGUCUCUUGUGUCCCCAACACACCCAAUACAAUGGUAAAUUGUAUAGGUGCACUAGUUCGGCGAAGAGAUGGUGAUACAAGUGCAAUAUGGAUGGUAGAUAUAGGUUUUUGUAAUAUGAAAAUAUAAAAACAGCAAGGUAACUAAUAAUAAAAGUGAGCACAAACGGUAUUGCAAUGCGUUGAAACAAGGCAUAGAGUUCAUACUUUCACUAGUGCAAGUUCUCUCAACAAUAAUAACAUAAUUAGAUCAUAUAACAACCCCUCAACAUGCAACAAAGAGUCACUCCAAAGUCACUAAUAGCGGAGAACAAACCAAGAGAUUAUUGUAUGGUACGAAACCACCUCAAAGUUAUUCUUUCUGAUCGAUCUAUUCAAGAGUCCGUAGUAAAAUAACACGAAGCUAUUCUUUCCAUUCGAUCUAUCAUAGAGUUCAUACUAGAAUAACACCUUAAGACACAAAUCAACCAAAACCCUAAUGUCACCUAGAUACUGCAACGUCACCUCAAGUAUCUGUGGGUAUGAUUAUACGAUAUGCAUCACACAAUCUCAGAUUCAUCUAUUCAACCAACAUAUAGAACUUCAAAGAGUGCCCCAAAGUUUCUACCGGAGAGUCAAGACGAAAACGUGUGCCAACCCCUAUGCAUAAGUUCACGAGGUCACGGAACCCGCAAGUUGAUCACCAAAACAUACAUCAAGUAGAUCACGUGAUAUCCCAUUGUCACCACAGAUAAGCACAUGCAAGACAUACAUCAAGUGUUCUCAAAUCCUUAAAGACUCAAUCCGAUAAGAUAACUUGAAAGGGAAAACUCAAUCCAUUACAAGAGAGUAGAGGGGGAGAAACAUCAUAAGAUCCAACUAUAAUAGCAAAGCUCGCGAUACAUCAAGAUCGUACCAUCUCAAGAACACGAGAGAGAGAGAUCAAACACAUAGCUACUGGUACAUACCCUCAGCCCCGAGGGUGAACUACUCCCUCCUCGUCAUGGAGAGCGCCGAGAUGAUGAAGAUGGCCACCGGUGAGGGAUCCUUUAACGCCCCGAGACCGACGCUCCAGAAGACUUCCAUAUAUUUCGUGUUCGUCGUGUGUUUUAUUUUUGUUUGUUGCAUUCAUCAUGUCAUCAUGAGCAUUGCAUUGCAUGUUUUCUAAAAAACUUGCACCCGUUGAUAGUUGCCGCUUCUUCCUUGUCUCUGUUGACCUUUCUCAAGACCGACCAUUCGUUUGUUGCCCGACCGUUUGACCCUCUCUACAAUUUACUCAGACCCCUCGCGCGCGUCCGAAAGUUGUCCCGAACCCGACCUGCUCUGUCAUUACCAAUGGAUUCAGAUCAUCUCCUAACAUCUAUAAAACAUCUUCGGUUUCUUCUUUGACUCUCCUAACCUAUUUAUCCGAGACCGUCCGAUUAAGAUCGGCAGGACCAAAUGCCCCUAUCCAAAAAUUCUCUUGCUAUAUAAAUCAGACCAAACCCUAAAAACUAGGUCAUUUGUCCCCCUAGCCGCCGCCACCUGCAGCCUCCUCCCUCCUCGGAUCAGCCGCCGCCACCCACUCACCAAAUCCCCCUCGGGAUCCAUCCCUCCCCAACCAUCGCUCGCCACCUACAGCCUCCUCCCCUCGCCCUCCACCUCGCUCGACCCAGCGCCUCCUCUGUCCCUCCUCGAUUCCCACCGAACCACCCAAUCAAUCCAUCGAUCCAACAUCGUUGAUCCCUCGAUACAGGAGCUCUUGCCCGAGGCUCCUAGCUCCCCUGCCUCCACGAACAUGAGCGCCCAUGGCCUUGUGCCCCUGCCGUCGUAGCAACAGCAGCAACAACCUCGCCAGAGAUGAGUUCCCCGCCGUGCCCUGCUCCCUUCCUUCCCCAUCUGCUCUCUCUUUCUCUCUCUCUCUCUCUCUCUCACGCUGCUCUCUCUGUUGUCCUCGCAGUGCCGCCAUGGAGGCCCCAACUCCAACCCAUAGCAGCUGCGCUGCUGAAGUCGCCUUCACCUCGUCCCCUCGUCCAGUUCCCGACGACCGGGUCGUCUCCCCGUCGUCGCCAUCUUGCUGUCAUGGCGCGGUUGUGCCCGAAGAGAUGCCCGUGUCGCUUUGCCCAGGCCAGUCCCUCGCGCGCCGUCCUUCUCCUCCUUCCUUCCUUCUUUUCUUCUAUGCGUCCCUUCUCAGUCCUCUGCCUCUCUCUGUACAGGACGAACAGGACGAGCUCCGUCUGCGCUAUGGAUGCCCUGCCUCGCCAGAUCCAUCCAUUCCCCUCGUCCCGCGCCCUGGAUCCGGUCGAUCCGAGCUUCCCCAUGCCCAAGACCUUGUCGCCCCUUCGCUCUGCUCCCGGCCACCAGCGCGCUGCUCACCUCCUCUGCUUCGCCCCUGCACGAGCAGGACGGCCCCGCCCUGCUUCGCGUCCGUCCAGAUCCAGCGCUGGCCCGCCGUCUUCGACCUCCCUCUAUGUGCCCGCAAGCUCGCCGCCGCUAGCGUCCUCGCCAAGACCUGCCGCUGCCACGCCUUGCUUCGUCUGAAGCCACUGCGCCAAGCCCUGCCUGCUUUGCCUCCUGCCUUUGAGCGCAGGACGACGAGCGUGGGCCUCGUCCAGCCUCGCCAUCUCCAGCGCCCCGCUUGGGCCUCCUCUCCAAGGCCUCAAGGCCCGAUGUGAGCAGCCCAGUUCCAUCAGAUUCGGCCUGCCAUGGUUUUUCCCUGUUCCGGGCAAAUUUGUCUAUUUAUCCAGAGUUUUACUGUUUUACAGAAAAGUCCUUCAUGAUCAUGCAUUAAUAACUCCACAACCAUGCAUCAUAUUAAAAUGUCUUAAAUAUGUAAAAUGCUCAGAAAUUUGUGUAGUUUAAUAAUAUGCAACUUUCAUCCAUGUUAAAAAUGCUUAACUUGCUGUUUGUUUAAUUUUGCAUAAAUGCCAUGUUAAAAUGAUUUAUUUCAUAACUAAUUAACCAUAGCUUGGAUUUAAAUAAACUUGAUAUGUAAAUGGGGUAGAAAAAUGCAUAGAUUAACAUGGUGCACUUUAUUUUGCUGUUUAACAACAUUAAAAUUGUGUUUAUGGCAGAACAGUAUCAAAUCUAAAAUAUGCACAUGGGGAUUUUCCGGAAUUGUUGUUUGUUGUUCCGGCCUCAUUUAAACUUGCCUAAAUAGUUAGUUUAUUUAUGCUUCACCCUCUUGCCAUGUUUAACAACAUUUAACUUUGUUGGGUACAUAACCGAGAGAGAACUAAAUAAUUGAUGUGGUGUCUCGUCAAUACGCAACUCGUUGCAUAUUGAGCUUCACUUAAUUUGUAGUUUUGUUUGUGCACCUUGCCAUGCCAUGCCUCAUUAAAUCGGACAUGCAUCAUACUUGAUUGUGCAUCAUGCCAUGUUUAUGUGAUGGUUGUUUACUAUGUUGUUUGCUUCUUUCCGGUUUGCUUCUCUCGUUAGCUUCGGUUUCGUUCCGGAGUUGUGAGGAUUCGUUCGACUAAGUCCGUUUGUCUUCUUCAUGGACUCGUUCUUCUUCCUUGCGGGAUUUCAGGCAAGAUGACCAUACCCUUGAAAUCACUUCUAUCUUUGCUUGCUAGUUGUUCGCUCUAUUGCUAUGCCGCGCUACCUACCACUUGCUAUAUCAUGCCUCCCAUAUUGCCAUGUCAAGCCUCUAACCCACCUUUCCUAGCAAACCGUUGUUUGGCUAUGUUACCGCUUUUGCUCAGCCCCUCUUAUAGCGUUGCUAGUUGCAGGUGAAGAUGAACUUUGUUCCAUGUUGGAACAUGUUUAUGUUGGGAUAUCACAAUAUCUCUUAUUUAAUUAAUGCAUCUAUAUACUUGGUAAAGGGUGGAAGGCUCGGCCUUAUGCCUGGUGUUUUGUUCCACUCUUGCCGCCCUAGUUUCCGUCAUACCGGUGUUAUGUUCCUUGAUUUUGCAUUCCUUACGCAGUUGGGUGAUUUAUGGGACCCCUUGACAGUUCGCUUUGAAUAAAACUCCUCCAGCAAGGCCCAACCUUGGUUUUAACAUUUGCUACCUAAGCCUUUUUCCCUUGGGUUCUGCAGACUCAAGGGUCAUCUUUAUUUUAACCCCCCGGGCCAGUGCUCCUCCGAGUGUUGGUCCAAACUAGAGCCCUUUGCAGCGCCACCUCGGGGAAACUUGAGGCCUGGUUUUAGUUGUACGGACUGCUCAUCCGGUGUGCCCUGAGAACGAGAUAUGUGCAGCUCCUAUCGGGAUUUGUCGGCACAUUCGGGUGGUCUUGCUGGUCUUGUUUUACCAUUGUCGAAAUGUCUUGUAAACCGGGAUUCCGAGACUGAUCGGGUCUUCCUGGGAGAAGGAAUAUCCUUUGUUGACUGUGAGAGCUUAUAAUGGGCUAAGUUGGGACACCCCUGCAGGGUAUUAUCUUUCAAAAGCCGUGCCCGCGGUUAUGUGGCAGAUGGGAAUUUGUUAAUGUCCGGUUGUAGAGAACUUGACACUUGACUUAAUUAAAAUGCAUCAACCGUGUGUGUAGCCGUGAUGGUCUCUUUUCGACGGAGUCCGGGAAGUGAACAUGGCUUUUGGGUUAUGUUUGACGUAAGUAGGAGUUCAGGAUCACUUCUUGAUCAUUACUAGUUGACGACCGUUCCGUUGCUCCUCUUCUCGCUCUUAUUUGCGUAUGUUAGCCACCAUAUAUGCUUAGUGCUUGCUGCAGCUCCACCUCACUACCUUCUCCUACCCAUAAGCUUAAAUAGUCUUGAUCUCGCGGGUGUGAGAUUGCUGAGUCCUCGUGACUCACAGAUACUCCCAAAACAGUUGCAGGUGCCGAUGAUACCAGUGCAGGCGAUGCCACCCAGCUCAAGUGAGAGCUCGAUGAAGACCUUGGUCGUUACUAUGUUUCGUUUCCUGUUGAUCAGUAGUGGAGCCCAGUUGGGAUGAUCGGGGAUCUAGCAGUUGGGUUUUCUUCUUUUCUUUUGGCUUUGACCGUAGUCGGUCUAUGUGUGUAUCUUGAAUGAUGUAUGAAUUUAUUUAUGUAUUGUGUGAAGUGGCGAUUGUAAGCCAACUCUUUAUCCCAUUCUUGUUCAUUACAUGCGAUUGUGUGAAGAUGACCCUUCUUGCGACAAAACCACAAUGCGGUUAUGCCUCUAAGUCGUGCCUCGACACGUGGGAGAUAUAGCCGCAUCGUGGGUGUUACAGAUCCCCCUCCGGCAGGGUGCCGGAACAGGGUCCCAAUUGGUUUUUGGUGGCUACAGAGGCUUGCGGCGGCGGAACUCUUGAUCUAUUGUGUUCCCCGAUGUUUUAGGGUAUAUGGACAUAUAUAGGCAAAAGAAGUCGGUCAGGGGAGCCACGAGGGGCCCACGAGGGUGGGGUGUGCGCCCAGGGGGUAGGGCGCGCCUCCCUGCCUCGUGGCUUCCUGGAAGCUUCCCUGACAUCUACUCCAAGUCUCCUGGAUUGCUUCCGUUCCAAAAAUAACUCUCCCGAAGGUUUCAUUCCGUUUGGACUCCGUUUGAUAUUCCUUUUCUUUGAAACACUGAAAUAGGAAAGAAAACAACAAUUUGGGCCGGGCCUCCGGUUAAUAGGUGAGUCCCAAAAAUAAUAUAAAAGUGUUUAGUAAAGCCCAUAAACAUCCAAAACAGAUAAUAUAAUAGCAUGAAUACUUCAUAAAUUAUAGAUACGUUGGAGACGUAUCAUAGGCAUGCCUGUUAUAUCUGUUAAAUUAGGAGAUCAUUGUUAUCAUGGCUUGUGUGAUAUGGGUGCUAGUGCAAGUGCAAUACCUCAUUCCUUAUACAAAGAAAUUAUGCAUGAUAUUGCACCUGCUGAGAUAGAAGAAAUUGAUGUCACAAUUAAGCUUGCCAAUAGAGAUACUAUUUCACCAGUUGGGAUUGUUAGAGAUGUUGAAGUCUUGUGUGGGAAAGUUAAAUAUCCUGCUGAUUUUCUUGUUCUUGGUUCCCCACAAGAUAACCUUUGUCCCAUUAUAUUUGGUAGACCCUUCCUGAAUACUGUUAAUGCUAGGAUAGACUACGAAAAGGAUUUUGUUACUAUUGGUUUAGGGGAUAUGUCUCAUGAGUUUAAUUUUGCUAAAUUUCGUAGAUAACCCCGUGAUGAGGAAUUGCCUAGUAAAGAUGAAAUUAUUGGUCUUGCUUCUAUUGCCGUGCCCCUAAUGAUCCUUUAGAACAAUAUUUGCUAGACCAUGAAAAUGACAUGUUUAUGAAUGAAAGAAGGGAAAUAGAUGAAGUAUUCUUUAAACAGGGACCUAUUUUGAAACACAAUUUGCCUGUUGAAAUCCUAGGGGGUCCUCCUCCACCCAAGGGUGAUCCCGCGUUUGGGCUUAAACCAUUACCUGAUACUCUUAAAUAUGCUUAUCUUGAUGAAAAGAAGAUAUAUCCUGUUAUUAUUAGUGCUAACCUUUCAGAGAAGGAAGAAGAGAAAUUAUUGAAAACUCUGAAAAAGCACCGUGCUGCUAUUGGAUAUACUCUUGAUGAUCUUAAGGGCAUUAGUCCCACUCUAUGCCAACACAAAAUUAAAUUGGAGAAAGACGCUAAACCAGUUGUUGAUCACCAACGACGGUUAAAUCCUAAGAUGAAAGAAGUGGUAAGAAAACAAAUACUAAAGCUUCUGGAGGCAGGUAUAAUUUAUCCCGUUGCCGAUAGUCAGUGGGUAAGUCCUGUCCAUUGUGUCCCUAAGAAGGGAGGUAUUACUGUUGUUCCUAAUGAUAAAGAUGAAUUGAUCCCACAAAGAAUUGUCAUAGGUUAUAGGAUGGUAAUUGAUUUCCGCAAAUUAAACAAAGCCACUAAAAAGGAUCAUUACCCUUUACCUUUUAUUGGUCAGAUGCUAGAAAGAUUAUCCAAACAUACACAUUUUUGCUUUCUAGAUGGCUACUCUGGUUUCUCUCAAAUACCUGUAUCAAAAGAGGAUGAAGAAAAGACCACUCUUACUUGCCCUUUCGGUACCUUUGCUUAUAGACGUAUGCCUUUUGGUUUAUGCAAUGCACCUGCUACCUUUCAAAGAUGCAUGAUGGCUAUAUUCUCUAAUUUUUGUGAAAAUAUUGUUGAGGUUUUCAUGGAUGAUUUUUCCGUAUACGGAACUUUUUUUGAUGAUUGCUUGAGCAACCUUGAUCGAGUUUUACAGAGAUGUGAAGAAACUAAUCUUGUCUUGAAUUGGGAGAAGUGCCACUUUAUGGUUAAUGAAGGUAUUGUCUUGGGGCAUAAAUUUUUUGAAAGAGGUAUUGAAGUUGAUAAAGCUAAAGUUGAUGCUAUUGAAAAGAUCCCGUGUCCCAAGGACAUCAAAGGUAUAAGAAGUUUCCUUGGUCAUGCCAGUUUUAUAGGAGGUUCAUUAAAGACUUCUAAAAAAAUUCUAGGCCUCUGACUAAUCUAUUACAAAAAGAUAUCCCUUUUGUCUUUGAUGAUGAUUGUGUAGAAGCAUUUGAAAUACUUAAGAAAGCCUUAAUUUCUGCACCUAUCGUUCAGCCACCUGAUUGGAAUUUACCCUUUGAAAUUGUGUGAUGUUUGUGAUUAUGUUGUAGGUGCUAUUCUAGGACAACGAGUAGAUAAGAAAUUAAAUGUUAUUCAAUAUGCUAGUAAAACUCUGGACAAUGCCCAGAGAAAUUAUGCUACUACUGAAAAAGAAUUUUUAGCAGUUGUAUUUGCUUGUGAUAAGUUCAGAUCUUAUAUUGUUGAUUCCAAAGUAACUGUUCACACUGAUCAUGCUGCUAUUAAAUAUCUUAUGGAAAAGAAAGAUGCUAAACCUAGACUUAGAUGGGUUCUCCUACUACAAGAAUUUGAUUUGCAUAUUAUUGAUAGAAAGGGAGCUGAGAACCCCGUUGCAGACAACUUAUCUAGGUUAGAGAAUGUUCUUGAUGAACCACUACCUAUUGAUGAUAGCUUUCCUGAUGAACAAUUAGCCGCCAUAAAUGCUUCUCGUACUGCUCCAUGGUAUGCUGAUUAUGCUAAUUACAUUGUUGCUAAAUUUAUACCACCAAGCUUCACAUACCAGCAAAAGAAAAAGUUUUUCUAUGAUUUAAGACAUUACUUCUGGGAUGACCCACACCUUUAUAAAGAAGGAGUAGAUGGUGUUAUUAGACGUUGUGUACCUGAGCAUGAACACGAACAGAUCCUACGCAAGUGUCAUUCCGAGGCUUACGGAGGACACCACGCUGGAGAUAGAACUGCACAUAAGGUAUUGCAAUCCGGUUUUUAUUGGCCUACUCUCUUCAAAGAUGCCCGUAAGUUUGUCUUGUCUUGUGAUGAAUGUCAAAGAAUUGGUAAUAUUAGUAGACGUCAAGAAAUGGCUCUGAACUAUUCACUUGUUAUUGAACCAUUUGAUGUUUGGGGCUUUGAUUAUAUGGGACCGUUUCCUUCCUCUAAUGGCUAUACACAUAUUUUAGUUGCUGUUGAUUACGUUACUAAGUGGGUAGAAGCUAUUCCAACUAGUAGUGCUGAUCAUAACACCUCUAUUAAGAUGCUUAAAGAAGUUAUUUUCCGAGGUUUGGAGUCCCUAGAUACUUAAUGACUGAUGGUGGUUCACAUUUUAUUCAUGGUGCUUUUCAUAAAAUGCUUGCUAAGUAUGAUGUUAAUCAUAGAAUUGCAUCUCCAUAUAUACCACCCACAGUCUAGUGGUCAAGUAGAAUUGAGUAAUAGAGAGCUUAAAUUAAUUUUGCAAAAGACUGUUAAUAGAUCUAGAAAGAAUUGGUCCAAGAAACUUGAUGAUGCAUUAUGGGCCUAUAGAACUGCAUAUAAAAAUCCUAUGGGUAUGUCUCCGUAUAAAAUGGUUUAUGGAAAAGCAUGUCACUUACCUCUCGAACUAGAACAUAAGGCAUAUUGGGCCAUUAAAGAGCUCAAUUAUGAUUUCAAGCUUGCCGGUGAGAAGAGGCUAUUUGAUAUUAGCUCACUUGAUGAAUGGAGAACCCAGGCCUAUGAGAAUGCCAAACUGUUUAAGGAAAAGGUUAAAAGAUGGCAUGACAAAAGGAUACAAAAGCGUGAGUUUAAUGUAGGUGAUUAUGUGUUGCUAUUCAACUCUCGUUUAAGAUUUUUUGCAGGAAAACUUCUCUCUAAAUGGGAAGGGCCUUAUGUUUCGAGGAGGUCUAUCGUUCCGGUGCCAUAAAAAUCAACAACUUCGAAGGCACAAAUCCGAAGGUGGUGAACGGUCAAAGAAUCAAACAUUAUAUCUCAGGUAAUCCCAUAAAUGUUGAAACUAAUAUUAUUGAAACCGUAACCCUGGAGGAAUACAUAAGGGAUAAUUUCCAAAACGUUUCAGACUCCGAAAAGGAAUAGGUUCGUGGUACGGUAAGUAAACCGACUCCAAAACAGUUCUAAUGGUAAUUUUUCUCCGUUUUGGAUUAUUUAAGAAAAUAGGAAAAUAAGAAGCAGUCCGGGAAGGACACGAGGCGUCCACGAGGGUGGAGGGCGCGCCCUACCCCCUGGGCGCGCCCCCUGCCUCGUGGGCACGUCGUGUGCUCUCCGGACUCCGUUUUCUUGCACAAUACUUCUUUUGGCCGAUAAAAUUUCAUUAUAUAAUCUCCCGAAGGUUUUGACCACCUACCACGCAAAUAUCCUCUGUUUUUGUUUCGAGCUGUUUUUUUGACAGAUCUAGAUCACCAUGACGUCUCCAAGUGCCCCCAAGGACAAGUUCUUCGAGAAGGUCAUCAACCCCUACCUUGCGGAAGUGCUGCAACAUCCUCAAACCAUUGAGAUGCGUGAGGGGUUGCUGCACAUCCGCGAUGUUGAGGGACCAAGGAGGACCGGAAGCGUGGAGACAAGGCUCGAGGCAAUGGAGCAACAAGUUUUCAAGUGUCAGGAGAUGGUGGAACGUGGACUCGACGCCAAUCACAUAAUGAUCACGGAGUUCACCAACAACCACAAGCUGGACGCCAAGAACAUUGGGGAGGCCAUCUUCAAGCUUCACGAGAAAAUCAAGCAUCUCCAAGCUCAGAUCUAUGACCUCCAAAACCAAAACUGUGAGUAUGAAUAUAGAUUCAAGAGGAUGAGUUUGGCUAUAGAUUUGAGGAUCCCGGAGACUCGAUCAUCCUUCUAUGAUGGUGAGCCUAUGCCUUGGAAGAUGGACGCCAAGCCCACAUCAUCAACAACUCUAUCAUCACCACCUCCGAGGAAAGAUAUCUAAUCACAUGGGUAUGGGCACUCCCCUUGGCAACUUCCAAGCUUGGGGGAGGUGCCCCGGUAUCGUAUCACCAUCAUUACCGUUUUUCUUAGUUCAAAUCUUUUGGUAAUAUCUUGAUCUAGUAGAAUAAAGUUUUAGUAUGAUCUAGUUUUGAGUUUUGCUUUAUGAUCCUUCUAUGUAAUAGAGUCCGUGAGCUAUAUAUAAUAAAGAUUAGUGUUGAGUCAAGGGCUUGAUUAUCUUGCUAUGAUCAUGAGGGAAUAAAAGAAAGAAUAAAAAGAAAUAAAGAGAUCAUAUUGAUCUUAUGGAGAGUAAUGACUUCACAUAUAAAGAGUAUGAUGAAUAAAAGUUGUUAAUAGUUGACAAACAUAGUUUUGGUCAUCGUUGCAAUUAAUAGGAAGUAAUAAAGAAAGAGAGGUUUUCACAUAUAAAUAUACUAUCUUGGACAUCUUUUAUGAUUGUGAGAACUCAUUAAAAUAUGACAUGCUAAAGAGUUGAUGUUGGACAAGGAAGACAACGUAAUGGGUUAUGUGUUCUUAUAUCCGAAAUAAAGUAUAUUGUCAUGGAUCAUCCAACAUGUUGAGCUUGCCUUUCUCCCUCAUGCUAGCCAAUUCUUUGCACCAAGUAGAGAUACUACUUGUGCUUCCAAAUACCCUUAAACCCAGUUUUGCCAUGAGAGUCCAUCAUAUCUACCUAUGGAUUGAGUAAGAUCCUUCAAGUAAGUUGUCAUUGUUGCAUGCAAUAAAAAUUGCUCUCUAAAUAUGUAUGAUUUAUUAGUGUGGAGAAAAUAAGCUUUAUACGAUCUUGUGAUGUGGAAGAAAUAAAAGCGACGGACUGCAUAAUAAAGGUCCAUAUCACAAGUGGCAAUAUAAAGUGACGUUCUUUCGCAUUAAGAUUUUGUGCAUCCAACCAUAAAAGCACAUGACAACCUCUGCUUCCCUCUACGAAGGGCCUAUCUUUUCUUUUUGUCUUAUACCUUAUGCGAGAGUCAUGGUGAUCUUCACCUUUCCUUUUUACAUUUUUCCUUUGGCAAGCACAUUGUGCUGGAAAGAUCCUGAUAUAUAUAUCCAAUUGGAUGUAAGUUAGCAUGAGCUAUUAUUGUUGACAUUACCCUUGAGGUAAAAGGUUGGGAGGCGAAACUAUAAGCCCCUAUCUUUCUCUGUGUCCGAUUAAAACUCCAUACCCAUAAGUAUUGCGUGAGUGUUAGCAAUUGUGAAAGACUAAAUGAUAGUUGAGUAUGUGGACUUGCUGAAAGGCUCUUAUAUUGACUCUUUCCGAUGUUAUGAUAAAUUGCAAUUGCUUCAAUGACCGAGAUUAUAGUUUGUUAGUUUUCAAUGAAGUUUUUCUGAUUCAUACUUGACAUUAUGAAUGGAUUGUUACUUUAUCGUAAGAAAUCAUAUGACAAUAUAUAUAUACAUAUAUGUUGCUAUUAUAAGAAUGAUCAUGAUGCCCUCAUGUCCGUAUUUUAUUUUAUCGACACCUCUAUCUCUAAACAUGUGGACAUAUUUUUGGAUAUCGGCUUCCGCUUGCGGACAAUCAAGGUCUAAGCUUGGGGGAGUUGAUACGUCCAUUUUGCAUCAUGCUUUUAUAUCGAUAUUUAUUGCAUUAUGGGCUGUUAUUACACAUUAUGUCACAAUACUUAUGCCUAUUCUCUCUCAUUUUACAAGGUUUACAUGAAGAGGGAGAAUGCCGGCAGCUGGAAUUCUGGCCUGGAAAAGGAGCAAAUAUUAGAGACCUAUUCUGCACAACUCCAAAAGUCCUGAAACUCCACGGAAGUUAUUUUUGGAAUUAAUAAAAAAUACUGAGCGAAGAAAGUACCAGAGGGGGGCCACCCACCAUCCACGAGGGUCGGGGACGCGCCCUACCCCCCUGGGCGCACCCCCAUGCCUCGUGGGCCCCUUGGCAGGCCUCCGGUGCCCAUCUUCUGUUAUAUGGUGUCUUUUACCCUGAAAAAAUCAUAAGCAAGCUUUCGGGAUGAAACACCGCCGCCACGAGGCUGAACCUUGGCGGAACCAAUCUAGGGCUCCGGCGGAGCUGUUUUGCCAGGGAAACAUCUCUCCGAGAGGGGGAAAUCAUCACCAUCGUCAUCACCAUCGAUCCUCUCAUCGGGAGGGGGUCAAUCUCCAUCAACAUGUUCACCAACACCAUCUCAUCUCAAACCGUAGUUCAUCUCUUGUAUCCAAUCUUUGUAUCAAAACCUCAGAUUGGUACCUGUGGGUUGCUAGUAGUGUUGAUUACUCCUUGUAGUUGAUGCUAUUUGGUUUAUUUGGUAGAAGAUCAUAUGUUCAGAUCCUUUAUGCAUAUUAAUACCCCUCUGAUUAUGAACAUGAAUAUGCUUUGUGAGUAGUUACGUUUGUUCCUGAGGACAUGGGAGAAGUCUUGUUAUAAGUAGUCAUGUGAAUUUGGUAUUCGUUCGAUAUUUUGAUGAGAUGUAUGUUGUCUCUCCUCUAGUGGUGUUAUGUGAACGUCGACUACAUGACACUUCACCAUUGUCUGGGCCUAGAGGAAGGCAUUGGGAAGUAAUAAGUAGAUGAUGGGUUGCUAGAGUGACAGAAGCUUAAACCCUAGUUUAUGCCUUGCUUCGUAAGGGGCUGAUUUGGAUCCAUAUGUUUCAUGCUAUGGUUAGGUUUACCUUAAUACUUCUUUUGUAGUUGCGGAUGCUUGCAAUAGGGGUUAAUCAUAAGUGGGAUGCUUAUCCAAGGAAGGUCAGCACCCAAGCACCGGUCCACCCACAUAUCAAAUUAUCAAAGUACCGAACGCGAAUCAUAUGAGCGUGAUGAAAACUAGCUUGACGAUAAUUCCCAUGCGUCCUCGAGAGCGUUUUCCUUCAUAUAAGAGUUUUUUCAGGCUUGUCCUUUGCUACAAAAAGGAUCGGGCCACCUUGCUGCACUUUAUUUACUCUUGUUACUUGUUACCCGUUACAAAUUACUUUAUCACAAAACUAUCUCUUACCGAUAAUUUCAGUGCUUGCAGAGAAUACCUUACUGAAAACCGCUUGUCAUUUCCUUUUGCUCCUCGUUGGGUUCAACACUCUUACUUAUCGAAAAGACUAUGAUAGAUCCCCUACACUUGUGGGUCAUCACUAAACAUUGUAAUUCAUGGUAAAAGAGAUCCAGUCAUACUCAAUAUAAAUUAAUAGUAAUGGAUGCAAAUGACAGCGGUGCUCUCUAACUGAUGCUUUUUGAUAAGAGGAUGAUGACUCAACAUAAAAGUAAAUAGAUAGGCCCUUCGCAGAGGGAAGCAGGGAUUUGUAGAGGUGCCAGAGCUUGGUUUUUGAAACAGAGAUAAAUAAUAUUUUGAGUGGCAUACUUUCAUUGUCAACAUAACAACCGAGAGAUCUCGAUAUCUUCCAUGCUACACACAUUAUAGGUGGUUCCCAAGCAGAAUGGUAAAGUUUAUACUCCCCCACCACCAACAAGCAUCAACCCUUGGCUUGCUCGAAACAAUGAGUGCCUCCAACUAGCAACAGCCCUGGGGGAGUUUUGUUUGCAAUUAUUUUGAUUUGAUUUGCUUAGAGCAUGGGACUGGGCAUCCCGGUGACCAGCCAUUUUCUCGUGAGUGAGGAGCGGAGUCCACUCCUCUUGAGAAUAACCCGCCUAGCAUGGAAGAUACAGACAUCCCUAGUUGAUACAUGAGCUAUUCGAGCAUACAAAACAGAAUUUCAUUUGAAGGUUUAGAGUUUGGCACAUACAAAUUUACUUGGAACGGCAGGUAGAUACCGCAUAUAGGAAGGUACGGUGGACUCAUAUAGAAUAACUUUGGGGUUUAUAGAAUUGGAUGCACAAGCAGUAUUCCCGCUUAGUACAAGUGAAGGCUAGAAAGAGACUGGGAAGCGACCAACUAGAGAGCGACAACAGUCAUGAACAUGCAUUAAAAUUAGUCAGCACUUAAUGCAAGCAUGAGUAGGAUAUAAUUCACCAUGAACAUAAAUAUCGUGGAUGCUAUGUUGAUUUUGUUUGAACUACAUGCAUGAAGAUGUGCCAAGUCAAGCCACUUGAAUCAUUCAAAGGAGAAUAUCACCCUAUCAUACCACAUCACAACCAUUUUAAUAGCAUGUUGGCACGCAAGGUAAACCAUUAUAAACUCCUAGCUAAUUAAGCAUGGCAUAAGCAACUAUAAUCUCUAGUUGUUAUUGCAAACAUGUUUAUUCAUAAUAGGCUGAAUCAGGAACGAUGAACUAAUCAUAUUUACAAAAACAAGAGAGGUCAAGUUCAUACCAGCUUCUCUCAUCUCAAUCAGUCCAUCAUAUAUCGUCAUUAUUGCCUUUCACUUGCACGACUGAACGGUGUGGAUAAUAAUAAUAGUGCACGUGCAUUGGACUAAGCUGGAAUCUGCAAGCAUUUAAUACACAGGAGAAGGCAAGGUAAUAUGGGCUCCUGGUUAAGUCAACAAUAAUGCAUAUAAGAGCCACUUCAACAUAUUCAUCAUGGUCUUCUCCUAUUGACCCCCAAAGAAAAGAAAGGAAAUAAAACUAUUUACACGGGAAAGCUCCCAACAAGUAAAAGAAGAACGAGAAAUCUUUUUGGGUUUUCUUUUAAUUAUUACCACUACAAGCAUGAAAAGUAAACUAGCUGAAAGCUACAACUAAUUUUUUGGUUUUUCUUAAGGUUUAUCGAACACACAAGAAGAAAGCAAGAAAAAGAAAAUAAACUAGCAUGGAUAGUACAAUGAAAAAGUAUGAGCACCGUCAACUAGAAUGAGUGUGUGAACAUGAAUGUAAUGUCGGUGAGAAAUACGUACUCCCCCAAGCUUAGGCUUUUGGCCUAAGUUGGUCUAUGCCCAUGGAUCAAAGUUGUCCCCUCCAGUGUACUGUGGAGGAUCCUCGGGGUGCCACUGGUUGGCGAGCUCCUUCGGAUCCCACUGAUAAACCAACUGCCGAUAAGGGUCAGGAGAUGGCUCUGGCUCAGGAUCAGGCUCACGGGAUCGUGUUCGCUCCCAAUAUGCAUAAAUGUCAUCGGGCAGGAUGAUGUAUGUGCCUAAAUAAAUAUUAAACAAAGAAGGUGCAGGCAGGGUAAUAAUCUGACAAGUCUUUUCACUGAAUACCAGGUUAUAAAUGAGUCUCUUCUCCUUAUCAUCGCAAAUAAAAUCAUGUGCUACCAUACUUUUAUAGUCUAAGAGUUUUCUUCUUUCUCAUAGUGUCUAAUAGGUAUCUCAAAAUAUUUAGCAAGACGCUAAGCAAAGAUACCUCAAAAAAUGGGGCCCUUUGUACGGUUUAGACUCAACCGUUUAGCAACCAUAGCACCUAAACUGAAAGUUCUAUCACAGAGUAAAGCAUGGCGCAAAAUGGCGAGGUCAGGAGCACUGAGUCCCCCACUGUUCCCGCGGCCAAUUAAACAUCUACUAGCAAAUAUUGCGAAGUAACGUAGAACAUGAAAAUGUAUGCUAGUAGUUCUUGCAUCUAACACUUUUCUCGUUUCCCCUACAGCAAUCAUAUCAAUAAAACCUGCUACAUCCCUUGGAUGUGGUUCCUCGACGCUGCCCUCAAAAGGCAACUUGCAAACCCCACAAAAGUCAUAAAGUGACAUCUCCUUAUACUCAUCAUAUAAAUAAAAAUCCACCGAAGGUGGUGACCUCCUAGCAUGGAAAUGAAAUUUUUGCACAAAAUAUUAGUGAGUAGGAUAUACUGAUCGAGCUAGUCGUGGAGGAAGUCAGUGAGGCCUGCAUUCUCAGCCAAAUAAUAAAAAUCAUCAUGAAUCCCGGCUGCUCCCAAGAACUCAUCACAAGGCCAUUCACACGGCCGAACCUCCGCGGUGCGAGGGAGAUUAUAUUUGGGCUUCUUAUCUUCUUCACUUUGCUUAUCCUUCGAGCUUCGGCUCGAAGAGCCCCUCAAUAAUCUCUUCAUCAUUUUCUGAAAAUUUCUGAAAUUUUUAGUAACUCAAAAUAAAAGUGAACCAAACUCAACAAAAUUAAUAGCAACUACUCCCACAAGUGCCUAGAGACUAUAUCAUGCAUUAGAACUACUUAAGACCAAAUAAAUUUGACAUGCAAGCUCAAGAACAGGGUCACCUAAGCAGUAAAAAUUUGCAAUGAAUAAAGCACUAGAACAAAAACUAAUUGGACCAUUAGAGGAGUCACAUACCGAAGAACAAUCCCCCAAAGUAGUUUUGUGAGUGGAGCUUUGAGCAAGGAGAUCGAAAAUGGCAGCAAGAUGAGCUAGAACUCGUGCUUGAGCUGGUUGGUGAUUUUUUCUGGAGGAAGGAGUGUGUGGGUGCUGGAAUAAGUGGAGGGGGGCCACCAGGGGCCCACGAGGCAGGGGCGCGCCCAGGGGGGUGGGCGCGCCCUGGACCCUCGUGGCCAGGUGCUGGAUCCCCCUGAUGUGUUCUCAGUGCCAAAUAUUCUUAAAUAUUCUAGAAAAAAAUCAUAUUUCAAUUUUAGGGCAUUUGGAGAACUUUUAUUUUCGGGUAUUUUUAUUGCACGGAUAAUUCAGAAAACAGACAGAAAAUAAUAUUUUUGCUUUAUUUAAUCUAAAUAACAGAAAGUAAAAGGAGGGUACAGAGAGUUGUGCUUUCUAACUUCAUCCAUCUCAUGCUCAUCAAAAGGAAUCCACUAACAAGGUUGAUCCGGUCUUGUUAACAAACUCAUUCCGAAUUGCAUGAAACCGGAGAAUUUUCAAAUAGCACUAGGUUACCUCAACGGGGAUAUGCACAUCCCCAAUAAUAAGUAUAUCAUAUUUCUUUUUGACAGUCGGAAGAGGAAAUUCAAAACCUCCAAUAGUAAUAGUUUGAAUUUUUCCAAUAGAAUUGAUACUGUGGACUUGAGGUUGUUUCCUCGGAAAGUGCACCGUAUGCUCAUUACCAUUAACAUGAAAAGUGAUAUUGCCUUUUUUGCAGUCAAUAACAGCCCCUGCAGUAUUCAAAAAGGGUCUACCAAGGAUAAUCGACAUACUGUCGUCCUCUGGAAUAUCAAGAAUAACAAAGUCCGUUAAAAUAGUAACGUUUGCAACCACAACAGGCGCAUCCUCACAAAUACCGACAGGUAUAGCGGUUAAUUUAUCGGCCAUUUGCAGAGAUAUUUCAGUAGGUGUCAACUUAUUCAAAUCAAGUCUACAAUAUAAAGAGAGAGGCAUAACACUAACACCGGCUCCAAGAUCACAUAAAGCAGUUUUAACAUAGUUUCUUUUAAUGGAGCAUGGUAUAGUUGGUACUCCUGGAUCUCCUAGUUUCUUAGGUAUUCCACCCUUAAAAGUAUAAUUAGCAAGCAUGGUGGAAAUUUCAGCUUCCGGUAUCUUUCUUUUAUUUGUAACAAUUUCUUUCAUGUAUUUAGCAUAAGGAUUCAUUUUAAGCAUAUCGGUCAAACGCAUACGCAAAAGAUAGGUCUAAUCAUUUCAGCAAAGCGCUCAAAAUCCUCAUCAUCCUUUUUCUUGGAUGGUUUAGGAGGGAAAGGCAUGGGUUUCUGAACCCAUGGCUCCCUUUCUUUAUCGUGCUUCCUAGCAACAAAGUCUCUCUUAUCAUAACGUUGAUUCUUUGAUUGUGGGUUAUCAAGAUCAAUAGCAGGUUCAAUUUCUACAUCAUUAUCAUUGAUAGGUUGAACACCAACAUGAACAUCAUUAUUAACAUUAACACCAGGUUCAUGUUUAUCACCAGAUUGUGUUUCAGCAUCAGAAAUAGAAAUAUCAUUGGGAUUCUCAGGUGUGUCAACAGCAGGUUCACUAGAAGCAUGCAAAGUCCUAUCAUUUUUCUUUUUCUUCCUCUUAGAAGGACUAGGUGCAUCUACAUUAGUUCUCCGAGAAUCUUGCUCAAUUCUCUUAGGGUGGCCCUCAGGAUACAAAGGUUCCUGAGUCAUUUUACCCCCUCUAGUCAUAACUCUAAGAACAUUAUCAUUUUUCUUAUUAUUUAAUUCAUUAGGCAAAUCAUUUUGAGCUUUAAGCACUUGUUCUACUUGAGUGGUAACCAUAGAAGCAUGUUUUCUAAUGAGUUUAAGUUCACCUUUAACUCUAGACAUAUAAUCACUCAAGUGUUGAAUCAUAUAAGCAUUGCGUUUCAGUUAUCUACCAACAUAAGCAUUGAAGUUUUCUUGUUUAACAAUAAAAUUAUCAGACUCAUCUAAACAUUGGCUAGCAGACUUAUAACGAGGAAUAUCACCUUCAUCAAAAUCUAUAGAGAGAAUUUACCUUUACUACCUGUGUCGGGUUAUCAAGACCAUGUAUUUCUUCGAUAGGCGGUAAAUUCUUAACAUCUUCACCUUUAAUAUCUUUUUCUUUCAUAGAUUUCUUUGCCGCUUGCAUAUCUUCAGGACUGAGAAAUAGAAUACCCCUUUUCUUCGGAGUUGGCUUAGGAGUUGGUUCAGGAAGGGUCCAAUUGUUUUCAUUAGUCAACAUAUUAUUCAAUAACAGUUCACCUUGAUCAACAGUUCUUUCCCUGAAAACACAACCAGCACAACUAUCCAGGUGGUCUCUGGAAGCAUCGGUUAGUCCAUUAUAAAAGAUAUCAAAUAUUUCAUUUUUCUUGAGAGGAUGAUCAGGCAAAGCAUUAAGUAAUUGGAGAAGCCUCCCCCAAGCUUGUGGGAGACUCUCUUCUUCAAUUUGCACAAAAUUAUAUAUUUCUCUUAAAGCAGCUUAUUUCUUAUGAGCGGGGAAAUAUUUAGCAGAGAAGUAAUAAAUCAUAUCCUGGGGACUACGCACACAACCAGGAUCAAGAGAAUUAAACCAUGUUUUAGCAUCACCCUUUAAUGAGAACAGAAAUAAUUUAAGGAUAUAGUAGUAACGAGUAUUCUCAUCAUUAGUGAAUAGGGUAGCUAUAUCAUUUAAUUUAGUAAGAUGUGCCACAACAGUUCCAGAUUCAUAGCCAUAAAAAGGAUCAGAUUCAACCAAAGUAAUUAUCUCAGGAUCGACAGAGAAAUCAUAAUCCUUAUCAGUAAUACAAAUAGGUGAAGUAGCAAAAGCAAGGUCAUAUUUCAUUCUAGCAUUCAAAUAUUUUUCUUUCAGCUUAGCUAAUAAUUUCUUAAGAUCAUAUCUAUCAUUGCAAGCAAGAAAGUCUCUAGCAGUUUCUUCAUCCGUAACAUAACCCUCAGGCACAACAGGCAAUUCAUAUCUAGGAGGAGAAUCUUCAUCAUCACUUUCAUCAAUAUUAUUAGUUUCAAUAAUUUCAUUCUCUUUAGCCCUAGCAAGUUGUUCAUCAAGAAAUUCACCUAGUGGCACAGUAUUAUCAAGCAUAGAAGUAGUUUCAUCAUAAGUAUCAUGCAUAGAAGAAGUGGCAUCAUCAAUAACAUGCGACAUAUCAGAAUUAAUAGCAGAAGCAGGUUUGGGUGUCGCAAGUUUACUCAAAACAGAAGGUGAAUCAAGUGCAGAGCUAGAUGGCAGUUCCUUACCUCCCCUCGUAGUUGAGGGAUAAAUCUUGGUUUUCUCGUCUUUCAAGUUCCUCAUAGUGACCAGAAGAUAUAAAUCCCAAGUGACUCAAAGAAUAGAGCUAUGCUCCCCGGCAACGGCGCCAGAAAAUAGUCUUGAUAACCCACAAGUAUAGGGGAUCGCAACAGUUUUCGAGGGUAGAGUAUUCAACCCAAAUUUAUUGAUUCGACACAAGGGGAGCCAAAGAAUAUUCUCAAGUAUUAGCAACUGAGUUGUCAAUUCAACCACACCUGGAUAACUUAAUAUCUGCAGCAAAGUAUUUAGUAGCAAAGUAGUAUGGAAGUAACGGUAACGGUGGCAAAAGUAACAAUAGAAGUUUUGUAGUAAUUGUAUCAGUGGCAGCGGUAAAGUAACUAAGCAAAGAUCAAUAUGUGAAAAGCUCGUAGGCAUUGGAUCAGUGAUGGAUAAUUAUGUCGGAUGUGAUUACUCAUGCAACAGUUAUAACAUAGGGUGACACAGAACUAGCUCCAGUUCAUCAAUGUAAUGUAGGCAUGUAUUCCGAAUAUAGUCAUACGUGCUUAUGGAAAAUAACUUGCAUGACAUCUUUUGUCCUACCCUCCCGUGGCAGCGGGGUCCUAUUGGAAACUAAGGGAAAUUAAGGCCUCAUUUUAAUAGAGUACCGGACCAAAGCAUUAACACAUAGUGAAUACAUGAACUCCUCAAACUAUGGUCAUCACCGGGAGUGGUCCCGAUUAUUGUCACUUCGGGGUUGCCGGAUCAUAACACAUAGUAGGUGACUAAUGACUUGCAAGAUAGGAUCAAGAACUCACAUAUAUUCAUGAAAACAUAAUACGUUCAGAUUUGAAUUCAUGGCACUCGGGCCCUAGUGACAAGCAUUAAGCAUAGCAAAGUCAUAGCAACAUCAAUCUUAGAACAUAGUGGAUACUAGGGAUCAAACCCUAACAAAACUAACCCGAUUACAUGAUAAAUCUCAUCCAACCCAUCACCGUCCAGCAAGCCUACGAUGGAAUUACUCAUGCACGGCGGUGAGCAUCAUGAAAUUGGUGAUGGAGGAAGGUUGAUGAUGACGACGGCAACGGAUUCCCCUCUCCGGAGCCCCGCACGGACUCCAGAUCAGCCCUCCCGAGAGAGUUUAGGGCUUGGCGGCGGCUCUGUAUCGUAAAACGCGAUGAAUUCUUGUCUCUGAUUUUUUCUCCCCGAACGUGAAUAUAUGGAGUUGGAGUUGAGGUCGGUGGAGCACCAGGGGGCCCACGAGGUAGGGGGCGCGCCCCCCACCCGCGUGGACAGGGUGUGGCCCCCCUGGCCUUGAUUCUUUUGCCAGUAUUUUUUAUAUAUUCCAAAAAUAUUCUCCGUGAAGUUUUAGGUCAUUCCGAGAACUUUUAUUUCUACACAAAAAUAACACCAUGGCAAUUCUGCUGAAAACAACGUCAGUCCGGGUUAGUUCCAUUCAAAUCAUGCAAGUUAGAGUCCAAAACAAGGGCAAAAGUGUUUGGAAAAGUAGAUACGAUGAAGACGUGUCAACUAUAUCUCAGAAUGGCUAUGGAAAUGCCAUAAUAGGUAGGUAUGGUGGCUGUUUUGAGGAAGAUAUAAGGAGGUUUAUGUGUGAUAGAGCGUAUCAUAUCAUGGGGUUUGGAUGCACCGGCGAAGUUUGCACCAACUCUCAAGGUGAGAAAGGGAAAUGCACGAUACCGAAGAGGCUAGCAAUGAUGGAAGGGUGAGAGUGCGUAUAAUCCAUGGACUCAACAUUAGUCAUAAAGAACUCACAUACUUAUUGCAAAAAUCUACAAGUCAUCAAAAACCAAGCAUUACGCGCAUGCUCCUAGGGGGAUAGAUUGGUAGUAAAAGACCAUCGCUCGUCCCCGACUGCCACUCAUAAGGAUGACAAUCAAACAACACCUCAUGUUUCAAAUUUGUUACACAAUGGUUACUGUCGGAUUUCGGGUUCCGGCAAAACCCUUAAGGUUCGAACACUGGGGUGCGCACGAAGAUUUCCCCCUACCAAUCGCGCCCUCAACCUCACCGCGAUCUUUAGGCUUAGCUCAACGAACUCGCAACACAAGGGACACAAGAUUUAUACUGGUUCGGGCCACCGUUGUGGUGUAAUACCCUACUCCAGUGUGGUGUGGUGGAUUGCCUCUCGGGCUGAGGAUAAACAGUACAAGGGGAAGAACAGCCUCCUGAGGUGAGGUGUUCUUGUGCUUGGUGGGUGUGAGGAUGAACUGAAUGAGUUCGAGACGAGUUGCCUCCUACUGUGGUGGCUAGCCCUAUUUAUAGAGGCCGUGGUCCUCUUCCCAAAUAUUGAGCGGGAAGGGAUGCCACAACGGCCAAUUUGAAAGGGUACAGCUAGUACAAGCUAUCCUGACUAAAGGUGGUCUUCGCCUGCCAAAGGCUCUGGUGGUGACGCCGCCUUGGGCUCCACGGUGACCUCCGUCUUGCCGUCCUGCUGGUCUUGGUCUCGUUGCACCGAUAUGGAAACCUUUGCUUGAUGCCUCGGUACUCCUCGCCUGUGCUUGCCCCCUUAGCACCAAAGAGGAAGCAAGGACACUUUGCGCGCUGACGCCCGCCUGGUGCCCGCUUGGCCUUGGUCGUCAUGGCUCACGUCAUGAGAACCUCGCGAGGUUUGCCUUGCCUUGAUCUCUCUGCCCCUUGCGAGCCGGCCUAGUGAGGCCGCUCCCGAGGAGGUAUCGUGUCGUCCGCCUCGCGAGGCUUGGCCCCUCGCGAGGGUCUUAAAUGCUUGCUGGUGAAGAUGGGCCGUACGGGCUUGCUCGCAGAGCCACGCCGUGUGCCGCAGGCAGGCAAGUCUGGGGACCCCCGUUCCCAGAACAUCGAUAGUAGCCCCCGGGCCCAAGGCGCGCUCGGACUUGGCUUCGAGGCGAAGCCAAAGGGCAAGUGCGGAGCGCCGCGGGCCCCAACAGCCUGCGACCUUGGUCGACGCGUGGCGGUUGAUUGGACGUGGGCGUCUCCACUUCCCCAUGCUGCCUCGGCAACUGCCCGACUGUCAAAAGGCUCGCGUAGACAGCGCUUGCCUUCAUUGCUUCCUUUCGCCUUGCUUCAGAUCCCCUUUCUUGCUCCCAGCUUCCGAAAUCUCCAGAUCUGCUCCCAUCCCCUUCCGCAUCAGCGACCAAUGGCGCCCCGGAAGGUCAAGCCUACCUCGUCGCUAGCUUGGUAUGAGCCAGCUCGCGACGCGCCCAACGUCUCGGAGAAGAGCCUCGCCGCCACACGCCUGCUGACGGCGGGGGAAGGCAACAAGAGGGGGAAGACCGAGCUCCGGGCGGGCUCCGCCGUGCCGGAGCCCGAGGGGAGCACCUACUUCCCCUUCUUCACGAGCAGCAUCGUCGUGGGGCUGGUUCCUCCCUUCUCUGACUUCUUCUAUGAGGUCCUUGGCCACUACGGGUUGCAGGCGCUGCAUCUUCAUCCCAACUCUAUCCUUCUCUUGUCGAUCUUCGCCUUCUACUGCGAGGCGUAUCUCGGCGUGAUGCCGUCCAUGGCUUUGCUGCGCCACUUCUUCUUCCUCCGUGUCAAUGAGGGUCAUACCUCCGGGUGUGCCAACUUCAUCGCGGCCGGCAAGGCCAACUCGGUCUCAAAGGCUGGGAAGAAGGCCGACAGCUUUAGGAGCAAGUGGGUCAUGAUGGACGCCAAGUGCGUCCACCCACGGUUGGUGCUGCCGACGGAGAUGCCCCAGUCCGACAAGGGGUGGUCUCGCACGAAGCUUACUCAUGAGCGGGCGACGUUGGUGUUGGAGCAGUUGAUCGUCGACCUGAAGCCGGGCAACGCGAAGGCGGCAAAGGUGAUAGGGGCCAUGCUCCUGAGGGAGUUCUUGAUGCUGCGCGUGGCCCCGCUUCAGGCGCGUACGCGCCCCUUGAGGAAGCUUGGGGACGAAGAGGACAAGGUUCGCAUGAGCCCAGAAGCCUUGCCUGAUGACGAGCUGGCUGCGGCUCUCCGCCUCCUGGUCGGGGACGACCAGGAGUACCCGCCGAGCGCCUUCGUUCCCUUGUUACGCCGCAACGAUGGAGAGCAGACCGUGGCUGCCAGGCCGACCUUUGACGGGCGCGGGCUGGUGCCGCCGGUGCCCACCGGGGCCCCUGUGGCGCCGACGCCGGUGGAGCUGUCUUCUGAUGAGUCCCAUGGGGAGGAUGAGGAGGAGGACGAGGAGCGCAACUCGGAGGUGACCCCUGAAGGGAUGGGGGAGACCUCCCCCUUGAGGAAGGCCGAUAUCCUCAGCACCUUGCCAGACGGCGACGAAGCCGACGCCCACUGGGAGAAGGAGGAGCCGCCCGUAAUCCCGACGAGGAGCAGGUCGACAUUGAUCUCCCGAGACGCUGCUCCCACCUUGAUGCCGCCUGGGGCUGCUUCCGGCCCUUCUGCUGCCCCUGGAGCCCGCGCGCCCGCGCCUCGGGCUCCGAAGCUCUUCGGCUUCAAGCUCAGCAAGCGGAAGGUGGACUAUGCCAUGGUGGACCAGUAAGCGCUCGUGCUUUGCCUUGUUCUUGCUUAUGCUGCUGCUUCUUGAUGCUCAUCGUUGGUUGGUUAGGCCACCGCCUGCGGCGAAGAAGAGGAAGGAGGAUGUAGCGACCCCGCCCGGGACUGAACCAUCUGCGGCAACCGCACCCCCCUCCGUGAAGAAGGGAGGCGACGACACUCGCACCUCCCUAGCCCGGUCAUCCUUGCGAGGACUAGAGGGGCAUCCUUGGGGGGAGUCAGCCCCCGUGGCCCCGCUGGCUCCGGAGGCGUUGGUGUCCGGCCCAGCCGCUGGGGUCCCCAAAGCUCAGGAGCCCCCGGUCUCCCAGGCCCUGGUGAUGACAUCGUCUCCUCCUCCUAAUGCGCCACUGCUUCAAGGUCCUUCUACCUCCCUUGAUGUCUUGGAGCAUGCUCUUCUUGAGAUGACCCGGCUGCGAGAGGAUCUUCAGGGCGCCGACCCCUACCUGGUGGCUGGGCGCCUGGAGCUGGUCUUUGGCUGGCUUCAUUCUGCGUGUCCGUUAGGGCGGCACUGAGCCAGGCCACGGCGACCUCCGAGAAGGAGAGGCAAGCCGCCGCCCAGGCUGCAUCUGCUCGCGAAGCGGCGCUGAAGGAUGCUGAGGCCGCCCAGGAUCGCUGCUGGGCGCUGGAGGCCAAGCUGAAAGAUCUGCGCGACCAGCGCGCAGAGGAAGCUCGUGGCCAUCAGGCGGAGGAGGAGAAGAUGAGGGCCCGGGAGGACGCCAUCAAGGACCGCGACGCCGAGCUGGGAGAGUUGGCAAGGACGCAGGCCGCGGAACGCAGCCGGCUGGAGGAGCUGGCGCGGAAGGUGGAGGCGAAGAAGGUCGAUCUUGAUGCCAAGGCGAAGGUCCUGGCUGAGGACCGCGCAGCCUUCGCGCUUCUCGAGGAGAGGUCCCGCGUGGCACUGAAGGAACUCUACGAGAAAGGGCCUGGAGAGGCCGCUAACCACCAACGAAGACGGCCCCGCCCAGCUGCUUCCCUACUUGGUUGACGCGCUUGAGGAGGUUGUGGUCGGCAUCGGUCCCAUGACAGAGGAAGAAGCCCGCGUUCUUUCCUCAGCCGCGCUGACGCGGGUCUUCAGCCACCUCCAUCUUCGCGAUCCGCCCGCCUUGACGAGCUGCUGGAGCCUAUGGACGACGAGCGUUGUGCGGCCGCGGCCGCGGCCGUGAAGGGUCAGGUGGAGGCCCUGCUGAAGAAGUUCCGCGCCUUCGCUCUCGCGCCUUCGACCGGCGGUGCCCCUGAUCCUGCAGCCCCGGCCGAUGGUACAGGUGAGGGCGAUGCCACCAAGGAAGGAGCACCACUGCACUACAAAAAAAUACACUUCCGUGAUGAUACGUGUUUGUCACAGUAGGCCGCGUUUUUUGUCAUGCAUGUACAUCCAUGAAAAAUUUAUGACAGAAUCAAGAUAGUCAUACCUGUGCUGUCGUAGAAGUGUUCCAUGACAUUACCAAAAUUAUCAUCACGGAAGUGUCCACUUCCAUGACGAUAAAUCACGCGUCACAGAAGUGCUUUCGUCAAGGGUGACCGACACGUGGGAUCCACCGUAACAGAACGCCGUUAAGCUAUCGGGUCAGGUUUUGGAUCCGAUAACCCGUUAACAGCCCCGACCAAUGGGGAUUUUCCACAUGUAAAAUCAUCAUUGGCUGGAGGAAACACGUGUCAGCUCAUUGUUGGGACAGAUGUCAUCCACUCAUUGGACAGAAGGCGCCUAUGAUACGUCGACACGUGGCACGACCCAACAGAGGCCCAUUCCUGUGAAAAGGCCGGCCCAUUUGACUUGGUCAAAAGGUGGCGGGCCGGCCCAUGGAAAGCGUGUUAACGGCCUGUUCGCAUAUAGCCCAUUUACAGCCCGCUAACCCAAGGCCCGUUACACCCUAUCCGAAUUAGGCCUAGUAGCGUCAUCUGGGCCAUCCAAUAUGAUUCCAGCCCGUUUUCACUUCUGGCCCAUGUAUGGCCAAUGACGUCUUUUGGCCCAUAUGAGGCCCUAUGUAACUCUUGGCCUAUUAACGGCCCGUGGUGAAACUUGCCCGUAAUGAAUAGUGUAUCACUUUACACCCAUUAACGGCCCAUGGUGAAACUGGCCCGUAAUGAACAGUGUAUCACUUUAUACCCAUUAACGGCCCGUUAUUCCGUUAGGCCGUUUCCAGCCCAUGUUAUCUUUCGGCCUUCUCAGAGCCCAUUUAUUCUUGGGCUCAUUUCCAACAUUCGUUUACUUACGGCCCGUUACUGUCAUUUUCUGCUUGUGGGCCAAAUUCAGCCCGUGGUUAUAGUCGGCCCGUUUGUGGUCCGUUAAUACGUUGGGCCGUUUUCAUAGCGUCAUCAAAUAUGGCCUAUUAACGAUGGCCCGUUAUGGUCGGCCCAUGAACGGACGAUUCCAACUCUAGCCCGUUUAUGGCCAUAAUGCGGCCUGUUAUUGGCCCAUGUUUGGCCAAUCGAUCAUACGGCCCGUAUAAGGCCCAUUGAUGAUACGGCCCGUAGAAGGCCCAUUGUUUCUACGGCCCGUAGAAGGCCCAUUGUUUCUAUGGCCCGUAGAAGGCCUACUGUUUCUACGGCCCGUAGAAGGCCCACUGUUUCUAUGGCCCGUAGGAGGCCCAGUGUCACUACAGUAAAUAUUAGCCCAUGGUUAUUGUGGCCUAGUUUUAAAAAA
RNAcentral lists this long non-coding RNA (89353 nucleotides) under Triticum aestivum (bread wheat). RNAcentral's name for it is "long non-coding RNA (TAES_LNC024393)". Lineage: Eukaryota; Viridiplantae; Streptophyta; Magnoliopsida; Poales; Poaceae. The record is from RNAcentral.